GCUUCAAUAGUUCAGUGUGAGAAAAAUGAAAGUAGGUAACUAGAAAAGUAUUGGAUUUGUGUGUUGGAUGAUACUUAAAAUAACACACUAGCCUUGCACUUAAUAAUUUAAGUUUUCAAAAUAUAUGGUUCCCUUGACAGCUUAGGUAUAUAAUGCUUGAGGCUUCAUUCUCUUGCUGUGCAUAGAUUUAAGUUGGUAUGCAUGGUUGAUACUUUCUAUAGUGUUUAGAUAUGAAUAUGAAUGUUCUGUACUAAUUACCAACGUUAACAUCCCCAGGAUGCCGCGUUUAGGAUCAACCCUUGAUGUUUUUUUGUCCAUCGCUCAGACUGAUAGGAAUAAUAACGCUUGGAUGGGACUUGUACAUCCUUUCGUUGAUGAUUUGUCCUAUAUUGACUUUGUAAUUGUUACUUGUGUUGGGUAAUACAUGUCUUUUUUACAUAAAAACACUACAUCUUUUGGAGAGCAUCUUUAAAGAUCAAUGUUAUAUAGUUUUAAUUUUCUAGAUAGCAUCUUAAUGAAAUUGUAACAUAGAGUUGUCCUAUCAUAUGCCUCACUAGGAAAAUAUUGAGGAGGUUAUGUUAUGUUCAGUAAAAGGAAACAUAAAUGAUAUGAUAAGAAAUUCAUAGUAUGUACGAUAAGCUCCAGUUUGACCAAAUGUGUGUUCUUAAGACGUAAUCACAUAAUUGAGGCCACUGUAAAUGUACUGUUGUACAACCAAAAACAAGUAAAAUAUAUUCUAGAUUCGGAUGUAACAAUACUUUUAUAUAUAAAUAGUAAGGAAACAUUGACAAUCAAGAGCAUCAUAUUUCUGAAGUACUAGAUGCUUCACUUAUUUAUUUAUUUCAAGUAGGGGGUGACAGGAUAUAUGGUCAUAAUGCAAAGUCUUUUCAAAAGAUGUGAAUUGUUCCUUCACUGAGAUUUGGAACAUUAGUUGUAGAUAUGUUGCUUUUUGAUCAAAGGUUUACUUUGCCUAGGGAUAGAAAUCUCAAACCUUUAGUCUUGUAAUCAAAGUAGAUUAUGCCUGAAUCAAUCUACUUUUGGAAACUAUUUAUUUUGUGUGAAACUAAAAUAUUUAAAGCAAUAAGAAAAUAGAUAUUGGUAUUCAUUCCAACGGCUAAAUAAUUCAUUGAAGCUAGGGGCUAAAACAGAAAAUGUCAGGGAAGCAAGUUGGAUAGGAAAAUCUAAUGCGCAGUAGGCAGUAGAGAGGACGAUGAUACAACAAAUAGUAGGCCGACUUGAAUGACUGGGGUUCCAGAGGAGGAUGAGAAAGGGAUCGGUGAUGGAGGUAUGUCUAGCUUCUCCCUCGUCUCCGUAGACAUGGAGGACCUCGUCGACAAAGGUGCUUGAGGGGGCUUGAUGCCAGCUUGAACGGUGGACCUUUGGCCAAGUAUGGGGUCACUCCAGGCAAGAGGAAUAAGUUUUCCUUUGAUGUUAUCUUGCUUGCAUGCUCCUUUCAGCAAGAACGUAACAACUUGAUGUUUGAAUGGUUCAAGGCUGAUGCUUUCUUCUUUGUAUCUCUCUGUCCGACAAGGUUUAUGGUUUGUGUUCCAGCAGUUUCCUUCUUUUCCUAUGUGAGGUUGUGAUGAGGUCGUUCUUUUCUUUUGAGAUUUGUAAUAUGAGAUUAGAUUCUAUUAUUUAUUCUAUAAUGAUCAAAUGCACUUCUCUUGCAUGGUUCCGAAAAAUACCUCGAUUUAAUAUUCUUACAGUUUUAAUCAUAUAUGAAAUGCUAAGGAACCAUACGACGACCUUUCUGUUUUACUGCUACAAUUUUUUACUAGCUCUUUUACUAGAAGUAGUCGAUUUAUAUUUGUUUUCUGAAACAAGUUGAUUUAUAUUUAUGGGCAUGCACUUGCAGUUCAGUAAACUGGAGUAUGGUAAUUCAUUCUCCAUGAAGAAAUGACAAAAAUGUUGCACCUUAAUUAGGUAUUGUUUUCUAUGUUUUUAAGUAAGAUUUUUUGCACACAUCUUUUCCUCGAUAUUCAUAUUUAAGGUCCACACCUAUGUACCGCCAACUAUUAUUUGACUACCUUUUGUUGGUCUGAACCAAUCUCUUUCAAUAUUGUGAGAUAGUUUUGACCAUAAAUGAUUUGUCGUAGAACUAUAUAAUCACCAUGAUUAGAAUGCCUCGAUUUAAUAUUCUUACAGUUUUGGUCUUAUAUGAACUGCUAAGGGAGCAUAUGACCUUUCUGUUUUACUACUAAGAUUUUUUUACUAGCUAUUUUAUUUGAAGUAGUCAACUUAUUUACGAGCAUGCACUUUCAGUUCAGUAAUCUGGAGUAUGCAUUAGUUCAUUCUCCAUGAAGUAAUGAUGAAAAUGUUGCACCUUAAUUAGGUAUUAUUUUUUAUGUUGUUUGUAGUUAAGUUUUUGUUCUCACAAGCAAGUACCAUAGAUGAAGCUACCGAGGACAUCAACUUUGAGGUCAGUGAACUCCAAGAACAUGAAAUUAAAUUGUUGGAUCUAGCGCAGACGACUUUGGCUACCUGCUUCUUUGUCGGUAGCAUGGCUUUCGUCAUCUUAGAGAUGAAUUUUGUUUCUGACCAGGAAUUUCAUCAUUGAUUUUUCAAGAUUGUUAUUUUAUAUAUGUAGAAUUGUUGUUUUUAAUAUGAUAGCUAAAUUUUCCUUCUUUGUGUUGUAUUUAAUUAUUAUCAAUUGGCAAAGAUGUGCAUUGCAUGUGCAUUUUGUUUUAUUCUUCCAGGGUUGGAUAUUAUAUGCUACUCGGAUACUUAAGGAUCUGUUUAUGCUGAAUUUAAUAAAAUCUUGUCAUGUCACAAGAGAUUGCCUAUUUGCUGACAUUGCAUGAAAUGGUCAAAUCGGUUAUAUGUUUAGGGUUUGAUUAUCAUUAUGAGUUAGACAAUCCUUUAGAAAAAUAAUCCGAUGAAGCUAGCAUUUUGUCUUGAUAUACCUAAUAAGAUUUUAUCAUUUUUUAUGCUUACAAUGUACUUUAUAUUAUUUGUUUGUUGUUUUUUCAGCUGACUGUUGCCCUGUUAGAUUUAAAGGAUAUCAAUGCUACAAUUUCAUUUUUAUGGAGUAACUGAGCUACCGCCUUUUGCUGUAAAAAUAGCUAUUUUUUAUCUUCUCCUUUGUUUAUUUAUGUAAAUGGUAUGUUGGUUAUGUUGUCAUGAAUACAACAGAAUUUUUGUUUGUAUCUAUUUGUUUUCCAUCUACAAUUGGCAAAGAAAGUAGAUGGAGUGUUGAUGCCAUAUUUCCCCCAGAAUAAUAGCUAUAUAUCAAUUGUUGUCUGAUUCUACCUACAUAAUCGGAAGGUUGAUUUUAUUACAUUGCAUACAUCCUACUACAUUUUUUAAAGUGUUAUGUAUAUCCUCAUACUAUCAAAGUUGUGUUCCUGAUUCUUCAUACGCCCCCACCCCAAGGUAAAAAAGGUUACAUGUCAAUAUCUUUGGGUAAGGGCCAGCUAGGGCAGCGAUGAAGGCAUGGUGCAAGAACCUAAUGCUGCAAGGAGCCGCGGGCCGGAGACGUCUUUGUCGACCUACUCAGCUAUGCCUUUCUCUUCGAUGAGUCCCCACCCGAUCCUUGCCUCUACCAUUCUCCUCCGUCGCAAUGGCAAUCAUUGAUUGCUGGUUAUGUUCCUUUAUGAAUCGCGUGUGCUGCCUAAUCCCCAAUUUGACUCCACCCACUUCUCUGCCAUCACACGUGUCACCGCCGCGUCCAGGUCAACAUUAACCCGGGGGCCAAUGGCCAGGACUGACACAGGACAAUGUAUGGCAUCACGCCUAUGACAUUAAUUGUUGGAGUGAAGUUUGUGUUUGAGUCAAUUUAUGGGGCCCCGUGACGUGAUGAUGUGUAUGGUAAGCCACUUUUUUGCAUGUUGUUCCUUAAUUCUUUAACUAUACAAAAAACAUGUGAGUCAUUACGUAGGCUUUUACACACAUUUACUCAAGUUUGAUGCCGUAUUUUUUUAUUAAUUAUCGUAUACUAGACAUGGACAUAGCUGAUGCAAUUAUGAAAGAAGUACGCGAGAGUGGAUACUUGUCAUUAUAUGAUUGGAAACCAAAUUCAAUACAUUUUGUGUUCAGUGACAACGAGCGGGCACAUUUCAACGACCUCGCACCCCCUCCCUGAUCGCUACGCAAUUCCCUCGCUAAAGAUUAUCCAUGAUUUUUUCGCUUCAGCGGUUUUCAUUCUUUCCCGUCGCAGGUCGCACGCCCUUUCCCCCACCCGCUCGAUCUGGAUAGAGAGUGGUUGGUACCCAUUCGUUCCUUGCGCUAGCCUGAGAAAGAGAUAGGGCGGAGAGGAGCUUGGUGGCGGUGACGGCCGUGGAGGAGAUAGCAGGAGAAACCGAGCUACGGAGGGACGGAGAGCAUCCCUCCAUCUGUCUUCCUCGCUUCCUUCAGCCCGCUUGGACGUCUCGGGCGGUAAGGGCUGGUCGCCGCCGCCCGCCACCCGUCAUCGUCGCUGGCCCACUCCACACCCCAUAUUCCCUGCAUCGGUGCCUUCACGACGUGUCCCUCGACGGCCUCCCCUCCCUCCGAUGUCUCCAUUGGUUCGUCCGCUAAUGUCGCCUCUCUCCAUUGCAUGGAGGCAUCGAGUUGGAUGCCUGGACGUGGAAUCCAAGAACACAAUGGCCUGGAAGCUACCACCCAGCCCGCUCAUGACAAGGGCCUAUAGGAGGACCUCCACCUGGUCCUGUAUCAUAGCUGACGGCGCCACCCUGGAUGCUAAUGUCGCACUGAUCUCCUACUACGCCACCGCCCUGUAGGGACAACUGAGGGCCUGUAGGACAGGGAUGACCUAACCCUUCAUUCGCAUGUGUUUAAGAUUGAACCGCACCAAGUCAUCAGUUGAAUUAUUAGAUGAUGUACUCAACUAUACCAUCUACUUGUAGUUGUCGCACAUUGCAUAUCUUGCCAGAAACAAGACCGUCGUGCUACAUGUGCCUUGUCUGAAUGUAGUCAAUGCAAGUUCUCACGCUGGAAACAAGAUCACCAUGCAGGUAAUAUUGCUUGCAAGCAUGAAUGCAAUUUUUCACAGCAUGUCAGAGAUAAUAUGCGAUUAUUCUCAAAUAAUUAUGUGCAGGAUAUCAUGAUUCUCCCAAGUGACGCUUCCUGGUUAACAGAGGCCAUAAAGAUGGAGUUGAGGUUUGACAAUGCAUCUGUACUUCGGAAUAUGCAGUUCGAAUUCUGAUGUUGUUCAUAUGUAGAGCAUCAUCAAAAGAAGUAUGACCAAUAUGCCACAAAGGCCGGGCAUUAAGAUAGACACGUUUCUAUUGUGAGUGCAAGCCAGCAUCUAUAUUUCUUUCACGAAAUAAAGUAGAAUCUUCACAGCAUGGAGCGUUUUAUGGAUUAUGAUUUAAUGAGUACAGCUAAAUUUUUGGUUUCUGCAACUUGUAACAAUGAACCUUGAUUGUUUUCCGUUGACUUAUCUUGAAGCUGGAUACAAGAGCCUGAAUUCUUAUAUAUGUUUUGUUUUGAUUUUAAACUCAUGUUGGGAAAUAAAGACAGUCUUGAACUCUUGAUGACAAUUAUUGCUAAGGCUUGCUACACUGGCAAAGUAAUUUAUUUUUCUUCUGUUUUACUUAGCUCAUGAUUCAGAGCUUGUAUACAAUUGAUAUGUUUCGUGUAUAGCUUAGGCCCUGUUUGAAACCACCCAGAUUAUAUAAUCUGGUUUUAUAAUCUAUUAUAUUUUCAAACAGGACAGUUUAUAUUGUAGAUUUUAUAAACUAGAUGAUCAGAUUAUUAUAAUCUCAUAAUCUGCUCUACCCCAGCUAAAAUGAGAUUAUGAAUUACAAAUGACGUGUUACCCUUGUAACUUCAAGAGAAUUACGCAGUGCCACCGUCACUUUCCUAUUUUUCCUUGUAAACAGAGGGCAAACAUGUCAUUGUAUAAUUUAAAAGCUGGUUUACAGUUUAUAUAAUCUGGCCUCCAAACAUGUCCACCUGGAUUAUUUUUAUAAACCAGAUUAUAUAAUUUAUGUUCAUAAUCCAGAUUAUCAUAAUCUAUUAUGGUUCCAAACAGGGCCUUAGUUAAUAUUACAACUUUGUAUUAGUGUGACACCUUUAAUUACAUUAUUUGAGGGAAGAAAUAUAUUCCAACCGAAGUUGAAUUUCAUUUUUUUUAAUAGGUAUGUGGCUAUCUUUUUUAUGUAUAAUGUAUUUUUACUACAUCAUGUUUAUGUACGCAAUAAGAAAAAUAAAUGAAUGAUCCGUGGCAACGCACGGGCAGUCAACUAGUUUUACUGUAGUAUAGCCAUUGGCAGGUGGACCCAACAGUCAUCGAGAAAUUGAACGCAGAAGUUGUCAAGAAAUUGAACCACAACAGUCAUCGAGAAAUUGAACCACAACAGUCAUCGAGAAAUUGAAUCCAGAAGUUGUCAAGAAAUUGAACCAAGGACAGAUGGACCCAACAGCCACUCUGAGACUCGCUGAAGCCAUCGAGAAAUUGAAUUCAGCAUUUGAAAAGAAAUUGAACCAGAGACGGAUGUACCUAACAGCCACUGUGAACCAGAGACAGAUGUACUCAACAGCCACUCUGAGACUCAUUGAAGCCACCAAGAAAUUGAACCUAGAAGUUGUCAAGAAAUCGAACCAGGGACAGAUGGACCCAAUAGUUGCUCCAAGGCUCACUAAAGCCGUCGAGGAAUUGAUCGAGGAGCUUAAUAAGCAGUCACAUUUCGAUGAAAAGGUGUGUCUUAAGUGGAUCUAUGAAUAAAGUUUGUUUUUAUGUUGUAUUUGUAACCUAAUAGAUUUUUUGUACAUUGCAGUCAUUCAUUGAGUUUUCUCAACCUAUCACAUUGUGCAUUGGCGUUUUUCUCAAUGCAUCAAAUGCAUUAGCUGUUACUGAAUUUUACAAGUCAAAACACGUGAUGCUUGGUAAAGAAGGUGCUACUAAUACCGCUCUAGCAGGCGUCCCUCCCAUCGAAAGUGCUUCUGUCCCUCACAGGGUUACUCUGUCAUUCCUUAUUCUUGCAGCGAUGGUCUGCUUCCUUUUUUUACAAGCUGUGUUGUGGCAGUGGCCCAUGCCACUGCUCAUCGCAGAGAGUGGUUCUCAAAGCUUGCAGUGCUGAUUAUCUUGGAAAUCAUUCUUCUGUAUGCAGCGUUGAUGGUCCGUGCUCACCUAAUUACCGGGGGUCACCCAAUUAUUUAAAUUUUGUAAUCCAUUAUUAUUUUUGUUUGACAAUGAAAAUGAUCUUUCAGUUGGAAUAAAAAUGUUGCUUAAAGAUGAAGUUUUGAGGCCAGGAGUGUUUGAACGAGCUAUCUUUCCCUAAUAAUAAAGAGGCUACCGCUUUUGUCAGAAUUUUCGUCGCAGCAUUUUUACAAAAAAGUCCCUAUGGUUUGGCUGAAUAAACUCGCAAUCCUCGCAUUAAGUGAACCUGAAGCGGUACGUGCAAGAAAAAAAACAGCAGCACGACCCUUCCUCUCGAUCCCAUCUGGACUCCAGCCCCGUCUCGCCCCACCCCUCCUCACCGACGUUCGCCGCCGCACCGCCGACGCCCCCUUCACUGCUCCCUCCGCCGCUCCGCCCGGCCGUCUGGACCGACCGCCUCAUCGACCGGCCGCGGAGGUUCCCGCACCUCCCGCUCCGCCGCGGGCUCAACCUCCGCCGCGCGACCGGGACUACCUCCUCCGGUUCCACAGCCUGUCCGAGGCCUCCCCGUUCGAGCCGCUGGAGGAGGGCGCGAGCGCGGAGACGGCGGAGCGACGGGCGUGCGCGGUGGGGCGUUCAUUCCAAACACACUUAUGCGUGUUCUCAUUCGAGGUGAAAAAUUACUGUUUACAAGGCUGCAUUUGCCAUACAAAACCAAGAGUUGAGGUUGUUCCGUUUAGCGCUCUGACAAAAGUGGAUAUCGUCAACUACUUAGGGACUCCAACUCAACUUUAUGUUGUCAAACAGCUAUUGGCAAGGGGGCCCAGGAUUAGAUUGAUGAGAAUAAUAAUCUCCGAGGCUGAUGAUCCUUCACUAGGCACCAUCGAAAGCUUAUGCCCUGCAGGUUGUCUGCUUGAGCUGGUAUAGUGUUAGAAGAGUAGACAUGUAGAGGAAUAGGUGACCUGAUACCUGACUGCUAUUAGAGCUGUGAAGAAUACAUUUUUUGUUUUGUUUUGUUUUGUUUUGAGGGAUGCACACAUCUAUCCGUGAGAGACCGAAGAUGAAUGCAUACAUAUGCUCAGCAUCAUUGUAUACAGUGGGUAUAUACGGAAUCAUGAAUGAUGACUGAAAUAAAAGAAUCACAUAUACUGAAAUUAUUCAUAUAAUGGAUGUGACCAGUUUAGUGUACUUAUUUGUUUGUUGCUGUAUUUGUUGUCUUGGAGAUGGACCUAUCUCCCCUAAUAAUAAAGGGUGCAACGCUUUUUGUCGUUCGUCGCAACAUUUUUACAAAAACACCCCUCGCUUUUCCGGUAUUCAACCCGCAGUAGUAUCUAAGUUAAAAACGUUUCGGUUUUACAUAACACCUUUCAUCUCCCGCACCCACGAGCAGCCCCUGAUCUGCUCCCCGCCCCGCUCCUCCCGUCGGUCGCCGGCCCCGAUCCACGCCGGAUCCCGCCGCCGGCGAGCUGCCGAAGCCGUCGCCCCCAACCCAGCCUCCUCCGGAGCUCCGCCCAAAUCCGAAGCGCCACCCUCGCGAGCAGCCGCGCCGCCCUGCCUCCUGCGCCUCCCCGCUCUCCCUGCCUCUCCUUGCGCCGCCGCCUCGCGCCGCCGUAGCUCGCAUCGGCAGCCGCCCCCGCCAAGCACCUCGCCUGCCAGUCCCUCCGGACGCUGCAGCCGCCUGCUCGCCAAGCACCUCCGCCCCAUCGCGCCCUGGAUUGGAUCCAGAUCGACCCGCCGCCGCCCUGGCGUUGACCGCCUCUGUUUUGUGCCUGUGCCAUGCGGCUGUAGGUCCUCCCAGCUCAAGCGUUCGGCUCGAUUCGGUCCGUGUCCGUGUCCGUGACGGCAGCCGGCGUUUGGUAUCCCCGGCAGUGCAAGGGCGGGCAAGUGGCAUGCGGCCGCUGCCUCGCGGAGCCCUGCGCGGAGUGCGGCGGCGCCUUCGACGCCCGCAACGCGGCGAUGGACGCCGUCGUCUCCUCGACCACGCCAGCUGCGGGCGCUACGUCACCUACCACGACCUCGCCGGCCACCGCGGCGAGUGUCCACACGCGCCCUGCGCAUGCACGGUCCCCGGCUACGCCUUCGCCGGCCCGGCGCCGGCGCUCCUCGGCCACCUAACCACCCCUCCACUCGAUGCCCGUGCACAGGGUCCAGUACGGCAAGGUCCUCGUGCUCCAGGUGCCGGCGACGCUGGAGCCGCGGGGCCUGCUGCUCGGGGACGAGGACGGCCGCACGUUCCUCAUCGUCGGCGGUGCGCUCGGCGCCGGCGCGGCUGUGUCGGCGGUGUGCAUCAGGGCGGAGGCGGUGGUGUGGCCGCGGUACACGCUCAAGGUGUGGGCGAGCGGGCCGGCGCCGGCGCCGAACCGGAAGGGCAAGGCCGACACUGUCAUGGCGGAGAUCGAGGUGACGAGCAACACGGCGCGAGGCGCCGUCGAGGAGCUGGCGUACCUGGCGGUGCCGCCCAAGUUGCUGGUUGGGGCAGGGGCGUCCCGCUGGAUGUCUCUCAAGAUUCGCAUAGACAAGUUCACCUCCUGAUGACGCUUAGUCCGCUGGUACUUUUUACUAAUGCAGGGUUUAGGUUAGUUUGGAAAGGGUCUCGUGCAUUGCAAUUUGAAGAUGAUGGAAUUUGGUUGCAGUUCAGUAUAGUACAGUAGUACUUCAACAUCAGACCAGGUGCUUUGCAAAUUUCUAACGGUGAAAACUGUUUCGUGGCCAUUGGAUUCAAUGUCUAGAUGUUUGAAAUUGUAGCAUUUCUUAAUACAGUUGUGCAUUGUGUGAGGGUUCAUAACUUUUGUGCUCCAAGAAUUUACAUUUGCAUUUGUGAUCUGGGUCUUACUAUAGGUCAAGCGGAAAUUGUGAUUUGUGGUCUUUUGAGUCACUUAUUUCGUGACAGAGGGGUACAUAUUAGUACCUGCAUAUGAAAUGAAUAGCCAAAUGUUUAAUUUGAUAGGUGUUUUAAAAACUAAAUAAAAAAUAUGAAGCCUAAAUUAAUGGACGUGGUCUUGAAUCAUGGUUAUUGGAUUAAGAGCGUGUUUUCUUUUUCUCCCGUUGCAACGCACGAACACUUUUACUAGUGCUGUGCAAUCUGAAGUCAAGUCUUAUUUGAAACUUUAUGAUGGUAUCGUAGUUAGGCAAUUUUCUAUCUUGGUUUUAUGCGAACCUUGUUUUGUGGAGGUAAUCUAGAUGAUCGUUUGUUCAUUAUUGGACAACCUGGUGUGAAGUUUUGACGGGGAGCAAACCUGGCUUGUGUGUUGCAACUAUCUAGUAGUUCUCCUAAAGGGAAUGUAUAAGGUCCAUGACGACAAACCUUGUAACACAAGAAGCCAAAUAGCUAUUUUUUAAAAGAAGGUUUUUGCGCCGGGCUUCUGGAUGCAUCCGGUCAUUCUUAUUAAGAAGAGUAGAGAGCAAAAGCAAUCACUGUUGGCCAGUUCAAGAUACGGUUGCACCAUCGUCGUCACGUCUAGCUGGCCAGAACAAGGAUUUUUCAUCUUAAUUACCGAAACCAACAUCAGCAAGAACACUAGCAUAUCAGCAAAACAAGACAAUGUCUACACAAAAGUAACGAUGCAAGUUCGUCGCUGCAGAGCCCAACCAAACAAGCCGAAACAAGAGUUUUUACCACCAACAUUAAGCACAAUCAUCAUUUUAAAGACACGGGAGAAUGUACUUGACAUCAAGCCAAAGACACUAGCCAAUCGGCUGGACAUCUUUUAGACCUCCAUUCCGACCAUCGUGUCCAUGCCGCGACCGGUGCUACUUGCAAACCAGCCGAGGGCACUACCCCAAAAGUGGCAGUUUCUUUUUUCUUUUCUUUGGCUGUACUUCGUUUCAAAAUAUAAGAAUACAGAGCAAUCUAAAAGAAUCUACACUCUAAAAUAUGUAUAAAAAGAAUGUUAGAAAACAGUUUGUAUUAUGGCAGUUUUACUAGUUUUCCUUUGCACUGCUAAUGUGAAUUUGAUACAAAUCGAAAAGCGAAGGCAUAAAAGCAAUAGCAGAGAAAAGUUCCAACAGAUAUCCUAUUUUCUAAAUUCCUAUGUUCUUCUUUUAUUUCGAACAGGGCAGUGUUAAUUCUAGGGCGGUGUAAAGCUGGAAAUAUACCGAAACACUGCCAGGUAAAUAAACAUUAUACAGCAGACAAAUUCUAUUCUGUGACUAACUGUGAAUCUUUUCCCUGCCAUAAGGAAAAUUAACAUUUAGCUGGACUGAUGGACCUAGAAAAAUGAACCCAGAAGUGGGGGCCUCACAAGCUUAAGAGAAAACAUACUAAAAGCAGAUGAAAGCAAUAAGCAGGGAAUAUAGAAGAAAUAUAGCUAACAUAUAGUAGAACCAACAAUAACCGAACUGUUCCACGAGUACCACAAAUAAGCUAACCGCGCUUAAUGUUUGGCCAGCCAAAAGACAAAACCGAUACAGCUAAGACGUGCCAAAACCAUCCAACGACGACACUAAGAUAAAAGCAACUAGACGGUGCAGGGCAUGGACAUACGACGACGGGCAGCCUUGGCGCUUAGUCGACCUCCUCCAUCUUGCUCUCACCGGCAUCAUCCUCCAGGGGCGGCAUGUCGGUGUCGUUCUCAGGCGCCUCAUCGUCCUCAUCAAUGCUCAGGCCAAGCUUGAGCAUGCGGUGGAUCCUGGUGCCGAAGGUGUUGGGGUCCUCAAGGCUGAAGCCCGAGGUGAGCAGAGAGGUCUCGAAGAGAAGCAUCACCAGGUCCUUCACCGACUUGUCGUUCUUGUCGGCGUCGGCACGCUUGCGGAGCUCGUCCAUGAUGGCGUUCUCAGGGUUGAUCUCCAUGGUCUUCUUGCUAGACAUGUAGCCAGCCAUGCUCGAGUCCCUCAAGGCCUGGGCCUUCAUGAUCCUCUCCAUGUUGGCGGUCCACCCAUACUCACCAGUCACCAGACAGCACGGUGAGUCCACAACACGGUCAGAGACGAUGACCUUCUCCACCUUGUCGCCCAGCACCUCCUUGAUGACCUUGCACAGCCCCUCGAACUUCUCCUUGAGUUCCUCCUGCUUCUUCUUCUCGUCCUCGCUCUCAUCAAGCUUCAGACCCUCCUUGGUGGCAGAGACAAGCUUCUUGCCCUCAAACUCCUUGAGCUGACCAAUGGCAUACUCAUCAAUGGCGUCAACCAUGUAGAUGACCUCAUAGCCCUUCUUCUUCAGCUUCUCAAGGAAGGGAGAGUUCUCCACAGCCUUCUUGCUCUCACCAGUGAUGUAGUAGAUCUCGUUCUGACCCUCCUUCAUCCUGGUUACAUAGUCCUUGAGGCUCGUCAGCUCAUCACCACUCUUGGUGGAGUGGUACCUCAGAAGCUCAGCAAUCUUGGUCCUGUUCUGGGAGUCCUCAUGGAUGCCAAGCUUGAGGUUCUUGGAGAAGGCCUCGUAGAACUUGUUGUAGUCCUCCUUGUUCUCAGCAAUCUCAAAGAAGAGCUCAAUGCACUUCUUGACAAGGUUCUUCCGGAUGACCUUGAGGAUCUUGUUCUGCUGGAGAGUCUCACGGGAGAUGUUCAGGGGAAGGUCCUCUGAAUCAACAAUGCCCUUGACAAAGCUCAGGUACUCAGGGAUCAACUCAUCACAGUUGUCCAUGAUGAAGACACGGCGCACAUACAGCUUGAUGUUGUUGGCCUUCUUCUUGUUGUCGAAGAGGUCGAAGGGGGCCCUCUUGGGAACAAACAGGACAGCCUUGAACUCAAGCUGACCCUCAACAGAGAAGUGCUUGACAGCCAAAUGCUCCUCCCAGUCAUUGGUCAAGCUCUUGUAGAAAGCAGCAUACUCUUCCUUGUUGAUCUCCUCUGGCUUCCUCAUCCAGAUAGGCUUCUGCUUGUUGACCAAGUUCCACUCAUGAGAGACUUCCUUGAUCUUCUUUUUCUUCUUUUCCUUCUCUUCCUUCUCCUCAUCAACAUCCUCAACCUUGCCCUCCUCGGUAUCCUUCUUCUCCUCCUCGUCUUCGUCGUCAGAAAUUUCCUUCUCGGUGGUCUUCUCAGUCCACAGGGAGAUGGGGUAGCUGAUAAACUCGGAGUGCUUCUUAACUAGAUCCUUGAUGCGGCGCUCCUCAAGGUAUUCCAUCUAGAAGAAAAUUGUAACAAAUCAGACAAUGUACAGAAAGCAAGUGCAGACAAAGACACACAAAAGAAAGAUUUAAAGAACAACCAAACAUGCUGCAACCUGCAAUGCUCAAAUUAAAAAUAAACUACAAAAAAGCAGGUAGAAAUUCCAUGCAGAUGCAUAAAUCCAUAAUACUACUUUUAACAGUUCCAUAAAAGUGAUACAAUGCAAACAGAUGUAAUGUUUAAUUGCAAGAGGCCAGAGCCAUAAAUUACUGAAGAUGAACACAAUAUAAGGCAUUCAAUCAUUACUAAUUAAAAGAGAGGGUCAACCAACAAGGAUGAGUUAAUCUGUGCAUUCAUUAUAUAUGAGAGCAUUAGGAUACAGAAAAAACACAUCAAUUCAACAAUUUCACCAUCAAAUCUAAACUAAUACUACCAAUCAUAGUUACAAUGCAUGGGACAACUCACAUUUAUCCUAAGCAGGUUACAUAUGCUACAACCAACACAGAUCUGAAAUGAGCUUGAGUCCAGGAAAGCUAAAAUUACUGGUAUCAAAUUACUACAAAACUAUUCGAAUUCUAACUGGAAGCUGGUUAAGCAAGGCAAGCCUUUCAGAUACAACUGCAUACACAACUAAUCACAUCAGCAUCAAACGUCCACCUAAAUAGACAAGUCAAACUUAUGCAAAACCUAGCUCAUGCAGUGCACAACUAGACACAAGGAAAUACAGUUCAGAACGAGAUUAGCCUAUCUAGCAACCGUUUUAAGCACAAAAUCACAUCAAGACGGACAGCUUCAUAUGUUGCACAAAAUAACAUCAGGUCAAUCACAGUUUAGUUGGCUUGGGACUGCAGAGCCAAGUUGAUCAUGAAACUAACAGAGUUUAGCUUAUGCAGUGCAGACAUUACUGCCACAAAAGCAUGCUACAGUUCAGAUCGGGGACAAGACAAAUAAGCAACCGUCCAAAAGAGCUACAAUACGCACAGAACCACAUCAAGACAUGAAGAGUAAGCCAAUCACAGCAUAUGAGGCUUGGACAGCAUACCUGGUCGUCCUUGAGGUAGAGGACCAUCUUGGUACCCCUGCCAAGCUGCUCCCCAGACGUAUCACGAGUGACGGUGAAGGAGCCACCGGCCUGGGACUCCCACACGUACUGCUCGUCGUCGUUGUGCUUGGUGGUGACGACGACCCUCUCGGCCACAAGGUAGGCGGAGUAGAACCCAACACCGAACUGCCCAAUCAUGGACACGUCGGCGCCGGCGGCAAGAGCCUCCAUGAACUCCUUGGUGCCCGACCUGGCGAUGGUCCCGAGGUUGUUGACGAGGUCCGACUUGGUCAUGCCAAUGCCGCUGUCGACGAUCGUGAGCGUGCUGGUCGCCUUGUCGGGGAUGAUGUGGAUGAAGAGCUCGGGCUGCGCAUCGAGCUUGCUCUUGUCCGUGAGGCUCUCGAACCUGAUCUUGUCCAAGGCCUGCGAAAAACCACAACGGCAUACACACCAUGUCAGCCCGGGAACACGGAUCUGUAACGCAUCUCGCACGCGACGAAUCAAACCGCGGGUCAACGGAUCUGGCUCUCGGCAGCAUAUCUAAAGCCUAGCGUGGUCUCAAAUCUACCAUGCGCUCGGAUGGUUUCGAGCUCGCGGAUCACGGCGCAAAAAAAAAAAAAAAAGAGGACGGAGAAGGGGAUCCGGGGGAACGCUUACAUCGGAGGAGUUGGAGAUGAGCUCGCGGAGAAAGAUCUCCUUGUUGGAGUAGAAGGUGUUGAUGAUGAGCGAGAGGAGCUGGUUGAUCUCGGCCUGGAAGGCGAAGGUCUCGGUCUCCGUCGCCAUGGCUGCGUCCCUGAGCUGCUCGAGGUGGGGAGCGGAGCGGAGAGGAGGAGAAGCGUGCGGGAGGCGGCUAGGGUUAGGAGGGGUUUUGAGAGGACGAGAGGCCGUGGGGGUGGGAGCCUAUUUAUGCGGGUCUCGUGGUUCUCGAAGGUUCCACAUGGGCCUGGAGCUGGAAGCCGGGCGAGGCCGGCGCGCGCACGUUGACGAGUCGCUGCGGGUGGUGGUUGCUCUUGGGCUUUCCCGGCUAGGGUUGGUUGCGGUGAGUUUUGGAACGGUCGUCGGCCUUUGGUCCUUCGCGUGGCCCACCGGGACCGGGAGUUUUCCAUUUAGCCUGCCGAUGACAGAGACCCGUUUGGUAUCUUUGGAUUUGGUUUUGGAAGCCGAAAGAAUCAAAACACAAGGGUUAGCAGUUUAGGUGGUGGAUUCCAAACCUUGUCUCCAAAAAAAAAAAAAAAAAGUUGACUCCAAACCAGUUGAUUAGGUGUUUUCGGCAGAGGAAAGGGAUUACAGUUCCUUGCAAAUCCAUGUGAUUCUCGUCGGUACAAGCAAAUAGCUUACAUUACUCAUUUUUAAACAACAGGUAAAUGUGUUGUUUUUAUUAUUAAAAAUGGAAAGAAAAGAAACAUGUUUAAGUGAAACAUUUUGAAACCCAUUUUUCUACUAUUAAAGGGGAUCUGUCGUCGUGAUGGAUCAACCUCGUUCGAUCCCCCUCCCGUCGUAUGUGCUCCCCUCCCACGUGGGUUUCCACCAAACAAAAAGACGGCCCACUUCCUCCAGAAAGAAAAACUGUCAUCACACCACGUCUCACCCCUAAAAAAAACACGUCUCACGUCUCAUCUCUCCUGAAAAUUUCCCAUCGAUCGAAAGAGAGCCCCAUCGAUCUCUCCCACCUCGUCUCCCUCCUCACAAACCCUCCUCCCUAAUCCCACCUCCCUCACAAGGGUUCCAGCGCGCAGUUGUAUGGAUGGGUCCUAAGCGUCCGGUUGCAUGUUACGCCAGUUCAGAUAACCAUCCUCCACCACUAGCAACACGCACGACGAUGCGAAGGAACAAGUAGAGGGCGAAGAAGUGCCAGCACGCGACGACAACUUUGGCAUGCAUGGGAACCACAUGGGAAAGGUGUGGCACCCCUACACAAGUCUGGCACGCCCGGAGCGAGUGACGCAACAAUGCAUCCAUCAAUAAGACACAGCGUCUCCAUGAGUGUGCGGGACUAGGGUUUUGAGCGCGGCGUCACUUUCGUCGCCGGCGCGGCUCCUCUCCGUCCUUUACCACGGUUGUGCUCCUGGAUGGCGCUCCUGCGCUCGAUGGGCAUGGGGUGCACAUGCGCGUCGGCUUCCUCCGCUCUAUCAUGGUGAGUUCAUCCCCUCCUCCUUCCUCCUCUCUGGUGUGUAUUUGAUUGGGGUGUCCUGUAGUAUCCAUGCCGGUUGGCAAGAGUUUCAGAGUUGUUUGGUUUGGAUGCGUGCAUGCGCUAUUGUCUUCUCUGUCAGCAUGGAGCUGUUGACGUGCGACUAACUUGGCUUGUUCAGCAAGGUGCUUGAUUGAUGGUUAAUGCCAAUCUGUUGCAGCAUAUUCUUGUGGCCUUGACCAAAAUGUCGAUGUUGUACUCUUGUAGAACAUCAUUAAGAGGAUGUGAUCUCAGCCAGAUGAAUUUUGUCCAACUCCUGCAUUGAAAGGAUGUAAGUCGCCAUCCAACGAUUGAAACACGCAUGAGCAUGUAAUAUCGGAAACAAAUUUUCUCUCCGAUAGAUGGUUAUAUAUCGACGUGUAGAUUUUGGUAAAAAAAACCAAGUACUAGAUUUUGGUAAGCUUAUACUACCGAUCUUUUGGUAAGGUGGACGUGUCAAAAUCAUAUAUUAAUCCCAGCUUUGUGAGUGCAUGCAAAUUCUUGUCAUCUCAACUAAAUCUGGGUGGCCAAGUUUCCAUAGAAAGGUUCGAGCUUUUCAGCCAUACACUAGGUGUGAGACACCCAAAUUUUACGACCAUGUGAUUUAUUCAGGCAAGCAACGGCAGACACAGUUGAGACACUUUCUUAUAAAUUUCGUUUCUCUCAAUUGCUCGUUUCUCCUCCGCAGCUCAGAGCAUCCCGAUGGCCGGUGGUGUUCAUGGCCGAUUGAUGGAGCGAGCCUUCCUCUACAGAAUUGAGCGCAAGUUCCUGAUCAUAGUAGAGACUUUUGAAAACAUUAUAUUCCCUACCUGCACAUUAUUUGAAGCAUAAUUGUAAUGUGUAUAUUUAUUGUUUUUGAGAUAGCUCACCAUCCAUGCCGAAUGGUGAGUAAUGUGUAUAUUUAGUGAAUGCUUUUGGAAACAUUAUAUUUGUUGCCUGCCCAUAUGUGUACUACUGCUUUGGUCUUUUCCAAAUGGAUGGUUGGAUGUUAUAUAUUUCUUUAACUAUCAGAUUUGUAUUAUUUAAUUGUUAUAGUAUACUAUCCAAAGCUUUCACUUAUGCCUUGAGGAAAAGCACUCUGAAAGUUGAUUAAAAACACUCUGGAACUUGAUAAAAAACACUCUGAAAUAUUCUUUGCAUUUGAAAUAUGUAUACAUAUAUUUCUAUGCAAAUUGAGCCCAUUAAUACGGAUGUUAAUUACGUCGAGAUUACUUGCAGGUCGAUGGCGGCAGGUGAGGAGACGUGGAUGCCCCUGCAUAGCGCGGCGUCGGUGUAGUGCCUAGGAUCCUUCAUCACCUAAGGUAAACUUGUGUUUGACCUCUCUUCUUAUAUUCCCCUCAUGUUCUGCAGGUUGUAUAUGUGAAUGGUUGUGCAUAGUAAAUUUUGGUGAUUUAUUUUGCACUAUGAGGUUUCUUGACAGCAUUUGCAUAUCUUUCUUCAAUCUAGCAUCAAAGUAUUGAGGUAACUUUCUUAUCAUUCAGGUUCAUGGGGUCAGGUUAACGAGUUCACAGAACAUGUGGUGAUUGAAGUCCUAAUACCUAGAUUGUAAGAUACUUUGGUCUCCAACCUGAAUUUGAUUUAUAUUGUUGCACAUGUUUUCGAGUUUCUCAGCCCUGAAUUAGAGAGGACAUCAUUGAUAAGUGUUCCACCUACAGGGAUAUCCUUGAUUUUCAAGCAGAUAAAAAGAUUUUGGUAAACAUAUAUUAGUUCUUUUUUAAAAUAACAAACAUGCAACUUGGUGUAAAUCUUAUUUAUGUACAGAACCAAAGUUCUCAGAGCAAAAAAGACCAAAUUCUAAUAAUAUAUUUUAAAUUCAUUUUGGUUUGAUUAUACAGCUUCCAAAACAUGGCAAGAACAAACAUUCUCCUAUGACCAUAUGCUUGUUUUGUUUUCAAAGAUGAGUAAAUAUAUACUAUUUUUAGCUGAGUACGAGGGUGAAUUGGUUACUACAAAAGAGUUAGACAUAUCAAUUACAUCAAGACAGAGUAACUGCCACUAAUCAGAAUGUUACAUUGCAUUCUUUUGUUUCUCCAAAGAUGUCACCAUAAGUGUGUGUAUAGAAAGAACUUUAUUAUGCAAAAUUCACAAGAUAAACCUGUAUUUAGUUCAUGACAAACAUCUCUCUAAUGUUAUCUCUGAUUUCUUCUAUGACGUUAUUGUUUGUUAUCCCCGGGCUUGUGUAAGCUCUUUGUUUUAUUGGUGUCCAUCAAAAGUAUUCUUAUUCUAUGAUUGCUUCUUGAGACCACAAAUGAAGCUGGUGCACUCCGGGAGGUGAAGAUAAACUUGAGAAGAAGUUGGAUGAUCUUACUUCAAGACUUACUUUGGAAAGGAGAAUGAGGGUAUGUUUUUCUCUACCUUCAUUCCUUUUGUGUUUAAUGUGAACCCUUUAUUUUGCAUGUUCUACCCUUCAUGCCGUAGAGUUGAGACAGUUAUGCUUGUUCGUGCCUGUCGGUGAAUACUCACAACAUAUGCCAUAGGUAGGCUAAAGUCGGUGAGAACCGAAGGGACAAAGGUGGACGUUGGGAACGAGGUUGGUACACGCACGGAACGCACGAUGUACACAGGUUCAGGGCUCUUCGUAGAGAUAAUACCCCUAGUCCUGCCGGAGUGUUUGAUGUGUAUGAACAGAGUACAGAGUUGCUCCUGGAGCUGUGUUGGGAGGAGGAAGAGGGGAGCAGCCGGCUCGUCUGUGCCUUGAUACGUCUCCAUCGUAUCUACUUUUCCAAACUCUUUCGCCCUUGUUUUGGACUCUAAUUUACAUAAUUUGAACGAAACUAACCUGGACUGACGUUGUUUUCAGCAGAAUUGCCUUGGUGUUAUUUUUGUGCAGAAAUCAAAGUUCUCCAAACGACGUGAAAAUUUACGGGGAGCAUUUUUGGAAAAAUGAAAAAUACCUGCGCAAAGAUCCACCUGAGGGGGUGGGCUAGUGGGCCACAAACCCUGCCACCGCCACCCCCCUAGUGGCGGUGGGCAAGCUUGUGGGGCCCACACGGCUCUGCCGCCCCCAAUCUCAGGUCUAUAAGUUCACUUUCGUCCCAUAAAAAAUAAAAAAUAGAAGAUUUCAUCGCGUUUACGAUACGGAGGCGCCGCCACAACCUGUUCUUCAUCUGGAGGGCAGAUCUGGAGUCUGUUUUGGGCUCCGGAGAGGGGAAAUCGUCGCCAUCGUCAUCAUCAACCUUCUUCCCUCUCCAAUUCCAUGAAGCUCUUCAUCGUUCGUGAGUAAUCUAUUCGUAGGCUCGCUGGGCGGUGAUGAGUAGGAUGAGAUCUAUCAUGUAAUCGAGUUAGUUUUGAUGGGGAUUGAUCCCUAGUAUCCACUAUGUUCUGAGAUUGAUGUUGCUACUACUUUGCCAUGCUUAAUGCUUGUCACUAGGGCCUGAGUGCCAUGAUUUCAGAUCUGAAAUUAUUAUGUUGUCACCAAUAUAUGUGUGUUUUAGGUCCGAUCUUGCAAGUUGUAGUUACCUACUAUGUGUUAUGAUCCGGCAACCCCGGAGUGACAAUAACCGGAACCACUCCCGGUGAUGAACAUAGUUUGAGGAGUCCAUGUGUUCCCCAAGUGCUAAUGCGUUGGUCCGGUUCUUUAUUAAAAGGAGAACCUUAAUAUCCCGUAGUUUCCUUUUGGACCCCGCUGCCACGGGAGGGAUGGACAAUAGAUGUCAUGCAAGUUNNNNNNNNNNNNNNNNNNNNNNNNNNNNNNNNNNNNNNNNNNNNNNNNNNNNNNNNNNNNNNNNNNNNNNNNNNNNNNNNNNNNNNNNNNNNNNNNNNNNACACACAAGCCUUGCAAGCAAUGUGACUUAGUGUAAGUUGCGGGAUCUUGUAUUACGGAACGAGUAAAGAGACUUGUCGGUAAACGAGAUUGAAAUAGGUAUGCGGAUAGUGACGAUCGAAUCUUGGGCAAGUAACAUAUCGAAGGACAAAGGGAAUGACAUACGGGAUUAUAGAAUCCUUGGCACUGAGGUUCAAACGAUAAGAUCUUCGUAGAAUAUGUGGAUCCAAUAUGGGCAUCCAAGUCCCGCUAUUGGAUAUUGACCGAGGAGUCACUCGGGUCAUGUCUGCAUAGUUCUCGAUCCCGCAGGGUCUGCACACUUAAGGUUCGACGUUGUUUUAUGCGUAUUUGAGUUAUAUGGUUGGUUACCGAAUGUUGUUCGGAGUCCCGAAUGAGAUCACGGACGUCACGAGGGUUUCCGGAAUGGUCCGGAAACGAAGAUUGAUAUAUAGGAUGACCUCAUUUGAUUACCGGAAGGUUUUCGGAGUUACCGGGAAUGUACCGGGAAUGACGAAUGGGUUCCGGGUGUUCACCGGGGGGGGCAACCCACCCCGGGGAAGCCCAUAGGCCUUGGGGGUGGCGCACCAGCCCUUGGUGGGCUGGUGGGACAGCCCAAGAAGGCUCUAUGCGCCAAGGAUAGAAAAUCAAAGAGAAAGAAAAAAAAGGAGGUGGGAAAGGAGAGAAGGACUCCACUUUCCAAUCCUAGUUGGACUAGGAUUGGAGGAGGACUCCUCCUCCCUUGGUGGAGCAGCCCUUGGGGCUCCUUGAGCCUCAAGGCAAGCCUCCCCUCCCUCCUCCUAUAUAUAUGGAGCAAUUAGGGCUGAUUUGAGACAACUUUUCAAAGGCAGCCCGACCACAUACCUCCACGGUUUUACCUCUAGAUCGCGUUUCUACGGAGCUCGGGCGGAGCCCUGCCGAGAUCAGAUCACCACCAACCUCCGGAGCGUCGUCACACUGCCGGACAACUCAUCUACCUCUCUGUCUCUCUUGCUGGAUCAAGAAGGCCGAGAUCAUCGUCGAGCUGUACGUGUGCUGAACGCGGAGGUGCCGUCUGUUCGGCACUAGAUCGUGGGACGGAUCGCGGGGCGGAUCGUGGGACGGUUCGCGGGGCGGAUCGAGGGACGUGAGGACGUUCCACUACAUCAACCGCGUUCACUAACGCUUGUGCUGUGCGAUCUACAAGGGUAAGUAGAUCGGAAAUCCCCUCUCGUAGAUGGACAUCACCAUGAUAGGUCUUCGUGCGCGUAGGAAAAUUUUGUUUCCCAUGCGACGUUCCCCAACAUGGGAAACAUCUCCUUAGUCCUUUUCAGGUACUAAGGAUAGACAAGCAUGGGAAGAUUUUUGUUUCCCAUGCGACGUUCCCCAACAAUCACAUCACAUCGUUGGCCAUAUCACAUCACAAGCAUACCCUGCAAAAACAAGUUAGACGUCCUCUAAUUUUGUUGUUGCACGUUUUACGUGGUGACCAUGGGUAUAGUAGGAUCGCAUCUUACUUACGCAAACACCACAACGGAGAUAUAUGAGUUGCUAUUUAACCUCAUCCAAGGACCUCCUCGAUCAAAUCCAAUUCAACUAAAGUUGGAGAAACUGACACCCGCCAGUCAUCUUUGAGCAACGGAAUUACUCGUAGCGAUGAAACCAGUCUCUCGUAAGCGUACGAGUAAUGUCGGUCCGAGCCGCUUCGAUCCAACAAUACCGCGGAAUCAAGAAAAUACUAAGGAGGGCAGCAAAACGCACAUCACCGCCCACAAAAACUUUUGUGUUCUACUCGAGAAGACAUCUACGCAUAAACCUAGCUCAUGAUGCCACUGUUGGGGAACGUCGCAUGGGAAACAAAAACUUUCCUACGCGCACGAAGACCUAUCAUGGUGAUGUCCAUCUACGAGAGGGGAUGUGUGAUCUAUGUACCCUUGUAGACCGUACAGCAGAAGCGUUAGUAAACGCGGUUGAUGUAGUGGAACGUCCUCACGUCCCUCGAUCCGCCCCGCGAACCGUCCCGCGAUCAGUCCCACGAUCUAGUGCCGAACGGACGGCACCUCCGCGUUCAGCACACGUACAGCUCGAUGAUGAUCUCGGCCUUCUUGAUCCAGCAAGAGAGACAGAGAGUUAGAAGAGUUCUCCGGCAGCGUGACGGCGCUCCGGAGGUUGGUGAUGAUCUCGUCUCAGCAGGGCUCCGCCCGAGCUCCGCAGAAACGCGAUCUAGAGGUAAAACCGUGGAGAUAUGUGGUCGGGCUGCCGUGGCAAAGUUGUAUCAAAUCAGCCCUAAAACCUCCGUAUAUAUAGGGGGAAGAGGGGGAGCCUUGCCUUGGGUUCCAAGGACCCCUAAGGGCUUCGGCCGAGCCAAGGGGGGGAGAUCUCCCCUUCCAAACCGAGUCCAACUAGGUUUGGAAGGAGGAGUCCUUCCCCCUUUUCCCACCUCCUCUUUUUUUUUCUCUUUGAUUUUCUUCCUAUGGCGCAUAGGGCCUUCUUCGGCUGUCCCACCAGCCCACUAAGGGCUGGUGCACCACCCCCAAGGCCUAUGGGCUUCCCCGGGGUGGGUUGCCCCCCCCCCCCGGUGAACUCCCGGAACCCAUUCGUCAUUCCCGGUAACUCCGAAAACCUUCCGGUAAUCAAAUGAGGUCAUCCUAUAUAUCAAUCUUCGUUUUCGGACCAUUCCGGAAACCCUCGUGACGUCCGUGAUCUCAUCUGAGACCCCGAACAACAUUCGGUAACCAACCAUAUAACUCAAAUACGCAUAAAACAACGUCGAACCUUAAGUGUGCAGACCCUGCGGGUUCGAGAACUAUGUAGACAUGACCCGAGAGACUCCUCGGUCAAUAUGCAAUAGCGGGACCUGGAUGCCCAUAUUGGAUCCUACAUAUUCUACAAAGAUCUUAUCGUUUGAACCUCAGUGCCAAGGAUUCAUAUAAUCCCGUAUGUCAUUCCCUUUGUCCUUCGGUAUGUUACUUGCCCGAGAUUCGAUCGUCAGUAUCCGUAUACCUAUUUCAAUCUCGUUUACCGACAAGUCUCUUUACUCGUUCCGUAAUACAAGAUCCCGCAACUUACACUAAGUCACAUUGCUUGCAAGGCUUGUGUACGAUGUUGUAUUACCGAGUGGGCCCCGAGAUACCUCUCCGUCACACGGAGUGACAAAUCCCAGUCUCGAUCCAUACUAACUCAACGAACACCUUCGGAUAUACCUGUAGAGCAUCUUUAUAGUCACCCAGUUACGUUGCGACGUUUGAUACACACAAAGCAUUCCUCCGGUGUCAGUGAGUUAUAUGAUCUCAUGGUCAUAGGAACAAAUACUUGACACGCAGAAAACAGUAGCAACAAAAUGACACGAUCAACAUGCUACGUCUAUUAGUUUGGGUCUACUCCAUCGCGUGAUUCUCCUAAUGACGUGAUCCAGUUAUCAAGCAACAACACCUUGUUCAUAAUCAGAAGACACUGACUAUCUUUGAUCAAAUGGCUAGCCAACUAGAGGUUUGCUAGGGACAGUGUUUUGUCUAUGUAUACACAUGUAUAUAAGUCUUUAUUCAAUACAAUUAUAGCAUGGAUAAUAAACGAUUAUCUUGAUACAGGAAUUAUAAUAAUAACUAUAUUUAUUAUUGCCUCUAGGGCAUAAUUCCAACAGUGAUAUAUUGGAUGUAUGAGAUGAUCAUGUUGUAAUAGAUAAUAUCGACUUGCACGUCGAUGGUACGGCAACCGACAGGAGCCAUAGGGUUGUCUUUAAACUAACGUUUGUGCUCGCAGAUGCGUUUACUAUUUUGCUAGUAUGUAGCUUUAGUAGUAAUAGCAUGAGUAGUACGACAACCCCGAUGGCGACACGUUGAUGGAGAUCAUGGUGUGGCGCCGGUGACAAGAAGAUCGUGCCGGUGCUUUGGUGAUGGAGAUCAAGGAGCACGUGAUGAUAGCCAUAUCAUGUCACUUAUGAAUUGCAUGUGAUGUUAAUCCUUUUAUGCACCUUAUUUUGCUUAGAACGACGGUAGCAUUAUGAGGUGAUCUCUCACUAAAAUUUCAAGACGAAAUUGUGUUCUCCCCGACUGUGCACCGUUGCUACAGUUCGUCGUUUCGAGACACCACGUGAUGAUCGGGUGUGAUAGACUCAACGUUCACAUACAACGGGUGCAAAACAGUUGCACACGCGGAACACUCGGGUUAAGCUUGACGAGCCUAGCAUGUGCAGACAUGGCCUCGGAACACAUGAGACCGAAAGGUCGAUCAUGAAUCAUAUAGAUGAUAUGAUUAGCAUAGGGAUGCUUACCACUGAAACUAUACUCAACUCACGUGAUGAUCGGACUUGAGCUAGUGUAAGUGGGUCAUGAACCACUCAAAUGACUAGAGAGAUGUACUUUUUGAGUGGGAGUUUAGCAAGUAAUUUGAUUAAAUUAAACUCUAAUUAUCUUGAACAUAGUCUAAGUCCACUUUGAAUAUAUUUGUGUUGUAGAUCAUGGCUCACGCGACAGUCACCCUGAAUUUUAAUACGUUCCUAGAGAAAGCUAAGUUGAAAGAUGAUGGAAGCAACUUUGUAGACUGGGCUCGUAAUCUUAAGUUGAUCCUACAAGCUGGGAAGAAGGAUAAUGUCCUUAAUGCUGCACUAGGAGAUGAACCACCCGCUACGACUGACCAGGAUGCUAAGAACGCUUGGUUAACACGUAAGGAGGACUACUCAGUAGUUCAAUGUGCAGUCUUGUAUGGCUUAGAACCGGGACUUCAACGUCGUUUUGAGCGUCAUGGAGCAUAUGAGAUGUUCCAGGAGUUGAAGUUUAUCUUUCAGAAGAACGCCCGGAUCGAGAGGUAUGAGACCUCCGAUAAAUUCUAUGCUUGCAAGAUGGAGGAGAAUUCGUAUGUCAGUGAACAUGUGCUCAAAAUGUCUGGGUACUCAAACCGUCUAGCUGAGCUGGGGAUUGAACUCCCGCAAGAGGCUAUCACUGACAGAAUUCUUCAAUCACUGUCGCCAAGCUAUAAGGGCUUUGUGUUGAACUACAACAUGCAAAGGAUGAACAAGUCACCCGACGAGUUGUUUGCGAUGCUGAAAGUCGCAGAGUCUGAACUCCAUAAAGAACAUCAAGUGUUGAUGGUGAAUAAGACCACUGGUUUCAAGAGAAACGAUAAAGGCAAGAAGGGUAAUUCAAAGAAGAGCGGCAAGCCUGUUGCCAAUCCGACGAAGAAACCCAAAGCUGGACCUAAGCCUGAAAUAGAGUGCUACUAUUGCAAGGGUAUGGGUCACUAGAAGCGCAACUGCCCCAAGUAUCUGGCUGAUAAGAAGGCGGCCAAAGAAAAAUCAGGUAUAUUUGAUAUACAUGUUAUUGAUGUGUACUUAACCAGCUCUCGUAGUAGUGCCUGGGUAUUCGAUACCGGUUCUGUUGCUCAUAUUUGCAACUCGAAACAGGAACUGCGGAAUAGGCGAAGGCUGGCGAAAGAUGAAGUGACGAUGCGCGUAGGAAAUGGUUCCAAGGUUGAUGCAAUCGCCGUCGGCACAGUUUCACUUCAGUUACCAUCAGGAUUAGUUAUGAACUUGAAUAAUUGUUAUUUAGUGCUUGCGUUGAGCAUGAACAUUAUAUCUGGAUCUUGUUUAUUGCGAGACGGUUACUCCUUUAAGUCAGAGAAUAAUGGUUGUUCUAUUUCUAUGAGUAACAUCUUUUAUGGUCAUGCACCCAAUGUGAGAGGAUUGUUCAUAUUAAAUCUUGAUAGUGAUAAUACACAUAUACAUAACAUUGAGACCAAAAGAGUUAGAGUUAACAAUGAUAGCGCCAUAUUUUUGUGGCACUGCCGCUUAGGUCAUAUUGGUGUAAAGCGCAUGAAUAAACUCCAUGCCGAUGAACUUUUGGAGUCACUUGACUUUGAUUCACUUGACACGUGCAAACCAUGCCUCAUGGGCAAGAUGACUAAAACUCCGUUCUCCGGAACAAUGGAGCGUGCCAGUGACUUGUUGGAAAUCAUACAUAGCGAUGUGUGCGGUCCGAUGAGCGUAGAGGCACACGGCGGAUAUCGUUAUUUUCUCACCUUCACUGACAAUUUGAGUAGAUAUGGUUAUGUCUACUUAAUGAAGCACAAGUCUGAAACAUUUGAAAAGUUCAAGCAAUUUCAGAGUGAAGUUGAAAAUCAUCGUAACAAGAAGAUCAAGUUCCUACGGACUGAUCGUGGGGGUGAAUAUCUGAGUUUCGAGUUUGGUGCUCACUUAGACAAUGUGGAAUUAUUUCACAGUUGACACCGCCUGGAACACCACAGCGUAAUGGUGUGUCCGAACGUCGCAAUCGUACUUUAUUAGAGAUGGUGCGAUCUAUGAUGUCUCUUACCGAUUUGCCGUUAUCGUUUUGGGGUUAUGCAUUAGACACAGCUGCAUUCACUUUAAAUAGGGCACCAUCAAAAUCCGUUGAGACGACACCAUACGAACUGUGGUAUGGCAAAAGGCCAAAGUUGUCGUUUCUUAAAGUUUGGGGAUGUGAUGCUUAUGUCAAAAAGCUUCAGCCUGAAAAGCUGGAACCCAAAGCGGAAAAGUGCAUCUUCAUAGGUUACCCAAAAGAGACAGUUGGGUACACCUUCUAUCUCAAAUCCGAGGGCAAAGUGUUUGUUGCUAAAAACGGAGCUUUUCUCGAGAAGGAGUUUCUCUCGAGAGAAUUGAGUGGGAGGAAGAUAGAACUUGAUGAGGUUGUCGAACCUCUCAUCCCUCUGGAUGGUGGCGCAGGGCAAGGGGAAACCCCUGUCGUUGUGACACCGGUUGAGGAGGAAGUUAAUGAUGAUGAUCAUGAAACUCCGGUUCAAGUUCCUAUCGAACCACGCAGGUCGACGAGACCACGUGCUGCUCCAGAGUGGUACGGUAAUCCCGUUUUGUCAAUCAUGUUGUUAGACAACAAUGAACCUGCAAAUUAUGAAGAAGCAAUGGUGGGCCCAGAUUCCAACAAAUGGCUGGAGGGCAUGAAGUCCGAGAUAGGAUCCAUGUAUGAAAACAAAGUGUGGACUUUGGAAGUACUACCUGAGGGCCGCAAGGCUAUUCAUAACAAAUGGAUCUUUAAGAAGAAGACGGAUGCUGACGGCAAUGUGCCGUUUAUAAAGCUCGACUUGUGGCAAAGGGUUUUUCACAAGUUCAAGGAGUUGACUACGAUGAGACAUUCUCACCUGUAGCGAUGCUUAAGUCCGUCAUGUUAGCAAUAGCUGCAUUUUUCGAUUAUGAAAUCUGGCAGAUGGAUGUCAAAACGGCGUUCCUUAACGGUUUCCUUAAGGAAGAGUUGUAUAUGAUGCAACCCGAAGGUUUUGUCGAUCCUAAGAAUGGUAACAAGGUAUGCAAGCUCCAGCGAUCCAUUUAUGGACUGGUGCAAGCAUCUCGGAGUUGGAACAAACGCUUUGAUGAGGUGAUCAAAGCAUUUGGGUUUAUACAUGUGGUUGGAGAAUCUUGUAUUUACAAGAAAGUGAGUGGGAGCUCUGUGGCGUUUCUAAUAUUAUAUGUGGAUGACAUAUUGCUGAUUGGAAACAACGUAGAGUUUCUAGAGAGCAUAAAGGAUUACUUGAAUAAAAGUUUCUCUAUGAAGGACCUAGGAGAAGCUGCUUACAUUCUAGGCAUUAAGAUCUACAGGGAUAGAUCGAAACGCCUGAUAGGACUUUCACAAAGCACAUACCUUGAUAAAGUUUUGAAGAGGUUCAAAAUGGAACAGUCCAAGAAAGGGUUCUUGCCGGUUUUACAAGGUACGAGAUUGAGUAAGACUUAGUGCCCAGCAACUGAUAAAGAUAGAGAGAAUAUGAGCACCGUCCCCUAUGCUUCAGCCAUAGGAUCUAUCAUGUAUGCAAUGUUGUGCACUAGACCGGACGUUAGCCUGGAUAUAAGUAUGGCAGGCAGGUUCCAGAGUAAUCCAGGAGUGGAUCACUGGAGGGCAGUCAAGAAUAUCCUGAAGUACCUGAAAAGGACUAAGGAGAUGUUUCUCGUGUAUGGAGGUGACGAAGAGCUCGCCGUAAAGGGUUACGUCGAUGCAAGCUUUGACAUAGAUCCGGACGACUCUAAGUCGCAGAGCGGAUACAUAUUUAUUCUUAAUGGGGGUGCUGUAAGCUGGUGCAGUUCCAAGCAAAGCGUCGUAGCAGAUUCUACAUGUGAAACGGAGUACAUGGCUGCCUUAGAGGAGGCUAAGGAGGGUGUCUGGAUGAAGCAGUUCAUGACGGAUCUUGGAGUGGUGCCAAGUGCACUGAAUCCAAUAACCUUGUUCUGUGACAACACGGGUGCCAUUGCCUUAGCAAAGGAACCACGGUUUCACAAGAAGAUCACACACAUCAAACGACGCUUCAACCUCAUCCGCGACUACGUCGAAGGGGAGGACGUAAAUAUAUGCAAAGUGCACACGGAUCUGAAUGUAGCAGACCCGCUGACUAAACCUCUUCCACGGGCAAAGCAUGAUCAACACCAGAACUGUAUGGGUGUUAGAUUUAUUACAAUGUAAUUCGCAUGAUGAUGUGAGGGCUAGAUUAUUGACCAGGAUUCGAAUUAUGCCCUAGAGGCAAUAAUAAAUAUAGUUAUUAUUAUAAUUCCUGUAUCAAGAUAAUUGCUUAUUAUCCAUGCUAUAAUUGUAUUAAAUGAAGACUUAUAUACAUGUGUGGAUACAUAGACAAAACACUGUCCCUAGCAAGCCUCUAGUUGGCUAGCCAGUUGAUCAAAGAUAGUCAGGGUCUUCUGAUUAUGUACAAGGUGUUGNNNNNNNNNNNNNNNNNNNNNNNNNNNNNNNNNNNNNNNNNNNNNNNNNNNNNNNNNNNNNNNNNNNNNNNNNNNNNNNNNNNNNNNNNNNNNNNNNNNNUCAGCCGACUUGGACCGCCUCGCUUAGAUUCAUCUCAAGGAGAUGAACCUCAAGGACGCCGCCUUGAAGGAGAAGGAGGAGGCCCUUGUCGAGAAGCAAUCACAGCUGGCCAAGGCCUUGGAGUCUGCGGUGGCUCUCCACGAGGAGGUUGCCCGCCUUACUCCCGGAGUGACAAUAACCGGAACCGCUCCCGGCGAUAACCAUAGUUUGAGGAGUUCAUGUGUUCACCAAGUGCUAAUGCGUUGUUCUGGUUCUUUAUUAAAAGGAGAACCUUAAUAUCCCGUAGUAUCCUUUUGGACCCCGCUGCCACGGGAGGGAUGGACAAUAGAUGUCAUGCAAGUUCUUUUCCCUAAGCACGUAUGACUACACACGGAAUGCAUGCCUACAUCACAUUGACGAACGGGAGCUAGCCACAUAUCUCUCCGUGUUAUAACUGUUGCAUGAUAAAUGUUGAUACGUCUCCGUCGUAUCUAUAAUUUUUGAUUUUUUCAUGCCAAUAUUCUACAACUUUCAUAUACUUUUGGCAACUUUUUAUACUAUUUUUGGGACUAACAUAUUGAUCCAGUGCCCAGUGUCAGUUCCUGUUUGUUGCAGGUUUUUUGUUUCGCAGAAUAUCCAUACCAAACGAAGUCCAAACGUAAUAAAAACUUAGGGGAUUUUUUUGGAAUAUUUUUGAUUUUUGGGAAGAAGAAUCAACGUGAGGCGAUGCACGGAGUGCCCACAAGCCUUGUCGCCGCGACUAGGGGGUGGGCCCGCGGCAGGCAGGCUUGUGGCCACUCCUUAAGGCGGUUGGAGCCCUUCUUUCGCCGUAAGAAAGAUAUUAUCCGAAAGAAAAUCGUGUUAAAAUUUCAGCCCAAUCGGAGUUAUGGAUCUCCGGGAAUUUAAGAAACGGUGAAACGCAGAAUCUGGGAGCGCGGAAACAGAAGGACACAAAGAGAGAGAUCCAAUCUCGGAGGGGCUCUCGCCCCUCCGCCGCCAUGGAGACCAUGGACCAGAGGGAAAACCCAUCUCCCAUCUAGGGAGGAGGUCAAGGAAGAAGAAGAAGGAGGGGGGCUCUCUCCCCCUCUCUCCUGACGGCGCCGGAACGCCGCCCGAGACAUCAUCGUGUGGCGACGAUCUACACCAACACCUCUGUCAUCUUCACCAACAUCUCCAUCAUCUUCCCCCAUCUAUAUUCAGCGAUUCACUCUCCCGCAACCCGCUGUACCCUCUACUUGAACAUGGUGCUUUAUGCUACAUAUUAUUAUCCAAUGAUGUGUUGCUAUCCUAUGAUGUCUGAGUAGAUUAUCGUUGUCCUAUCGGUGAUUGAUGAAUUGCUAUGAUUGGUUUAAUUUGCUUGUGGUUAUGUUGCUGUCCUUUGGUGCUCAUCAUAUGAUCGCGCACGUGGAUCACCCAUCAUAUGAUCGCGCGCGUGGAUCACACCAUAGGGUUAGUUGUAUGUUGAUAGGAGUAUGUAUUGGCAGGCUAGAGUGACAGAAGCUUCAAACCUAGCAUAGAAAUUUAUGCGUAUGGGAUUGAAGGGGGACCAAUAUAUCUUAUUGCUAUGGUUGGGUUUUACNNNNNNNNNNNNNNNNNNNNNNNNNNNNNNNNNNNNNNNNNNNNNNNNNNNNNNNNNNNNNNNNNNNNNNNNNNNNNNNNNNNNNNNNNNNNNNNNNNNNUUAUCGAGAAAGGCUACAAUUGAUCCCCUAUACUUGUGUGUUAUCAAGACCUUUUUCUGGCGCCGUUGCCGGGGAGCAAUAGCGUGGGGUGAAUAUCCUCGUGUGUGCUUGUUUGCUUUAUCACUAAGUAGAUUGAUUUGCUGUUCUAAGUUGUUCUCUAUCUUUAGUUAUGGAUAUGUAACAUGAAAUACCAAAAAAAUUAGGUGUACUUGCUACUCAUGGAGAUGGGGAACCUCCUAAAACCCUCGAGGCUCGUUAUGUGGAAAAUAUUAUGCACUUCUUUAAUAAUCCUGAGAAAGCCCCAUUCAAUUAUAUAAUGGGAUACACGUUGGAUCAACGUGAAUACUUUAGGGAUUAUCACUUGACUCAAAAAGGGAAACUUUUAUGGGAUCAAAUCCAUUUGUUGAAAUGGUAUGCUUGGGAACUAUGCAAGAGAUAUGGUGUUACUUGUUGCUCUAGGAUGAAGGCUCCACACCUUCCCUUUUCUUGUGAAUUUAAUGAUCAUAGAACCUUGGCUUCUUAUGCUAAUGGUAUAUAUGAUUACUAUUAUGUGGAUCAAAUAGAAGAGUUUGUUGCUUUUAUGGGUGCUUAUGAAAUUGAGGCUCUGUUUAAAAGGUGUGAUGAUAAUGAUGAUGCUCCUUCCGAUCUGAAAAUUUGGCUAUGCUUCGUUAUUGUUAUACUAAUUAUGAAUAUAAUGCCCAUAUUGAACGAUUUAAGGAGAAAUCAUAUGCUACCCAAGAAGAGACUAUUAUUUUGCAGGAAACUAUGGAAGAAGAAAAUGCUGAAAUUGUGAGCUCAUUAGAUGAAAAAGAUGAAGAGGAGAGCGAAGAACAAAAUGAGGAAGANNNNNNNNNNNNNNNGGAAGAGCGGACUAGCUACCCGUGUCCACCUUCUAAUGAGAGUAACUCUUCUACUCAUACAUUAUUUAAUUUCCCUUCGUUCUUACCUAAGGAUGAAUGCUAUGAUCCUUUGGAUUCGUUUGAAAUAUCCCUUUUUGAUGAACUUGAUGCAUGUUAUGCUUGUGGCCAUGUUGCCAUGAAUGAUGCUUAUGAAGAUGAGCUAGCUAUAAUUCCUUAUGUUACACAUGGUGAUUUUGAUGAAUAUACUUUGCAUGUGCUUGCUGCUCCUACUUGCAAUUAUUAUGAGAGAGGAACUACAUCUCCACCUCUCUAUGUUUCCAAUACGAUAAAAUUGCAAGAAACUGCUUAUGCUAUGUAUUGGCCUUUACUUGAUGUGCAUGAAUUGUUCUUUUAUGACAUGCCAAUGCAUAGGAAGAGAGUUAGACUUUGUCAUUACAUGAUAUAUGUUACCUUGUGAUCACUACUAAAUUUCAAAUCAUUGCUAAUUAAAAAUGGCUUUGAUAUACCUUGGGAUCCUGGUGGAUCCAUUACUUGAGCACUUUAUGCCUAGCUUAAUGGCUUUAAAGAAAGCGCUGCCUGGGAGACAACCCGGAAGUUUUAGGGAGUCAUUUAUUUCUGUUGAGUGCUUUGAUUUAGUUUAAAAACAAAAAAAAUAGAGGGGAACUUAAAACUUUUUCAAAAAGAGAAGCGAUUGAAAGGUGAUGCAUUGCGGAAGUGAGGUCGACCUUGAACACUUGUGUUCAUGCUCAUGGAAACAAUGUAGAAUUUUUCAUGGAAGUUUCUCACAAAAAUAAUUAUCCCCUUGUAAAAUUCCUUUGUGUUUUUAAAAAUAAUGUGCCAAGCAAAGCCUUUACGAUUAGUUUGGGUGAUAGUUGUUUGAUCACGCUGAGAAAAGACAGAAACUUUCUUAUCACGAAAUUAAUUUUCAUUUUUAUUAUUGAAGAGAUUUUGAGUUGAUUCUUUUUUCUGCUGAUUGAUAUGCAAAUUUUCCAGACGUUCGUAAUUUUUCAGAUUUUUUGAGAUAUCAGAAGUAUACGGAAUAUACAGAUUGCUACAGACUGUUCUGUUUUGACAGAUUCUGUUUUCUAUGCAUUGUUCUCUUAUUUUGAUGAAUCUAUGGGUAGUAUCGGGGGGUAUGAACAAUGGUGAAGUUGGAUUUACAGUAGAUAUAAUGCUAAUAUAAAUUUAGAAUGAGUUCACAACAGUACUUGAAGUGGUGAUUUAUUUUAUUAUACUAACGGAUCUCAUGAAGUUUUGUUGAGUUUUGUGUGAUUGAAGUUUUCAAGUUUUGGGUGAGAGCAUGAUGGAUGAAGGAAUAAGGAGAGGCAAGAGCCUAAGCUUGGGGAUGCCCGAGGCACCCAAGGUAAUAUUCAAGGAAGACUCAAGCGUCUAAGCUUGGGGAUGCCCCGGAAGGCAUCCCCUCUUUCGUCUACAAUCUAUCGGUAAUUUUACUCGGAGCUAUAUUUUAAUUCGUCACAUGAUAUGUGUUUUGCUUGGAGCGCCUUUUGUGUUUAUUUUCCCUUUUUAUUUUAUGCACCAUGCUGGUAUGAGAUAGUCCUUGGUUGGCUUUAUAGAAUGCUUCUUGUGCUUCACUUUUAUCUUUUGAAGUUUGGAUUGCCUAUUUCCNNNNNNNNNNNNNNNNNNNNNNNNNNNNNNNNNNNNNNNNNNNNNNNNNNNNNNNNNNNNNNNNNNNNNNNNNNNNNNNNNNNNNNNNNNNNNNNNNNNNUUGCUUGAUAACUGGAUCACGUCAUUAGGAGAAUCACGUGAUGGACUAGACCCAAACUAAUAGACGUAGCAUGUUGAUCGUGUCAUUUUGUUGCUACUGUUUUCUGCGUGUCAAGUAUUUGUUCCUAUGACCAUGAGAUCAUAUAACACACUGACACCGGAGGAAUGCUUUGUGUGUAUCAAACGUCGCAACGUAACUGGGUGACUAUAAAGAUGCUCUACAGGUAUAUCCGAAGGUGUUCGUUGAGUUAGUAUGGAUCGAGACUGGGAUUUGUCACUCCGUGUGACGGAGAGGUAUCUCGGGGCCCACUCGGUAAUACAACAUCACACACAAGCCUUGCAAGCAAUGUGACUUAGUGUAAGUUGCGGGAUCUUGUAUUACGGAACGAGUAAAGAGACUUGCCGGUAAACGAGAUUGAAAUAGGUAUGCGGAUAGUGACGAUCGAAUCUCGGGCAAGUAACAUACCGAAGGACAAAGGGAAUGACAUACGGGAUUAUAUGAAUCCUUGGCACUGAGGUUCAAACGAUAAGAUCUUCGUAGAAUAUGUGGGAUCCAAUAUGGGCAUCUAGGUCCCGCUAUUGGAUAUUGACCGAGGAGUCAAUCGGGUCAUGUCUGCAUAGUUCUCGAACCCGCAGGGUCUGCACACUUAAGGUUCGACGUUGUUUUAUGCGUAUUUGAGUUAUAUGGUUGGUUACCGAAUGUUGUUCGGAGUCCCGGAUGAGAUCACGGACGUCACGAGGGCUUCCGGAAUGGUCCGGAAACGAAGAUUGAUAUAAUAGGAUGACCUCAUUUGAUUACCAGAAGGUUUUCGGAGUUACCGGGAAUGUACCGGGAAUGACGAAUGGGUUCCAGGUGUUCACCGGGGGGGGGGGGGCAACCCACCCCGAGGAAGCCCAUAGGCCUUGGGGGUGGCGCACCAGCCCUUGGUGGGCUGGUGGGACAGCCCAAGAAGGCUCUAUGCGCCAAGGAUAGAAAAUCAAAGAGAAAGAAAAAAAAGGAGGUGGGAAAGGAGAGAAGGACUCCACUUUCCAAUCCUAGUUGGACUAGGAUUGGAGGAGGACUCCUCCUCCCUUGGUGGCGCAGCCCUUGGGGCUCCUUGAGCCUCAAGGCAAGCCUCCCCUCCCUCGUCCUAUAUAUAUGGAGCAAUUAGGGCUGAUUUGAGACAACUUUUCAAAGGCAGCCCGACCACAUACCUCCACGGUUUUACCUCUAGAUCGCGUUUCUACGGAGCUCGGGCGGAGCCUUGCCGAGAUCAGAUCACCACCAACCUCCGGAGCGUCGUCACGCUGCCGGAGAACUCAUCUACCUAUCCAUCUGUCUUGCUGGAUCAAGAAGGCCGAGAUCAUCGUCGAGCUGUACGUGUGCUGAACGCGGAGGUGCUGUCCGUUUGGCACUAGAACGUGGGACGGAUCGCGGGACAGAUCGCGGGACGGUUCGCGGGGCGGAUCGAGGGACGUGAGGACGUUCCACUACAUCAACCACGUUCACUAAUGCUUCUGUUGUGCGAUCUACAAGGGUAAGUAGAUCGGAAAUCCCCUCUCGUAGAUGGACAUCACCAUGAUAGGUCUUCGUGUGCGUAGGAAAAUUUUGUUUCCCAUGCAACGUUCCCCAACACCACAAGCCCUAUUGCCGCGGCCACCCCCCUGGCCGCGGCAACCAAGCUUGUGGGGCCCACGUGGCUCUGCCGCCCCCAAUCUCAGCUCUAUAAAUUCACUUUCGCCCAGAAAAAAAUCAGAAGAGAAGAUUUCGUCGCGUUUGCAAUACGGAGGCGCCGCCACAUCCUGUUCUUCAUCUAGAGGACAGAUCUGGAGUCCGUUUUGGGCUCCGGAGAUGGGAAAUCGUCGCCAUCCUCAUCAACAACCUUCUUCCCUCUCCAGUUCCAUGAAGCUCUUCAUCGUUCGAAAGUAAUCUAUUUGUAGGCUCGUUGGGCGGUGAUUAGUAGGAUGAGAUCUAUCAUGUAAUCGAGUUAGUUUUGAUGGGGAUUGAUCCCUAGUAUCCACUAUGUUCUGAGAUUGAUGUUGCUACUACUUCGCCAUGCUUAAUGCUUGUCACUAGGGCCCGAGUGCCAUGAUUUCAGAUCUGAAAUUAUUAUGUUGUCACCAAUAUAUGUGUGUUUUAGAUCCGAUCUUGCAAGUUGUAGUUACCUACUAUGUGUUAUGAUCCGGCAAUCCCGGAGUGACAAUAACCGGAACCGCUCCCGGCGAUAACCAUAGUUUGAGGAGUUCAUGUGUUCACCAAGUGCUAAUGCGUUGUUCUGGUUCUUUAUUAAAAGGAGAACCUUAAUAUCCCGUAGUAUCCUUUUGGACCCCGCUGCCACGGGAGGGAUGGACAAUAGAUGUCAUGCAAGUUCUUUUCCCUAAGCACGUAUGACUACACACGGAAUGCAUGCCUACAUCACAUUGACGAACGGGAGCUAGCCACAUAUCUCUCCGUGUUAUAACUGUUGCAUGAUAAAUGUUGAUACGUCUCCGUCGUAUCUAUAAUUUUUGAUUUUUUCAUGCCAAUAUUCUACAACUUUCAUAUACUUUUGGCAACUUUUUAUACUAUUUUUGGGACUAACAUAUUGAUCCAGUGCCCAGUGUCAGUUCCUGUUUGUUGCAGGUUUUUUGUUUCGCAGAAUAUCCAUACCAAACGAAGUCCAAACGUAAUAAAAACUUAGGGGAUUUUUUUGGAAUAUUUUUGAUUUUUGGGAAGAAGAAUCAACGUGAGGCGAUGCACGGAGUGCCCACAAGCCUUGUCGCCGCGACUAGGGGGUGGGCCCGCGGCAGGCAGGCUUGUGGCCACUCCUUAAGGCGGUUGGAGCCCUUCUUUCGCCGUAAGAAAGAUAUUAUCCGAAAGAAAAUCGUGUUAAAAUUUCAGCCCAAUCGGAGUUAUGGAUCUCCGGGAAUUUAAGAAACGGUGAAACGCAGAAUCUGGGAGCGCGGAAACAGAAGGACACAAAGAGAGAGAUCCAAUCUCGAAGGGGCUCUCGCCCCUCCGCCGCCAUGGAGACCAUGGACCAGAGGGAAAACCCAUCUCCCAUCUAGGGAGGAGGUCAAGGAAGAAGAAGAAGGAGGGGGGCUCUCUCCCCCUCUCUCCUGACGGCGCCGGAACGCCGCCCGAGACAUCAUCGUGUGGCGACGAUCUACACCAACACCUCUGUCAUCUUCACCAACAUCUCCAUCAUCUUCCCCCAUCUAUAUUCAGCGAUUCACUCUCCCGCAACCCGCUGUACCCUCUACUUGAACAUGGUGCUUUAUGCUACAUAUUAUUAUCCAAUGAUGUGUUGCUAUCCUAUGAUGUCUGAGUAGAUUAUCGUUGUCCUAUCGGUGAUUGAUGAAUUGCUAUGAUUGGUUUAAUUUGCUUGUGGUUAUGUUGCUGUCCUUUGGUGCCCAUCAUAUGAUCGCGCGCGUGGAUCACACCAUAGGGUUAGUUGUAUGUUGAUAGGAGUAUGUAUUGGCAGGCUAGAGUGACAGAAGCUUCAAACCUAGCAUAGAAAUUUAUGCGUAUGGGAUUGAAGGGGGACCAAUAUAUCUUAUUGCUAUGGUUGGGUUUUACCUUAAUGAACGUUAGUAGUUGCGGAUGCUUGCUAAUAGUUCCAAUCAUAAGUGCAUAGAAUCCCAAGUAAGGGAUGACAUGCUAGCAGAUGCCUCUCCCACAUGAUACUUGCUAUCGAUCUAGUAACGUAGUCAAUUGCUUAGGGACAAUUCCGCAACUCCUACCACCACUUUUCCACACUCGUUAAACACUUGUAGUUGUUUCUUUAUCUAACCAGCCCCUAGUUUUAUUUACGUGUUCUUUACUUUCUUGCAAGCCUAUCCUAUCACUCGUACAAAGUACUUCUAGUUUCAUACUUGAUCUAGGUAAAGCAAACGUAAAGUGUGCGUAGAGUUGUAUCGGUGGUCGAUAGAACUUGAGGGAAUAUUUGUCCUACCUUUAGCUCCUCGUUGGGUUCGACACUCUUACUUAUCGAGAAAGGCUACAAUUGAUCCCCUAUACUUGUGUGUUAUCAAGACCUUUUUCUGGCGCCGUUGCCGGGGAGCAAUAGCGUGGGGUGAAUAUCCUCGUGUGUGCUUGUUUGCUUUAUCACUAAGUAGAUUGAUUUGCUGUUCUAAGUUGUUCUCUAUCUUUAGUUAUGGAUAUGUAACAUGAAAUACCAAAAAAAUUAGGUGUACUUGCUACUCAUGGAGAUGGGGAACCUCCUAAAACCCUCGAGGCUCGUUAUGUGGAAAAUAUUAUGCACUUCUUUAAUAAUCCUGAGAAAGCCCCAUUCAAUUAUAUAAUGGGAUACACGUUGGAUCAACGUGAAUACUUUAGGGAUUAUCACUUGACUCAAAAAGGGAAACUUUUAUGGGAUCAAAUCCAUUUGUUGAAAUGGUAUGCUUGGGAACUAUGCAAGAGAUAUGGUGUUACUUGUUGCUCUAGGAUGAAGGCUCCACACCUUCCCUUUUCUUGUGAAUUUAAUGAUCAUAGAACCUUGGCUUCUUAUGCUAAUGGUAUAUAUGAUUACUAUUAUGUGGAUCAAAUAGAAGAGUUUGUUGCUUUUAUGGGUGCUUAUGAAAUUGAGGCUCUGUUUAAAAGGUGUGAUGAUAAUGAUGAUGCUCCUUCCGAUCUGAAAAUUUGGCUAUGCUUCGUUAUUGUUAUACUAAUUAUGAAUAUAAUGCCCAUAUUGAACGAUUUAAGGAGAAAUCAUAUGCUACCCAAGAAGAGACUAUUAUUUUGCAGGAAACUAUGGAAGAAGAAAAUGCUGAAAUUGUGAGCUCAUUAGAUGAAAAAGAUGAAGAGGAGAGCGAAGAACAAAAUGAGGAAGAGCGGACUAGCUACCCGUGUCCACCUUCUAAUGAGAGUAACUCUUCUACUCAUACAUUAUUUAAUUUCCCUUCGUUCUUACCUAAGGAUGAAUGCUAUGAUCCUUUGGAUUCGUUUGAAAUAUCCCUUUUUGAUGAACUUGAUGCAUGUUAUGCUUGUGGCCAUGUUGCCAUGAAUGAUGCUUAUGAAGAUGAGCUAGCUAUAAUUCCUUAUGUUACACAUGGUGAUUUUGAUGAAUAUACUUUGCAUGUGCUUGCUGCUCCUACUUGCAAUUAUUAUGAGAGAGGAACUACAUCUCCACCUCUCUAUGUUUCCAAUACGAUAAAAUUGCAAGAAACUGCUUAUGCUAUGUAUUGGCCUUUACUUGAUGUGCAUGAAUUGUUCUUUUAUGACAUGCCAAUGCAUAGGAAGAGAGUUAGACUUUGUCAUUACAUGAUAUAUGUUACCUUGUGAUCACUACUAAAUUUCAAAUCAUUGCUAAUUAAAAAUGGCUUUGAUAUACCUUGGGAUCCUGGUGGAUCCAUUACUUGAGCACUUUAUGCCUAGCUUAAUGGCUUUAAAGAAAGCGCUGCCUGGGAGACAACCCGGAAGUUUUAGGGAGUCAUUUAUUUCUGUUGAGUGCUUUGAUUUAGUUUAAAAACAAAAAAAAUAGAGGGGAACUUAAAACUUUUUCAAAAAGAGAAGCGAUUGAAAGGUGAUGCAUUGCGGAAGUGAGGUCGACCUUGAACACUUGUGUUCAUGCUCAUGGAAACAAUGUAGAAUUUUUCAUGGAAGUUUCUCACAAAAAUAAUUAUCCCCUUGUAAAAUUCCUUUGUGUUUUUAAAAAUAAUGUGCCAAGCAAAGCCUUUACGAUUAGUUUGGGUGAUAGUUGUUUGAUCACGCUGAGAAAAGACAGAAACUUUCUUAUCACGAAAUUAAUUUUCAUUUUUAUUAUUGAAGAGAUUUUGAGUUGAUUCUUUUUUCUGCUGAUUGAUAUGCAAAUUUUCCAGACGUUCGUAAUUUUUCAGAUUUUUUGAGAUAUCAGAAGUAUACGGAAUAUACAGAUUGCUACAGACUGUUCUGUUUUGACAGAUUCUGUUUUCUAUGCAUUGUUCUCUUAUUUUGAUGAAUCUAUGGGUAGUAUCGGGGGGUAUGAACAAUGGUGAAGUUGGAUUUACAGUAGAUAUAAUGCUAAUAUAAAUUUAGAAUGAGUUCACAACAGUACUUGAAGUGGUGAUUUAUUUUAUUAUACUAACGGAUCUCAUGAAGUUUUGUUGAGUUUUGUGUGAUUGAAGUUUUCAAGUUUUGGGUGAGAGCAUGAUGGAUGAAGGAAUAAGGAGAGGCAAGAGCCUAAGCUUGGGGAUGCCCGAGGCACCCAAGGUAAUAUUCAAGGAAGACUCAAGCGUCUAAGCUUGGGGAUGCCCCGGAAGGCAUCCCCUCUUUCGUCUACAAUCUAUCGGUAAUUUUACUCGGAGCUAUAUUUUAAUUCGUCACAUGAUAUGUGUUUUGCUUGGAGCGCCUUUUGUGUUUAUUUUCCCUUUUUAUUUUAUGCACCAUGCUGGUAUGAGAUAGUCCUUGGUUGGCUUUAUAGAAUGCUUCUUGUGCUUCACUUUUAUCUUUUGAAGUUUGGAUUGCCUAUUUCCCUACACAUAGAAAACCGCCAUUUGUAGAAUGCUUUUUUGCUUCACUUAUAUAUGUUAGAGCGGGGCAUAUCUUUUGUAGAAAUAAUUAAAAUCUCAUGCUUCACUUAUACCUAUUUAGAGAGUUAACAGGAGUUGGUCACUCACAUGGUUAGUCAUAAAAUCCUACAUAAAACUUGUAGAUAACUGAAUAUGAUAUGUUUGAUUCCUUGCAACAGUUCUACGACAUGAAUAUGUGAUAUUAGAGUCAUGCUAGUGAGUAAUUGUGUAUUUUUAGAAAUACUUGUGUUAAGGUUUGUGAUUCCCGUAGCAUGCACGUAUGGUGAACCGUUAUGUGAUGAAGUCGGAGCAUGAUUUAUUUAUUGAUUGUCAUCCUUUGUGUGGAGGUCGGGAUCGCACGAUGGUUAACUCCUACCAACCUUUCCCCUAGGAGCAUGCGUGUAGUACCUUGUUUCGAUGACUAAUAGACUUUUGCAGUAAGUAUGUCAGUUCUUUAUGACUAAUGUUGAGUCCAUGGAUUAUACGCACUCUCACCCUUCCACCAUUGCUAGCCUCUCUAGUACCGCGCAACUUUCGCCGGUGCAUUACACCCACCAUAUAGCCUCCCUCAAAACAGCCACCGUACCUAUGUAUUAUGGCAUUUUCAUAGCCAUUCCGAGAUAUAUUGCCAUGCAACUACCACCUUCCGUCUUAUGACAUGUGCCACCACUUCCAUAUUGCCAUUGCAUGAUCGUAAGAUAGCUAGCAUGAUGUUUCCAUGGCUUGUCCGUUUUUUGAUGUCAUUGCUAUGCUAGAUCAUUGUCACGGUACACUACCGAAGGCAUUUCAUAUAGAGUCAUCAUUGCCCUAAGUAUUGAGUUGUAAGUGUGAUGAUCAUUAUUAAUAGAGCAUUGUCCCAUGUGAGGAAAUAAAAGAGGCCAGUGAAGCCCAUUUACAAAAAAUAGGCCAAAGAUGGCCACCAAAAAUAUAAUAAUAUAUAAAAAUAAAAAAAGAGGCCAAAGAGCCCACAAAAAAAGAGAGAGAAAAGAGAGAAGGGACAAUUGCUACUAUCCUCUUUCCACACUGGUGCUUCAAAUAGCACUAUGAUCUUCAUGAUAGAGAGUCUCAUAUGUUGUCACUUACAUAUACUAGUGGGAAAUUUUCAUUAUAUAACUUGGCUUGUAUAUUCCAAUGAUGGGAUUCCUCAAAAUUGCCCUAGGUCUUCGUGAGCAAGCAAGUUGGGUGCACACCCACUAGUUUCUUUUGUGAGCUUUCAUACACUUAUAAGCUCUAGUGCAUCCGUUGCGUGGCAAUCCCUACUCACUCACAUUGAUAUCUAUUGAUGGGCAUCUCCAUAGCCCGUUGAUACGCCUAGUUGAUGUGAGACUAUCUCCUCCUUUUUUGUCUUCUCCAUGACCACCAUAUUCUCUUCCACCUAUAGCGCUAUGUCCAUGGCUCACGCUCAUGUAUUGCGUGAAAGUUGAAAAGUUUUGAGAACACUAAAGUAUGAAACAAUUGCUUGGCUAAAACCGGGGUUGUGCAUGAUUUAAAUACGUUGUGUGGGGAAGAUGGAGCAUAGUCAGACUAUAUGAUUUUGUAGGGAUAACUUUCUUUGGCCAUGAUAUUUUGAGAAGACAUGAUUGCUUUGUUAAUAUGCUUGAAAUAUUAUUGUCUUUAUGUCAAAUGAUAGACGAUUGCUUCGAAUCACUCGUGUUUUAGUAUUCAUGCCAUGAUUAGAUUAUAUGAUCAAGAUUAUGCUAGGUAGCAUUCCACAUCAAAUAUUAUCUUUUUUAUCAUUUACCUACUCGAGGAUGAGCAUGAAUUAAGCUUGGGGAUGCUGAUACGUCUCCGACGUAUCUAUAUUUUUUGAUUGUUUCAUGCCAAUAUUCUACAACUUUCAUAUACUUUUGGCAACUUUUUAUACUAUUUUUGGGACUAACAUAUUGAUCCAGUGCCCAGUGUCAGUUCCUGUUUGUUGCAUGUUUUCUGUUUCGCAGAAUAUCCAUACCAAACGAAGUCCAAACGUAAUAAAAACUUACGGGGAUUUUUUUGGAAUAUUUUUGAUUUUUGGGAAGAAGAAUGAACGCGAGGCGAUGCACGGAGUGCCCACAAGCCCUGUCGCCGCAGCCAGGGGGUGGGCCCACGGCAGGCAGGCUUGUGGCCACUCCUUAAGGCGGUUGGAGCCCUUCUUUCGCCGCAAGAAAGAUAUUGUCCGCAAGAAAAUCGUGUUAAAAUUUCAGCCCAAUCGGAGUUACGGAUCUCCGAGAAUUUAAGAAACGGUGAAACGCAGAAUCUGGGAGCGCGGAAACAGAAGGACACAAAGAGAGAGAUCCAAUCUCGGAGGGGCUCUCGCCCCUCCGCCGCCAUGGAGACCAUGGACCAUAGGGGAAACCCUUCUCCCAUCUAGGGCGGAGGUCAAGAAAGAAGAAGAAGGAGGGGGGCUCUCUCCCCCUCUCUCCCGGCGGCGCCGGAACGCCGCCCGGGACAUCAUCGUGUGGCGACGAUCUACACCAACACCUCUGUCAUCUUCACCAACAUCUCCAUCAUCUUCCCCCAUCUAUAUUCAGCGAUUCACUCUCCCGCAACCCGCUGUACCCUCUACUUGAACAUGGUUCUUUAUGCUACAUAUUAUUAUCCAAUGAUGUGUUGCUAUCCUAUGAUGUCUGAGUAGAUUAUCGUUGUCCUAUCGGUGAUUGAUGAAUUGCUAUGAUUGGUUUAAUUUGCUUGUGGUUAUGUUGCUGUCCUUUGGUGCUCAUCAUAUGAUCGCGCACGUGGAUCACACCAUAGGGUUAGUUGUAUGUUGAUAGGACUAUGUAUUGGCAGGCUAGAGUGGCAGAAGCUUCAAACCUAGCAUAGAAAUUGAUGCAUAUGGAUUGAAGGGGGACCAAUAUAUCUUAUUGCUAUGGUUGGGUUUUACCUUAAUGAACGUUAGUAGUUGCGGACGCUUGCUAAUAGUUCCAAUCAUAAGUGCAUAGAAUCCCAAGUAAGGGAUGGCAUGCUAGCAGAGGCCUCUCCCACAUGAUACUUGCUAUCGAUCUAGUAACGUAGUCAAUUGCUUAGGGACAAUUCCGCAACUCCUACCACCACUUUUCCACACUCGUUAGACACUCGUAGUUGUUUCUUUAUCUAACCAGCCCCUAGUUUUAUUUACGUGUUCUUUACUUUCUUGCAAGUCUAUCCUAUCACUCCUAUAAUGUACUUCUAGUUUCAUACUUGUUCUAGGUAAAGCAAACGUAAAGUGUGCGUAGAGUUGUAUCGGUGGUCGAUAGAACUUGAGGGAAUAUUUGUCCUACCUUUAGCUCCCCGUUGGGUUCGACACUCUUACUUAUCGAGAAAGGCUACAAUUGAUCCCCUAUACUUGUGUGUUAUCAAAUGUCAUCCAAACGAAUCACCGACCCAUUGCCUAUGAGUUCGUCCAACUGCUGUUGUUACUUGUUUUGCUCUGCUGUUACUGCUGUUGCUACUUGCUACUGCUGUUACUACUGUUGCUACUUGCUGCUGCUGUUACUACUGUUGCUACUUGCUACUGCUGUCACUACUGAUGUUCCUUGCUACUGUUGUUACUCGUUACACUGCUGCUACCCGCUACAAUUCUGGUAUGCUCGGCGUUGACGGGAAAAGACAAUUUCCGUCAACUGGCAACUUCUGGCGCCAUUGAUACGACAGUUAGGAAUAGUCUGCCGUCAACAGAUCGUUUCUGACACCGUUGUUAUCAUCCUACUUUGCUACUGAUACUAAUCUUUCAGGUGCGGUUGAAUCUGAUACAUUCAGCUGCUAAUACUCGAGAGUAUCCUCUCACCUCCUGUCUGGCGAAUCAACAAAUAUGGGUCGAAUACUCUACCCUCGAAAACUGCCACGAACCCACGCGCUGGUGGGCCAUUGCAAGACAAUUGCUAAUUGUUGAGCAACUGGGAGCAGUUCUGGCUCUGUUGUCGCGAAGGCAUCAAGUCAGGGACUCGUCAACAACAUUCUUCUAGUGCUGUUGCCGGGGACUCCUAAGCAACAUUUUUCUGGCGCCGUUGCCGGGGAGGUAUUGCUAUAUUCUCCGAGUCACUUGGGAUUUAUAUCUGCUGAUCACUAUGAAGAAUCUGAAAGAUCCAAAAACCAAAGUCUUUCCCUCAACUACGAGGGGAGGUAAGGAACUGCCAUCUAGCUCUACACUUGAUUCACCUUCAGGUAUGAGUAAGUUUGCGACAUCACCUCCUGCUGGAAAUCUUGAUAUGUCGCAUGUGCUUGAUGAUGCUUAUGAUGCUACUUCUAGAGAUGCUAUGCUUGAUACUAUGCCUAAUGAUGCUAUGCUUGAUACUGCUAGAGAUGCUAUGCCUGAUACUGCUAGAGAUGCUAUGCCUGAUACUGCUUUGCCUGAUGAUGCUAGAGAUGCUAUUUUGCCUGAUGAUACUAUGCUUGAUGAUGCUAGAGAUACUACUUUGCCUGAUGUGCCACUAGGGGUAUUCCUUGAUGCUCAUAUGGCUAGAGUUACUGCCAAUGCUCGUGAUGCUUCUGAAACUACCGAUACUAUUGAGAUAGAACCUGCUUUUGCUCCUGCUAGAUCUAGCUCUCCUAGAUAUGAAUUGCCUGAUAUACCUGAGGGUUACGUUAUGGAGGGAGAGAUAGCUGAGGAUUUUCUUGCGUGUAAGGAUGCCUAUGACGCUGAUAAAUUACUUCUCAAGUGGAAGGAAAAAUCUCUGAAAGCUAGGAUGAAAUACGACCCGAAGUUUGCCACUUCACCUAUCUUUAUCACCGAUAAGGAUUAUGAAUUCUCUGUCGAUCCUGAGAUAAUCUCUCUAGUCGAAUCUGAUCCUUUCACGGUUAUGAGUCUGAGACGGUCGUAGCCCAUCUUACCAAACUACACGAUAUAGUGACCCUUUUCACUAGUGAGGAGAAGAUCCGCCACUAUUAUAUCCUUAAGCUGUUUCCUUUCUCUCUAAAGGAUGACGCUAAAGCCUGGUUCACUUCUCUUGCUCCUGGAUGUGUGAGUAGUCCCCAGGAUAUGGUCUAUUACUUCUGUGAGAAAUAUUUCCCUGCCCAUAAGAAGCAAGUUGCCUUGCAGGAAAUAUAUAGCUUUGCUCAACUCAAAGAAGAGAGUUUCCCANNNNNNNNNNNNNNNNNNNNNNNNNNNNNNNNNNNNNNNNNNNNNNNNNNNNNNNNNNNNNNNNNNNNNNNNNNNNNNNNNNNNNNNNNNNNNNNNNNNNUGCCGCGCCCGCCCCGGCCACCGUCCAGCCCGCCCCCGCGAAGAAGAGCCGACCGAAGGUCUCCUCGCGUGGGCCGCGAGGGGCUUCCUCGAAGGCCGCGGGCGCAUCCCCGAAGCGGAAGGAGGUCGCGGCGCGGAAGAAGCCCGCGACCCCGGCCGUCGCCGUCGUCGAACCUCCUCCCGCCACGCACGAGGUGUUCGAGGAAAUGGCAACCCCAACCUCGUUCAUGGACCUCCUUCAAGACGCGGAAGUGGACCUCGGGGCUCCGCCUCUAGAACCCUUUGGUGAGGAGGUUGAAGAAGAUGAGGAGGAUGAAGGGGAUGACGAGGAGGAGGUGGCCGAGAUAGGGGAGGAGGCAUUCACCGCCGCUUCCCGCCCACACGCGCGAUCGAAAAACUACACCGAAGCGGAAGAUAUCCUCUUGGUUCGUGCUUGGGAAUCCGUGGGGAUGGAUGCAACCACCGGCACCGAUCAAACCGGUAAAAGGUAUUGGCACAGAAUCGAGGACAACUAUUGUAGGAUCAAGCCGAAGAAUUGUGGGUUCAUCUCUCGCAGUUACCGGUCGCUUCAAGGCCGGUGGGAUUUGAUGAAGCCCGCUUGUGCUCGUUGGAGUGCGGCCAUGGACCAAGUGAGGGAUGCACCACCUAGUGGAACCGUGGAGAGUGACUAUGUGAGUACAUAUCUCUUCACUAUUUUGAUUAUGUGUGUGUACUAUGUGGGUUCUUAUGUGAUUAUGUGUGGUUUAUAGGAGACAAUUGCCGGCAUGAGGUACAAGAAGAUGGUCGCUUCCAAGGGCAAGCCAUUCCCAUUUAAGCAUGCUUGGGCAAUUCUUCAAACCUUUGACAAGUGGAAGUUGAGGGAUCAAGAGACCGCAUCCAAGAAGUCGGCAAUGCUUAGGAUGGAUGAUAGUGAAGAUGAGGAGAAGGAGAGGAACUUGGGCAAGCCCGAGGGAACCAAGAAGGGCAAGCAAAGGGUGAAGAUGGAAGGAGAGGCAUCAAGCCUAAGGGAGAAGAUGGAGCAAAUGAUGAAGGCAAGAGAGGAAUUGACAAGGAAGACAUUGGAGACGAAGAUUCUUAUCACCGAGAAGAAGAAAGAGGUCAAGCUUGCACAAGUUGAAGCAAAACGUGAAGAAGCAAAGCGCAAGGCCGACUUGGAGGAGAUGAUGAUCAAGGUGAAAGAGGCAAAGGUAUGGAAAGAACUCAUGGUGGAAGAGAAGGAGCACAUGAUGAUGUCCAAGAAGGACAUGGAUGAAGAACAAUUGCAAUGGUGGAAGGACUACAAGGAGGACAUCGCAGAGAGGAAGAGGAUAUUCCGUGGUGCGUCAUCUACUCUUCGAGGUGACACUCCGAUGAGUGGUGGUGGCGAUGGCGGUGUGGAUGACUCCAAUGGAGGUGCUUGAUGGACGUGCAAGUGGUCUAGGAAAUGGCGCCAAGUGCAAGUUUUUGGUGAUGGUGCCGAUGAGAGGGGGAAGAUGAUGAUUGUGUGAUGUAAAAACUAUUAAACCAUGCAUCAAUGAUCUUUAUUUCCGUGUUUGUUUGAAGGUUUAUUAUGUUUGUCUUGUGAAAAUUAUGCAAUGCCAAAUGACAGUUUUAAGGGUUGGGGUUGGGGCAAAGACUAGAACCCUCAAACCCAACCCUUAUAUUCCUUUAUAAGGGUUGGGUUUGAGGGUUCUAGUCUUUGCCCCUGUUUUUCAACCUUUAAAAGUGUCAAAAAUGGGCAAUUCUCAACCCUUAAAACUGAUUUUACAUUUAAGGGUUUGAGGGUUCUACUAGAGAUGCUCUAAACCAUGACGGAGGGAGUACAUGUAAAACACUUUAAUGUAAUUAUCAUAUGUUACAUAUAGCUGAAAUAUGAUGUUGGAAGGUAGGCUUCAGUCUAUUGAAGCCUCCUAACUAGAAUGGUCAUUAGAUACAUCAAACCACCGUUAGCUUGAUUGUCGUUUGUUUAUUCACACAGUGAAAACAACUUGCGCUAUCUAAGCGACGUGUGAAAAAAAACGUGUUUUUUACGCGCGCGCUCAUGUUGGCUUGUCCAACAGAGGCGUUAAAGUCGAACAUAUUGGAUAAUCGAUUACGCGCGUGGAGCGAAACCCAUCCCGCACUGGGUAUUUCACGCGUUUGUUCCCGCGCACACAAUACUGCAUUCUCUCCCGCACGCUCCCUCUCUUCCGCCCCGCCCUGCGCCGCUGCCCGGAUUCUUCCUCCCUUGCUUCGACGCGCCGUCGCAGCUUUCCCCGCCCUUUCCCGCGCCAUCGUUGCUUUAUCCACCUCCCCCACUCACCUCCGCCGCUCGAGCGCACCAUCCUUUCGACGAACAACGCCCGACGGUCGUUUGGAGCUCGACGCUCACAAGGUAUUCGACGAAACGCUUGCAAGGUAUGUAUAUUUCAACUUUAAAUUUUACAAACGAAUUUGAUGCAUUUUGUUCAUAGUUUUAAACUAAUUUCAAUAUUGUAGAUGAGGUCAUCCUAUGUUUCUUUCGACCAAAAAUUGAUAUGCAAGAGGAGGAGGACUUCAUCACUCAAUUUCAUCCAGGAAUUACUCGAUCUUCCUUAUCUUGCUCUUGGUCUCCUCCUUAUGCGUGAAGAGAUCACCAAUCAUAUACUCACUAGUAGAAAAAGGGCCUUUUGUCCCGGUUCGUAAGGGCCUUCUGUCCCGGUUUCGGAACCGGGACAAAAAGGUCGUUACUAAUGCCCUUGGCCUUUAGUCACGGUUCUUACACGAACUAGGACAGAUGGGCCUCCACGUGCCCGGUGCGGCGAGCCCAGGCAGGAGGCACCAACUGGGACCAAUAGGCAUCCACGCGUCAGCAUUUCAGGUGCUGGGGUUUUUGUUUUUUUGAAAGGGGGGGGGGGUUAGGGAGUUUUGGGGGGGUUAAUUUAGGUGUUUCAUAUAUUGUGUUAGCUAGCUAAUUAAUAGAGAGAAGUGUCCUCUCUUAUCUCCGUGCUUGGUCGACGCUACAUACUAUACGUAUAGAGAGGACUAGACACGCUAGCUAGUAAGCAAAUGAAGGAAACAGAAGAUCGUCAUGAAAAUAUGCAUACAGAGAGAAGUGAUAUCGACCACCUCUCCUUCUCUGAGAGAUUGGCCGAACAACAAGUUCUCGUAUAUCUAUCCGACGCUACUGGCUACAUAUAUACAAUAUAAUUAUCUCUUACAAUAUAAUCUCCUAAUUAAAAUUCAACUGAUUAGGGUUCACAUGGUAUUCUCCGUCUUUAGCGAUCACGUGGUCAAGAAAGAAUGCCGCCAAUUCCUCUUGAGUUCCUCGCAUACGAUCUGCUGGUAGGAGUUCAUUCCUCAUCCGAAAUAUCUAACUUGAAGAAGGGGGUCAAUACAUAUAUAUGAAUAAAUGAAACUGAACACAAAUGAUGGUAAUAAAAUAAAAUUGUGAAUGUUAUUAUUUACGCACUUCAUAUUGUUUGUCAGAGUAGCCCCGCUCACAGGUCGUGUGGCGGAUGGACUCGCAAAUGUAGUAUCCACAGUAAUCAUUCCCUGGUUCCUGCCACAACCACUUUACAAGAAAUGGAAUGGUAUCAUCAUUUCACCCACAUAGCAUGUGCGAGAAAGUAGAGAGGGUUACGGCAAAAACUGGAUGCACUUCGUGUACAAAACGGACAAUCUCUUUCGAAGUAUCAUGGUUUCAUACGGAAACUCGUCUGUUACAAAGGGAUUUCAUUUUUUGAACUUAUUUGAACUCCAUAGUUUUUCAGUGUUCGAAAUGCACCAUUCAAAGCCACAUCAUCAAUUUACAACCCUUUCUGACUUCAUUUGUUAUUUUUCAUGUAUUUAUUGAUUAUUUUGAGCUAUAAGACCAUGAAAUUGAAAAGCAUUUGAAAUAAACUCUGAAAAGGUUCCAAGUUGGCAUGAUAUCAUCAUUUCACCCACAUAGCAUGUGCGAGAAAGUAGAGAGGGUUACGGAAAAAACUGGAUGCACUUCGGGUACAAAACGGACAAUCUCUUUCGAAGUAUCAGGGUUUCAUACGAAAACUCGUCUGUUACAAAGGGAUUUCAUUUUUUUGAACUUAUUUGAACUCCAUAGUUUUUUCUGUGUUCAAAAUGCACCAUUCAAAGCCACAUCAUCAAUUUACAACCCCUUUCUGACUUUAUUUGUUAUUUUUCAUGCAUUUACUGAUUAUUUUGAGCUAUGAGACUAUGAAAUUGAAAAGCAUUUGAAAUGAACUCUGAAAAAGGUUCCAAGUUGGCAUGGCAUCAUCAUUUCACCCACAUAGCAUGUGCGAGAAAGUAGAGAGGGUUACNNNNNNNNNNCGUACAAAACGGACAAUCUCUUUCGAAGUAUCAGGGUUUCAUACGAAACUCGUCUAUUACAAAGGGAUUUCAUUUUUUGAACUUAUUUUAACUCCAUAGUUUUUUUGUGUUCAAAAUGCACCAUUCAAAGCCACAUCAUCAAUUUACAACCCUUUCUGACCAUGAAACUGAAAAGCAUUUGAAAUGAACUCUGAAAAGGUUCCAAGUUGGUAGUGGUGACAAUUUUAACACAACACAUGAUAUCCAUUACAUCUAGGGCACAACAUUACAUUUGCUCAAGUUCACAGCAGUGCACAAAUGAUAGAAUUACAUCUAGGGAACAACACACUAGCAGAAACAUAACACACACACUGCCACUUAAUUGGCUUGCUUAGACCAAAUAGAAACUAAACUAGCCACAAUGCUGAUGCCAAGAACAAAGAAAAAACCCAUUGUUUCCAUGAGCUCAUUCCUUUUCUUCAACUUCAAUUGCAUUUUCUUGUUUUCAUUGUUCAGAUCCAUAACCUUCUUCUCCAUCCUACUAGCUUUGAUCCAACUACAUUCAAGGCCACCAUGGAGCUCCUCAAAAGCUUGCCCCACUAGCUCAGUGGGAGGGGGGUCAAUCCAAACAACCCAAUCACACUCAUCAGGAAGCUGUUAAAUCAGAGUUCACAUAAUUAGGUGAAAUUCAUAACUUUGCAGUAAAUCGAUGAAAACAGAGUACCAAAUGAUGUUUUGAGGAAUUACAUCGAGUGGACAACCCAAAAACCUUCUUCCCGUGCUUGCUCCACCCCAAGAAACACGACGAGCAGGAAUUAGCCCAUGCCCCGGGCAACGGUGAUUCGAGCGCUCCUCAAGGCCAUAGAAACUUGGAUUGGGAAUGAAAAACUCGGAUUGGAACUGCACAAUCCCGCAGCCAUCCACCUACGAGCCAGAAAGGCGCAUAUUACGGCCCAUCCCGCGAAACCCUAGAUGAGAAAUCCCCAAAUCCAAUGUCAACCAAAAAUCCAAAUCGACUUACCUCACUGUCUGCGGAGGAGCUUGCAGACGACAUUGUGCACGUACACAUGGACGUGCCCCAGCGGUGAAAACGGGGACGGGGCGUGACGGACCGCUAAAUCUAGACAAAUCUCGGGAAAAAUGGAGCUCCGAGGUCGAGCUUCGAGAGGAGAAAGCUUAACUAGUGUGGCUCGGGCAUUUCAUCGAACACCUUAUGUGCAUAGGAGGUGAGCUAGAGCACCCAAAUGCCCUCCCCUCGCCGGCCAGAAAAAACAGAGUGCUCUGCCGCGGCGAUGGGUAUAUAUAGGCAAAUUAUUUGUCCCGGUUCGUGGCAUAAACCGGGGCUAAAGCCCCCCCCCCUUCUAAACCGGUUCAAGGCACGAACCGGUACCAAAGGAUGUGGGCCAGGAGCGCGGCCCAUUGGUCCCGGUUCGUGCCUUGAACCAGGACAAAUGGGUCCAGACGAACCGGGACCAAUGCCCACGAGGCCCCGGCCAGCCCCCUGGGCUCAUGAACCGGGUCUAAUGCCCCCCAUGGGUCCCGGUUCGUGAAGAACCAGGACUAAUGGGCUGGCCAGGCCCGAACCAAAGCCCUGUUUUCUACUAGUGACUCCAACUUCUUUUUCUUCUGCUUUAAGUGAUCCCUCUCAAGCAUGAAUUUGUCCCUCUUAAGCUUCAUCAGAUCCAUCUCUUCCAUGAAUGUGUCCCUCUGCUCCUUCAUGAGGUCUCUCUCUUUUUCUACCUUAGCUCUGACCACCUGAUGGAUGUUCGCGACAGAUUUGUUAGAAAUUCUCAUGUUCUCAUGCUCCCUUUUUAGGUCUUGAAGAGCAAGUUGAGUGUUGCCUAGUUGGGUCAAUGCCCACUCCUUCUCAUCCACCAUCUUAGCAAAAUCAACUUUGAAGAACCUCAUAUCUUUCUCCACCUUUUCCUUCUCUCCCUUGAUCUUCACCACUUCUUCAGCAUUAACCACAUUUUGCCUUAGCCUCACACUGUUCUCCUCAUCAUACAUGGCCCAAAUCCUAUCUAGACUCAUCUUGAAAGGGACAGGCCACUCAAGGUCAACUCAACCCACAUAGCUACAUUUAGCUCCUACCUACAAAUUUAGGGAAAUAAAUAAAUCAGGUGUACAAAUGCAAACAAAUUCACUUAGCUUGCAAAUUCAGUUAGAUAUAAAAUCCAGGUAACUCGUAGCACUGAACAGAUUCAGUUAAAUGGUAACAUGAGUUAACUGAUAUCCCUUAACAGAUUCAGUUGUCAGGUAGCCGUGAAUAGAUUCAGUUAGGAUGAGCAUCACCAUUACUAAAAGUAAACAUGACAUCUAUCUGAGCAUGAGUACUUGAAGAACACUAAUCAGCAAUGUCACUAACCUUUUGAGCACAUGCUAGAAAAACCUCCUACCACUAUCCACGUUUUCAAAAGCAACCAGCUUCUCACAAACUGCUCGGUGCUCACAUCUAGCAGCAAGCUCUGUAGCAAGGCCCCUCCAUUCAGAUUAGAAAAUGCUGGCAGGUACCUACAACGAAAUGGUGGGAGGGCAGUUGAGUACAAAAAUCUCCAUCUAAACCCUAACCGUAGCAGGCUGAGGAGGAGCACUCACCAUCUGCCCGGAAUCGCCGUCCGACGAGGAGCAGGAGCUUGAAGUAUUGUCCCACGAGACUAUGUAGAUGGAAGAUGGUUGCGAGAUGGACGAGCUGGACGACGGUUGUGAGAUGGGAGCUACCAAGAUGGGCACGCAGGGGGAAGAAAAAUGGAUCGAGAUUAUCGGUACGUGCUCCUCAACCUAAGGGAUUUGGACGAUAGGGAUUACGACGAUUCCGGGGUUUGUGUACCAAAACGACAACUCCUCCCGUGAUAGACGCGGGACUCCUCCCCUCAUCGACGUGCAUGAAAAGAAUAUAGCUAUGGGAUCCCGCAGAAGGGAUCGGACUGCUUUUAUUUCCGGUAUGGGCCGACCCACCUUCUUUUUGAAUAAUUUAGGUUGCUUACCACACAUGUGAUGUGUGGCCGGGCCAGCCCACCUACCUACAUGUCUUGUCAUAUAAUCUUUGUUUCAAUAUUUGAUUCUUUGUGUUUGUUUCAUAUUUGUUGUUUAAAAAAUAUAUACUCCUUGUUUCAUAUCUGCAAUAUUUUAAACAGAAAUAUAUUUUUCCUCUUUCCCUUUUUAUUUAAAAUCUUUCAUGUUUAGGGAUUAUGUUUCUUGUUUGCAAUAAUUUAAAAGUAUAUACUCCUUGUUCCCUUCUUUAUUUUUCCUAUUUUGUUUUAUGUUUCUCCUUGUUAUUCCUAUCUUUUCUAAACAUACAGUGUGUAGGUCAUACUUUAAAACACGUAACAAGGAAAAAACAAUUUAAAGUUGAAGACUGCAAAAUGUGAAUACAACCUAUUUUUUUUAAACGAACGGGUCACAACAUCGAACCAUAAGUUGUGCAUAAGUAAUAUAGUAAGCAAUAAUUUGAAAUAUAUAGUUGUUGUUUUAUGUUUCUCCUUCUUAUUCCUAUUUUUUUGAAUUUACAGUGUAUAGGUCAUACUUUAAAAUAUGUAACAAGGAAAAAUACCUUUUAAAGCUAAAGGCUGCAAAAUGUGAAUACAACCUAAUUUUUGAAACGAAUGGGCCAUAACAUCGGACCAUAAGUUGAGCAUAAGUAAAAUAGUAAGCAAUAACAAAUGUGAAGUGAAGCUAAAUAAAUUAUUGUCACGAACGUAACAUCCCACAGCAUGACACAUAAACAUGUAUGUGCAAUUAACCUAAAAUUCACAAAAUAUUGGAGGUAACAUGUCUAUUACAUAAGAGGUAGAAAACCAAAAUUAUUCAUGCCUGGAAACAUGCUUCCGGACUAAACCCGAACUAUUUAAACUUCAAUCUUGUGUCAUCUAUGAAGUCUUUACGCUUCACUUUUCUUUGCGAUGUCACAAGUUUUGUUUUUCACCGCUUCUAGUGUGUUGGAAGGGACAAAAUUAACUCGGAGAUGAGACGUCUUCUCCUUGCGCCGUCUCCUCUAAAUUUAUAUAUAAAUGUAUAGUGAAUAAAAGUUGUUAUAUGACCAUACUACUGAGUCUACAAAAAAAGAUUUCAACCAAUCUGGCUAAAAUGGCCGGUCAUUCGGUCCAGUCCCACUUCUCCAUAACUAGCACAAAAAGGCCCCAAGAGUUGCUGAUAUAUAUGCAAACAUUAGUCACGGUCCAUACGAACAUGUGUAUGUCUAUUACUCCCUCCGGUCCUUUUUACUCCGUAUAUUAGAUUUGGGUCAAGUCAAACUUUAUAAAGUUUGACCAAAUAUAUAUUGAAAAAUAUCAACAUCCAAAAUACCAAAUAUACGUAUCAUGAAACUACCUUUCGUAAUGAAUCUAACAGUAUUAAUUUAACAUUAUAAAUGUUGAUACAUGUUUAUAUAAACUUGGUCAAAGUAGAGAUACUUUGACUUUGGACAAAGCUAAUAUGCAGACUAAAAAGGACCGGAGGGAGUACAAUAUGAUGUACAUUAACUAACCGGUCCUCUUGUUGUGCAUGUCGUACUCAUUUAUAGGCCACUUAGACACGCCUGGUUAAUUUCCCACGUGUAAUACGGCUUGCCUCUUGCAUAUCGUCUGUUAUAGCGAGUCUUUAUAAAAAGGGUAAUGUUAAUGGAAAUCAAUACAACAAUUUGUACGAACAAAGCGAGCAAUGAUGGUGAGAGUACUAGUGCUUUCACAGUGUCGAUAGACAGCUCGAGAGGAUAGAGCUAAUCCACAACUUGAAAUUCUUUCUUGCGCAUGUGCAUUACCACGGGCAUCUAGUGGGUAUUACCGAUAUUGAACGCCACAUAUGUCUAGAGUGUAAGCAAACAUUAUGUACCAUAUGAAAUGCUUCUGAAAAUGUCGUGUACUAAAAAAGUAAUGACAUAAUGUACCUUAUCAUCUUAUCAUGUAGAGUAUACUCAUCCCUGACUCUACUAACUGCUCCAGGUCCGGACAACUCACUAUCCAUGUUGUAGCGCGACGCUAAUGGAUUGUCUAGUGCCAGAGGCCGAUCUACAAGGAAUUUCGACCUCCACGCUGGACAAAGGUGACAGUCAUGACCAACACGGAGCGCCAAAUGUACGUGAUAAGCAUCAAUAACCUGCAUACAAUAUGAGGACAUUUUAUGUUCAAACUUGACACGUAGGUUAUACUCCCUCUGUACCUAAAUAAUUGUAGUUGAGGAGAACUAGUUUAGUUCUCCCAAACUACAAUUAUUUAGGUACAGAAGGAGUAAAAUCUAAUAACAAGACAUGCUAAAUGCUAAUAGUACUUACAUCAUCUGUCACCCAUCUAUGGUCUAGUACUGGUCGAAGCCUCUCCGAAGUGAGUUGGUUGACACGUCCAUUGUAGUAAACUCUUUCCCCCUUAUCCUUUUCGCACUGAGAAGCUAUUUCCACAAAUGUAACAACUGCAUCAAUUAGUUUCGGCCUCAACUCAUCUGCCACAACCUUUGACGGUUCGUUCUCAUAAAACAAAGCUGCAUGGAAAAAUAUGAACGUCAAUAAUGGUGACUACAUGCGUUACUAGUACAUAUCGUAGUAAGAAAGCUAGUAACGGUACCUCUACUUGAGGUAGCAGUUCCUUAAGGUCUAGUACCACGGGCGGGAUGCCUGCUCGACUUAUCAAGUGCAUAUGGAGAUUCAAAUAUCUUGGGAACCGUCCGCUUUCUCUUUCCGGACAUAACUUUGUCAUCCUUUUCAAUUGUUGACAACUUUUUUCCUUUGGCAUUAGCCAUGAACUUUGUAACAUAAUAUGGAAUGAUGUCUAUGUCCGAAGAAGUUGCUCGAGGAGAAUUACAAAUGAUCCAAGGAUUUUUCCGUGUUGCACCACACUCAUCAUUAGCCUUCGUAGGUGAACCACCCUUCCGGACAUUGAUAAUAGGUGGUGUUUUCUCGUUGGCAAAAAAAACAUGUCAUAGCUUCAAUUUUCCAAAAUAAAAAAUAUUAAACGACAAAAUUAAAUAAAAAUGCAUACUUCCUCAGCUUCGUUUUUCUCGUUGGGAACCGCUUCGUGAGGUAGCGUCAAAUCAAUGACCGGCUCCAGACCAUCUUCACUCUCAUUGUCUUUCUUGUACAUGAAUUCCUUCUUUUCAUGCGGAUCAUUCUCAAACGAAGCCACUUCAUCAUGGCCAUCAUUGUUACAGGAUGUCAUGGCAGCCGCUGGCUUGUACAUGACACCUUCUUUCUUCAACUUCUCCAACAAUGGUUUUGAAACUUGAUCAUUUCAUCUACUCCAACAAGUUAGGGCGUGUCACCUCAGCAACUUGAUCAGGGAUUUGCCUCAUCUAGUUGUGUAUGUAAUCAAUACACCUCUUCAUUAAAACAUGCAUAAUCUCAUCAGAGUUAAGAGCUGGCUUUGACUUCCUUGCGGUGGCACUCGUCGGCUUGAGUUUUGGCUUCUGUGUAGUCCCAUGAUCUAGGAUUUUGGGCUGUUGCGCCCUACAUUCUUGGGUUAUAUUAUCUUUGGUCUGCAUGUGAUAUACAACAUGUGAUCCAUACAAAUUUAAUUAAUUAUGUUAGCUACAUGCGAUAUACAAGUAUAAGUGAUAUACAACUACAUGUGAUAUACAACUACAUGUGAUCAACUAAAUGAAUUACCUUGACGUUACCACGGCCAUGACCGUUGUCAUAGUCAAACCGAUCUCUCCUAGUAGUAUUAGCUCUGGUCCAAUUCUUCAUGAGAGGUUGUAUGGACAAGUUGGGAUUGAAUGCGCAAUCAUCUUCCACACGUUGCACCUUCUCCCAAUACAAGUACUGCAGGAAAAUAAAGAGUAACACUUAUUACUAUACACCACAUAAAUUUAUUAGAGCAGCAACUGGUUUGCCGUUUCAUGAAGUAUCCCUUCUAGCUCUUCCCCUUCUUGAAACUAGUGGUUUUACUAACCAUCAACAAUUGAUGCUCCUUCUUGAUUUCUACUUUAGCAGUGUCAAACAUUGUGAAUCGCUCAAGGAUCAUCAUAUCUAUCCUUGAUAUGUCAUAGUUCAUCACGCAGUUCUAGCAGCUUAGUGGCAGUGACUUUUGGAGAACCAUCACUAUCUCAUCUGGAAGAUUAACUCCCACUUGAUUCAAGCGAUUGUUGUACUCAGACAAUCUAAGAACAUGCUCAAUGAUUGAGCUUUUCUCCUUUACUUUGUAGACAAAGAAUCUUGUUGGAGGUCUCAUACCUCUCAACAAGGGCACGAGUAUGAAAUCUCAAUUUCAUCUCUUUGAGCAUCUCAUAUGUUCUAAGACGUUUCAAAAUGUCUUCGGCGCAUUGCUUCUAAGCUAUCAAGUAUUAUGAACUGAACUAUCACGUAGUCAUCAAAAACGUGUAUGUUAGAUGUUCGCAACAUCCACAGACGACGCUCGAGGUACAGCACACCGAGUAGUGCAUUAAGGACAUAAGCCUUCUACGCAGCAAUGAGGACAAUCCUCAGUUUUACUGACUCAGUGAGCAAAGUUGCUACUAUCAACUUUCAACUAAAUUUUCUCUAGGAACAUAUAAAAACAGUAGAGCUAUAGCGCAAACUACAUCGUAAUUCGCAAAGACCAUUAGACUAUGUUCAUGAUAAUUAGUUCAAUUAAUCAUAUUACUUAAGAACUCCCACUCAAAAAGUACAUCUCUCUAGUCAUUUGAGUGGUACAUGAUCCAAAUCCACUAACUCAAGUCCGAUCAUCACGUGAGUUGAGAAUAGUUUCACUGGUAAGCAUCUCUAUGCUAAUCAUAUCAACUAUACAAUUCAUGCUCGACCUUUCGGUCUCAUGUGUUCCGAGGCCAUGUCUGCACAUGCUAGGCUCGUCAAGCUUAAACUGAGUGUUCCGCGUGUGCAACUGUUUUGCACCCGUUGUAUGUGAACGUUGAGUCUAUCACACCCGAUCAUCACGUGGUGUCUCGAAACGACGAACUGUCGCAACGGUGCACAGUCGGGGAUAACACAAUUUCAUCUUGAAAUUUUAGUGAGAGAUCACCUCAUAAUGCUACCGUCGUUCUAAGCAAAAUAAGGUGCAUAAAAGGAUUAACAUCACAUGCAAUUCAUAAGUGACAUGAUAUGGCUAUCAUCACGUGCUCCUUGAUCUCCAUCACCAAAGCACCGGCACGAUCUUCUUGUCACCGGCGCCACACCAUGAUCUCCAUCAACGUGUCGCCAUCGGGGUUGUCGUACUACUCAUGCUAUUACUACUAAAGCUACAUACUAGCAAAAUAGUAAACGCAUCUGCGAGCACAAACGUUAGUUUAAAGACAACCCUAUGGCUCCUGCCGGUUGCCNNNNNNNNNNCAUCAUCAUGUGCUUCUUGAUCUCCAUCACCAAAGCACCGGCACAAUCUUCUUGUCACCGGGGCCACACCAUGAUCUCCAUCAUCAUGAUCUUCAUCAACGUGUCGCCAUCGGGGUUGUCAUGCUACUUAUGUUAUUACUGCUAAAGCUACGUCCUAGCAAUAUAGUAAACGCAUCUGCAAACACAAACGUUAGUUCAAAGAAAACCCUAUGGCUCCUGCCGGUUGCCGUACCAUCGACGUGCAAGUCGAUNNNNNNNNNNNNNNNNNNNNNNNNNNNNNNNNNNNNNNNNNNNNNNNNNNNNNNNNNNNNNNNNNNNNNNNNNNNNNNNNNNNNNNNNNNNNNNNNNNNNUCUUCUCCUCUUGUUGGAGCUAAAUUACCUAAUUAUGUCUUUUUGGAGAUAAAUGGGUUAAUUAUCUCAUUUUAGAGGAAAACAAGCUAAGUAUAUAAUAUUCAUUAGCUAACCAAGGUUCUUAUGCCAUUUUGAGCUUAUUAUGGCAUUUUGGAGCUAAAUGGGCUAAUUAUGUCAUUGUUGGGGAAAUUAAAGCAAGGAUAAUAUAAAAGAGGAGAAGAAACAGGAGGAGGAGGAGAAUAAGAAGAAAUCAAGAAGAAGGAGGAGAAGGAGGAGAAGGAGGAGGAGGAGAAGGGCUAGAAGGUCCUUGGCCUUCUCCUCCUCCUCCUCCUCCUUCUCCUUCUUCUCUUCCUCUUCUUCUUCUUCUUCUUUCUUUCCAUUUUGCCUAUUUCUUCUCCUCUUCUCCUCUUGUUGGAGCUAAAUUANNNNNNNNNNNNNNNNNNNCCUUCUCCUUAUUCUCUUCUUGUUCUUCUUCUUUCUUUUCAUUUUUCCUAUUUCUUAUCCUCUUCUCCUCUUGUUGGAGCUAAAUUACCUAAUUAUGUCUUUUUGNNNNNNNNNNNNNNNNNNNNNNNNNNNNNNNNNNNNNNNNNNNNNNNNNNNNNNNNNNNNNNNNNNNNNNNNNNNNNNNNNNNNNNNNNNNNNNNNNNNNUGGGAAACUCUCUUCUUUGAGUUGAGCAAAGCUAUAUAUUUCCUGCAAGGCAACUUGCUUCUUAUGGGCAGGGAAAUAUUUCUCACAGAAGUAAUAGACCAUAUCCUGGGGACUACUCACACAUCCAGGAGCAAGAGAAGUGAACCAGGCUUUAGCGUCAUCCUUUAGAGAGAAAGGAAACAGCUUAAGGAUAUAAUAGUGGCGGAUCUUCUCCUCACUAGUGAAAAGGGUCACUAUAUCGUGUAGUUUGGUAAGAUGGGCUACGACCGUCUCAGACUCAUAACCGUGAAAGGAUCAGAUUCGACUAGAGAGAUUAUCUCAGGAUCGACAGAGAAUUCAUAAUCCUUAUCGGUGAUAAAGAUAGGUGAAGUGGCAAACUUCGGGUCGUAUUUCAUCCUAGCUUUCAGAGAUUUUUCCUUCCACUUGAGAAGUAAUUUAUCAGCGUCAUAGGCAUCCUUACACGCAAGAAAAUCCUCAGCUAUCUCUCCCUCCAUAACGUAACCCUCAGGUAUAUCAGGCAAUUCAUAUCUAGGAGAGCUAGAUCUAGCAGGAGCAAAAGCAGGUUCUAUCUCAAUAGUAUCGGUAGUUUCAGAAGCAUCACGAGCAUUGGCAGUAACUCUAGCCAUAUGAGCAUCAAGGAAUACCCCUAGUGGCACAUCAGGCAAAGUAGUAUCUCUAGCAUCAUCAAGCAUAGUAUCAUCAGGCAAAAUAGCAUCUCUAGCAUCAUCAGGCAAAGCAGUAUCAGGCAUAGCAUCUCUAGCAGUAUCAGGCAUAGCAUCUCUAGCAGUAUCAAGCAUAGCAUCAUUAGGCAUAGUAUCAAGCAUAGCAUCUCUAGAAGUAGCAUCAUAAGCAUCAUCAAGCACAUGCGACAUAUCAAGAUUUCCAGCAGGAGGUGAUGUCGCAAACUUACUCAUACCUGAAGGUGAAUCAAGUGUAGAGCUAGAUGGCAGUUCCUUACCUCCCCUCGUAGUUGAGGGAAAGACUUUGGUUUUUGGAUCUUUCAGAUUCUUCAUAGUGAUCAGCAGAUAUAAAUCCCAAGUGACUCGGAGAAUAUAGCAAUACCUCCCCGGCAACGGCGCCAGAAAAAUGUUGCUUAGGAGUCCCCGGCAACAGCACUAGAAGAAUGUUGUUGACGAGUCCCUGACUUGAUGCCUUCGCGACAACAGAGCCAGAACUGCUCCCAGUUGCUCAACAAUUAGCAAUUGUCUUGCAAUGGCCCACCAGCGCGUGGGUUCGUGGCAGUUUUCGAGGGUAGAGUAUUCGACCCAUAUUUGUUGAUUCGCCAGACAGGAGGUGAGAGGAUACUCUCGAGUAUUAGCAGCUGAAUGUAUCAGAUUCAACCGCACCUGAAAGAUUAGUAUCAGUAGCAAAGUAGGAUGAUAACAACGGUGUCAGAAACGAUCUGUUGACGGCAGACUAUUCCUAACUGUCGUAUCAAUGGCGCCAGAAGUUGCCAGUUGACGGAAAUUGUCUUUUCCCGUCAACGCCGAGCAUACCAGAAUUGUAGCGGGUAGCAGCAGUGUAACGAGUAACAACAGUAGCAAGGAACAUCAGUAGUGACAGCAGUAGCAAGUAGCAACAGUAGUAACAGCAGCAGCAAGUAGCAACAGUAGUAACAGCAGUAGCAAGUAGCAACAGCAGUAACAGCAGAGCAAAACAAGUAACAACAGCAGUUGGACGAACUCAUAGGCAAUGGGUCGGUGAUUCGUUUGGAUGACAUUUGAUAACACACAAGUAUAGGGGAUCAAUUGUAGCCUUUCUCGAUAAGUAAGAGUGUCGAACCCAACGGGGAGCUAAAGGUAGGACAAAUAUUCCCUCAAGUUCUAUCGACCACCGAUACAACUCUACGCACACUUUACGUUUGCUUUACCUAGAACAAGUAUGAAACUAGAAGUACAUUAUAGGAGUGAUAGGAUAGACUUGCAAGAAAGUAAAGAACACGUAAAUAAAACUAGGGGCUGGUUAGAUAAAGAAACAACUACAAGUGUUUAACGAGUGUGGAAAAGUGGUGGUAGGAGUUGCGGAAUUGUCCCUAAGCAAUUGACUACGUUACUAGAUCGAUAGCAAGUAUCAUGUGGGAGAGGCAUCUGCUAGCAUGUCAUCCCUUACUUGGGAUUCUAUGCACUUAUGAUUGGAACUAUUAGCAAGCAUCCGCAACUACUAACGUUCAUUAAGGUAAAACCCAACCAUAGCAAUAAGAUAUAUUGGUCCCCCUUCAAUCCAUAUGCAUCAAUUUCUAUGCUAGGUUUGAAGCUUCUGCCACUCUAGCCUGCCAAUACAUAGUCCUAUCAACAUACAACUAACCCUAUGGUGUGAUCCACGUGCGCGAUCAUAUGAUGAGCACCAAAGGACAGCAACAUAACCACAAGCAAAUUAAACCAAUCAUAGCAAUUCAUCAAUCACCGAUAGGACAACGAUAAUCUACUCAGACAUCAUAGGAUAGCAACACAUCAUUGGAUAAUAAUAUGUAGCAUAAAGAACCAUGUUCAAGUAGAGGGUACAGCGGGUUGCGGGAGAGUGAAUCGCUGAAUAUAGAUGGGGGAAGAUGAUGGAGAUGUUGGUGAAGAUGACAGAGGUGUUGGUGUAGAUCGUCGCCACACGAUGAUGUCUCGGGCGGCGUUCCGGCGCCGUCAGGAGAGAGGGGGAGAGAGCCCCCCUCCUUCUUCUUCUUCCUUGACCUCCUCCCUAGAUGGGAGAUGGGUUUUCCCUCUGGUCCAUGGUCUCCAUGGCGGCGGAGGGGCGAGAGCCCCUUCGAGAUUGGAUCUCUCUCUUUGUGUCCUUCUGUUUCCGCGCUCCCAGANNNNNNNNNNCCGGAGAUCCAUAACUCCGAUUGGGCUGAAAUUUUAACACGAUUUUCUUUCGGAUAAUAUCUUUCUUACGGCGAAAGAAGGGCUCCAACCGCCUUAAGGAGUGGCCACAAGCCUGCNNNNNNNNNNCCGGGCGGCGUUCCGGCGCCGCCGGGAGAGAGGGGGAGAGAGCCCCCCUCCUUCUUCUUCUUUCUUGACCUCCGCCCUAGAUGGGAGAAGGGUUUCCCCUAUGGUCCAUGGUCUCCAUGGCGGCGGAGGGGCGAGAGCCCCUCCGAGAUUGGAUCUCUCUCUUUGUGUCCUUCUGUUUCCGCGCUCCCAGAUUCUGCGUUUCACCGUUUCUUAAAUUCUCGGAGAUCCGUAACUCCGAUUGGGCUGAAAUUUUAACACGAUUUUCUUGCGGACAAUAUCUUUCUUGCGGCGAAAGAAGGGCUCCAACCGCCUUAAGGAGUGGCCACAAGCCUGCCUGCCGUGGGCCCACCCCCUGGCUGCGGCGACAGGGCUUGUGGGCACUCCGUGCAUCGCCUCGCGUUCAUUCUUCUUCCCAAAAAUCAAAAAUAUUCCAAAAAAAUCCCCGUAAGUUUUUAUUACGUUUGGACUUCGUUUGGUAUGGAUAUUCUGCGAANNNNNNNNNNCGGGCCCACCCCCUAGUCGCGGCGACAAGGCUUGUGGGCACUCCGUGCAUCGCCUCACGUUGAUUCUUCUUCCCAAAAAUCAAAAAUAUUCCAAAAAAAUCCCCUAAGUUUUUAUUACGUUUGGACUUCGUUUGGUAUGGAUAUUCUGCGAAACAAAAAACCUGCAACAAACAGGAACUGACACUGGGCACUGGAUCAAUAUGUUAGUCCCAAAAAUAGUAUAAAAAGUUGCCAAAAGUAUAUGAAAGUUGUAGAAUAUUGGCAUGAAAAAAUCAAAAAUUAUAGAUACGACGGAGACGUAUCAACAUUUAUCAUGCAACAGUUAUAACACGGAGAGAUAUGUGGCUAGCUCCCGUUCGUCAAUGUGAUGUAGGCAUGCAUUCCGUGUGUAGUCAUACGUGCUUAGGGAAAAGAACUUGCAUGACAUCUAUUGUCCAUCCCUCCCGUGGCAGCGGGGUCCAAAAGGAAACUACGGGAUAUUAAGGUUCUCCUUUUAAUAAAGAACCGGACCAACGCAUUAGCACUUGGGGAACACAUGGACUCCUCAAACUAUGUUCAUCACCGGGAGUGGUUCCGGUUAUUGUCACUCCGGGGUUGCCGGAUCAUAACACAUAGUAGGUAACUACAACUUGCAAGAUCGGACCUAAAACACACAUAUAUUGGUGACAACAUAAUAAUUUCAGAUCUGAAANNNNNNNNNNNNNNNNNNNNNNNNNNNNNNNNNNNNNNNNNNNNNNNNNNNNNNNNNNNNNNNNNNNNNNNNNNNNNNNNNNNNNNNNNNNNNNNNNNNNCGGGACUCCGAACAACAUUCGGUAACCAACCAUAUAACUCAAAUACGCAUAAAACAACGUCGAACCUUAAGUGUGCAGACCCUGCGGGUUCGAGAACUAUGCAGACAUGACCCGAUUGACUCCUCGGUCAAUAUCCAAUAGCGGGACCUAGAUGCCCAUAUUGGAUCCCACAUAUUCUACGAAGAUCUUAUCGUUUGAACCUCAGUGCCAAGGAUNNNNNNNNNNUCGGACCAUUCCGGAAACCCUCGUGACGUCCGUGAUCUCAUCUGAGACCCCGAACAACAUUCGGUAACCAACCAUAUAACUCAAAUACGCAUAAAACAACGUCGAACCUUAAGUGUGCAGACCCUGCGGGUUCGAGAACUAUGUAGACAUGCCCCGAGGCACUCCUCGGUCAAUAUGCAAUAGCGGGACCUGGAUGCCCAUAUUGGAUCCUACAUAUUCUACAAAGAUCUUAUCGUUUGAACCUCAGUGCCAAGGAUUCAUAUAAUCCCGUAUGUCAUUCCCUUUGUCCUUCGGUAUGUUACUUGCCCGAGAUUCGAUCGUCAGUAUCCGUAUACCUAUUUCAAUCUCGUUUACCGACAAGUCUCUUUACUCGUUCCGUNNNNNNNNNNAUCGAGAACUAUGCAGACAUGACCCGAGUGACUCCUCGGUCAAUAUCCAAUAGCGGGACUUGGAUGCCCAUAUUGGAUCCACAUAUUCUACGAAGAUCUUAUCGUUUGAACCUCAGUGCCAAGGAUUCUAUAAUCCCGUAUGUCAUUCCCUUUGUCCUUCGAUAUGUUACUUGCCCAAGAUUCGAUCGUCACUAUCCGCAUACCUAUUUCAAUCUCGUUUACCGACAAGUCUCUUUACUCGUUCCGUAAUACAAGAUCCCGCAACUUACACUAAGUCACAUUGCUUGCAAGGCUUGUGUACGAUGUUGUAUUACCGAGUGGGCCCCGAGAUACCUCUCCGUCACACAGAGUGACAAAUCCUAGUCUUGAUCCAUACUAACUCAACGAACACCUUCGGAGAUACCUGUAGAGCAUCUUUAUAGUCACCCAGUUACGUUGCGACGUUUGAUACACACAAAGUAUUCCUCCGGUGUUAGUGAGUUAUAUGAUCUCAUGGUCAUAGGAACAAAUACUUGACACGCAGAAAACAGUAGCAAUAAAAUGACACGAUCAACAUGCUACGUCUAUUAGUUUGGGUCUACUCCAUCGCGUGAUUCUCCUAAUGACGUGAUCCAGUUAUCAAGCAANNNNNNNNNNNNNNNNNNNNNNNNNNNNNNNNNNNNNNNNNNNNNNNNNNNNNNNNNNNNNNNNNNNNNNNNNNNNNNNNNNNNNNNNNNNNNNNNNNNNAUCCACGUGUUUGUAGGACCUUCGCUCUCAGUGGGGGGGGGGGGGGGGGGGGGGGGGGGGGGGGGGGGGGGGGGGGGGGGGGGGGGGGGGGGGGGGGGGGGGGGGGGGGGGGGGGGGGGGGGGGGGGGGGGGGGGGGGGGGGGGGGGGGGGGGGGGGGGGGGGGGGGGGGGGGGGGGGGGGGGGGGGGGGGGGGGGGGGGGGGGGGGGGGGGGGGGGGGGGGGGGGGGGGGGGGGGGGGGGGGGGGGGGGGGGGGGGGGGGGGGGGGGGGGGGGGGGGGGGGGGGGGGGGGGGGGGGGGGGGGGGGGGGGGGGGGGGGGGGGGGGGGGGGGGGGGGGGGGGGGGGGGGGGGGGGGGGGGGGGGGGGGGGGGGGGGGGGGGGGGGGGGGGGGGGGGGGGGGGGGGGGGGGGGGGGGGGGGGGGGGGGGGGGGGGGGGGGGGGGGGGGGGGGGGGGGGGGGGGGGGGGGGGGGGGGGGGGGGGGGGGGGGGGGGGGGGGGGGGGGGGGGGGGGGGGGGGGGGGGGGGGGGGGGGGGGGGGGGGGGGGGGGGGGGGGGGGGGGGGGGGNNNNNNNNNNNNNNNNNNNNNNNNNNNNNNNNNNNNNNNNNNNNNNNNNNNNNNNNNNNNNNNNNNNNNNNNNNNNNNNNNNNNNNNNNNNNNNNNNNNNGCAAACGCGACGAAACCUUCUCUUCUGAUUUUUUUUCUGGGCGAAAGUGAAUUUAUAGAGCUGAGAUUGGGGGCGGCAGAGCCACGUGGGCCCCACAAGCUUGGUUGCCGCGGCCAGGGGGGUGGCCGCGGAAACAGGGCUUGUGGCCCACUAGCCCAUCCCCUCCGGUGGAUCUUUGCGUAGGUAUUUUUCAUAUUUUCCAUAAAAAUUCUCCGUAAAUUUCCAGGAAGUUCCGAGAACUUUCAUUUCUGCACAAAAACAACACCAUGGCAAUUCUGCUGAAAACAACGUUAGUCUGGGUUAGUUCCAUUCAAAUCAUGCAAAUUAGAGUCCAAAACAAGGGCAAAAGAGUUUGGAAAAGUAGAUACGACAGAGACGUAUCAACUCCCCCAAGCUUAAAACCUUGCUUGUCCUCAAGCAACUCUGUUGACAAACUGAAAGAGAAAGAACCCCCCCCCCCCCCCCCAACUUUGACAAACUCUGUUUGAUCUUGUUGUUGCAACUAUGUCUAACUCAUAACCAGAAUUUCAGCGAGAUCACAAGUUAACCACAUAAGCAAGUGACACAAAGGUCUCACGGUAAACUAAUAUCAAUGGCAUAAUCAGCUAGCGAGCAAAUAAUAAUGAGUUUUAGAUACCAACAAUUCAAUCAAAACAAGCAUGAAGCAAUAUGAAUAGGUGGUAUCUCGCUAGCUCUUUCUGAGACUGCAAAACAUAAAUGCAGAGCACUUUCAAAGAUCAAGGGCUGACUAAACAUUGUAAUUCAUAGCAACGAAGAUCCGAUCAUAGUCAUACUCAAUAUCAAUCAAAAGCAAAGCAUAAAAAUGACAGAGGUGCUCUCUAAUUGGUGCUUAUAUAAGAAGAGGAUGACUCAACAGGAAAAUAAAUAGACAGGCCCUUCGUAGAGGGAAGCAUUGAUUUGCAGAGGUGCGAGAGCUCAAGCUUUGAAAACAGAGGUAAUAAUUUUGGGUGGCAUGCUUUCAUUGUCAACACAAUGACCAAGAGUUCUCAAUAUCUUCCACGCUACUCAUGCUAUAGGCGGUUCCCAAACAGAAAAGUAAAGUCUUAACUCCCCCACCACCAAUUAAUCACACUCCACGGCUAGCCGAAUCCUCGGGUACAGUCCAUACUAACAUCAAUCCAGGGGGAGUCUUGUUUUACAGUUAUGUUUUCGAUUUAAGCGUGGAACUGGGCAUCCCAAAUACCAGCCCCUUUAUCGUGAAGGACUGUGAAUAAACACAUGUCGAGGAUAACACGCAUAACAUGGAAGAUAUCAAUAGCCCCCUGUCACCACAUGAGCGGUUCGAGCAUGCAAAACAGAUUAUUUCUUGAAGGUUUAGAGAAUGGCACAUGCAAAUUUACUUGGAACGGCAGGUAAAUACCACACAUAGGUAGGUAUAGUGGACUCUCAUGGAAAAACUUUUGGGUUUAUGGAAGUGUAUGCACAAGCAGUAUUCCGCUUAGUACAAGUGAAGGCUAGCAAAAGACUCGGAAGCGACCAACUAGAGAGCGACAACAGUCAUCAAGAUGCAAUGAGUUUGACUAACAUGGAAUGCAAGCAUGAACAGGAUAUAAAUCACUAUGAACACGAACAUCAUAGAGGUUAUGUUGAUUUUGUUUCAACUACAGGCAUGAACAUGCGCCAAGUCAAGCCACUUGAAUCAUUCAAAGGAGAAUACCAUCUUAUCAUACUACAUCAUAGUCAUCUCAAAAUCUAUGUUGGCAUUCAAGACAAACCAUUAUAAGCUCCUAGCUAAAUAAGCAUGGCAUCAGAAACUAUGAUCCCUAAGUUGCCAUUGCAAACAUGGUUCUCUCACAACAAAGCUGAAUCUGGGAUGACAAGCUAGCCAUAUUUAAAAAAACAAAAUAGAUAGAGUUCAUACCAGCUUUUCCAGUCUCAGUCACUUCCUCAUAUAUCAUCAUUAUUUCCUUUCACUUGCACGAUCGAACGAUGUGAACAAUAAUAAGCGUGCUCGUGCAAUGGACUAAGCUGAAUCUGCAGGCAAACACAAAGGAGAAGACAAAGUAAUAUGGCUCUUUGAAAGCUAAACAGGUAUGCAUGCAAGAGCCACUAAACAUUGUAACCAAUAUCUUCUACCUUGACCCAAAGAAAAAGGAAACUAUUUACACAGGAAAGCUCCCAACAAGCAAAAGAAGAAAGGAAAAUCUUUUUGGGUUUUCUCAAAAGGACACAAAACAAGAAAACGAAAAUAAACUAGCAUGGAUAAUACAGUGGCAAAGUGUGAACACCGACGAACAAAGUAAAAGCAUAAGCAUGAAUGUAAAGUCGGUGAGAACACGUACUCCCCCAAGCUUAGGCUUUUGGCCUAGCUUGGUCUACUCCCAAGGCGGGAAAUAACCUGCUCCGGGGUACUCAGGAGCGGACUGUGGGUGCCACUGCUGUGUGAGCUCCUCUGGCUCCCACUGAUAAACUGGAGUCUGGUACUCGACUGGCGGCUCGGGCACGGGCACCUGUGGUUGGGCCAAGCCCCAAUAUGCAUAGAUAUCCGAGGGCAUAAUAGUGUACCUGCCUGCAUGAAGAUUGAACAAAGAAGGAGCAGGCAAAUUAAUAGUCUCAUGAGUACCCUGACUAAACACCAGGUUAUAAAUCAUCCUUCUACUUGCAUCUCUAUCCAAAAAAUCAUGGCGAACCAUGCUGUCAUAAUCCAAAUAUUUCUCAGGAAGAAGCAUCUCUUCUUCCUCGUGAAGUCUAAUGGGUAUCUCAAAGUGUCUAUCAAGACGAGUAGCAUAGAUACCUCCAUAUACGACACCUUUGGAACGGUUUGUGUUCAACCGCUGAGCUACUAUAGCACCUAGGCUAUAAGUCUUAGUGCUAUAAAGGCCUUCGUGCAAAACCGCAAGGUAUGAAGAGCUAAGUGAUCCAGCCUCCCCACGGCCAAUCAAACAUUUUCCCACAAAUAAUUAAAAGUACCGAAGCAUAGGAAAAUGUAUGCUAGCAAUUCUAGCGCGAGACACUCCUCUCUCCUCUCCAACAACAAUAGUACUUAUGAAAUCCUCCAAGUCCCAUGGACGAGGAUCAUGAAUAUCCCCAACAUAAGGUAAUUUGCAUGCAUUGCAAAAAUCCUAUAGUGUCACGCACUAGGGGAUAUCGUACAACAUGAACUCAACCAUGGGAGGAUUCUUCCUCGGAUAAAAGUUGAAGCUUUGAACAAAAAUAUUGGUGAGGAGGAGGUAUUGUGAGCACUUAUCUUCAACGAACGCGGUAAGACCUGCGUUCUCUACCAAGUAAUAAAAGCCUUCAUAAAGCCCGGCGGCGCGCAAAAAUUCAUCACUUGGCCACUCGCAUGCUCGAACUUCCGUGACUCGAGGAACCACGUACUUGGGGUGAUUCUUCUCAUCCUCCUUGGGGUUACGGCUUGAAGAGCCUCUCAAGAACCUCCUCAUCUUUUUCCUUUUCUAGCUCUGAAAAAUUCUGAAAUUUUUAGAGACUUCGAAAGAAAAGUGAAUAAAGAUUAACCCAACUCGUAGCAACUACUCCUACUAGUGCUUAGAGACCGUAUCACGCGCUAAAACUACUUGGGACCAGCUAAAAUCAACAUUUCAAGCUCAAGAACAGGGUCACCAAGGUAGCAAGAAUACGCGAAGGAUAAAGUACUAGAGCAAAAACUAAUUGGAUCAAUGGAGGAGUCACUUACCAAGGAGUAAUUUCCCCAAAACGGUUCAGAGAAUGAUGCUUUGAGCAAGGAGAUCGAAAAUCACAGUCAAAUGAGCAAGAACACGGGUUUGAGCUACGAAACAAUUUUUCCUGGAGGAAGAAGAAGAGGAUGGGAGCUGGAAUGAGUGGAGGGGGCCCCUGUGGGCCCCACAAGCUUGCUCCCCGUGGCGAGGGGGUAGCUCGCGGUGAUAGGGCUUGUGGCCCACUGGGGUGGCCCCCAGGCGAGCUCUCUGUCCCAGUAUUUUUCAAAUAUUCCAGAAAAAAUCAUACUAGAUUUUCAGGACCAUCGGAGAACUUUUAUUUUCGAGGUAUUUUUCUCCGAGAUGCUAAAACAGAAAACAUGAAAAACUAAACUAAAUCUAUCAUUUUUCUUCUAAACAACAGAAAGUGAAAGCUCAAAACAUAGGUAUGUGACUCUUUGAUUCAUCCAUUUCAUGGUCAUCGAAAGAAAUCCGUCAAUGGGGUUGAUCAAAUCCUUAUGACAAAACUUUCUCGAAUCGCAAAAGAGAACGGAGAAUUUUCAAAUAGCCACUAAUUCACCUCAAUGGGGAUAUGAAUCUCCCCAACAAGCAAUUCAUACUUCAUCUUGACACGAGGAAUAAGGCAUUCAAAGCUCCCAAUAAGAAUCGAUGAAGUUUUUUUCGAUAGCAUUGAUGUAAUGUACUUGAUAUCGUUUCUUCGGAAAGUGCACGGUAUGCUCAUUACCGUUGACAUGGAAAGUGACAUUGCCUUUGUUGCAAUCUAUAACAGCCCCUAAAGUGUUUAAAAAGGGUCUUCCGAGGAUGACCGCCAUGGCAUCGUCCUCGGGAAUAUCCAAGAUAGCAAAGUCCGUUAAGAUGGUGGUGUUAUCAAGCACAACAGGCACAUCCUCGCAAAUGCAGACAAGGAAAGCAGUUGAUUUGUCGGCCAUUUGCAAUGAAAUUUCAGUGGGUGUCAACUUAUCCAGUUCAAGUCUACGAUAAAGAGAGAGAGGCAUAACACUAACUCCGGCUCCGAGGUCGCAUAAGGCAGUUCUUACGUAAUUUCCUUUAAUGGAGAAGGUAUAGUGGGCACUCCGGGAUCACCAAGUUUCUUAGGAGUUCCACCUUUGAAAGUGUAAUUGGCAAGCAUGGUGGAGAUCUCAAGAUCUGGUAUCUUCCGUUUAUUGGUCACGAUAUCUUUCAUGUACUUGGCAUACGGAGAAAUUUUGAGCAUAUCAACUAACCGCAUCUGCAGAAACACGGGUCUUAUCAUUUCAAUAAAGCACUCAAAAUCCUAAUCAUCCUUUAUCUUGGAUGGCUUAGGAGGAAAGGGCAUAGGUCUCUGAACCCAUGGCUCUCUUUCUUUACCAGGCUUCCUAGCAGUGAAGUCAUUAUUAUUAUAUCUCUUAGGUUGUGGGUUAUCAGGAUUAACCGUAGGUUCAAUCUCCACAUCCUUACCAUUGCUAGGUUGAGCAUCAUUAUGAACAUCGCUGUCCAUGUUGUCACCACAUUCUUGUUCAUCGCCAGAUUGUGUUUUUGCAUCAGACGCAGAAAUAUCAUUUGGUUCUUUAGGUGUGACAGUAUUUGGUGAACUGACAUGUAGGUUUCUAUCAUCCUUCUUCUUCUUAGGAUGACUGGGUGUGUCAACAUUAAUUCCUUGAGAAUCUUGAUCGAUUCUCUUAGGAUGACCUUAAGGAUACAAAGGUUCCUGAGUCAUUUUGCCUCCUCUAGUAAUGACUCUGACAGAGUUGUCAUUUAAUUCAUUGAGCAAGUCAUUCUUAGCUUUAAGUACUUGUUCUACCUGAGUAGUAACCAUAGAGGCAUGUUUACUCAUAAGCUUCAGAUCAUUGACAUUUCUGUCUACACAAGCACUUAAAUGACUAAGCAUGCGAGUACUUUGUUCCAAAUGUCUGCUAACAUAAUCAUUGAAACUCUGUUGUUUGGCAACAAAGUUGUCAAAUUCAUCAAAGCAUAGGCUAGCAGGUUUAUCAAAAGGAAUAUCACUCUCAUCAAACCUACGCCGAGAAUUUACUUCCACUACCUGUAUCGGGUUAUCGAGACCAUGGAUCUCUUCGAUAGGUGCUAGAUUUUUGACAUCUUCAGAUCUAAUGCCUUUCUCUUGCAUAGAUUUCUUGGCUUCAUGCAUAUCUUCAGGACUGAGGAAUAGAAUACCUCUUUUCUUCGGAGUUGGCUUAGGAGGUGGUUCGGGAAUAGUCCAAGCAUUAUCGUUGAUCAAGAUGUUAUUCAGUAGAGUCUCAGCUUGUUCUACAGUUCGUUCCCUAAAAACACAACCGGCACAACUAUCUAGGUGGUCUCUAGAAGCAUCGGUAAGUCCGUUAUAGAAGAUAUCAAGUAUCCCGUUCUUCUUAAGAGGGUGAUCAGGCAAAGCAUUAUGUAGCUGGAUGAGCCUCCCCCAAGCUUGAGUAUUCUAUANNNNNNNNNNNNNNNNNNNNNNNNNNNNNNNNNNNNNNNNNNNNNNNNNNNNNNNNNNNNNNNNNNNNNNNNNNNNNNNNNNNNNNNNNNNNNNNNNNNNGCGGUGAUGAGUAGGAUGAGAUCUAUCAUGUAAUCGAGUUAGUUUUGACGGGGAUUGAUCUCUAGUAUCCACUAUGUUCUAAGAUUGAUGUUGCUACUACUUUGCGAUGCUUAAUGCUUGUCACUAGGGCCCGAGUGCCAUGAUUUCAGAUCUGNNNNNNNNNNNNNNNNNNNNNNNNNNNNNNNNNNNNNNNNUGCCAUGCUUAAUGCUUGUCACUAGGGCCUGAGUGCCAUGAUUUCAGAUCUGAAAUUAUUAUGUUGUCACCAAUAUAUGUGUGUUUUAGGUCCGAUCUUGCAAGUUGUAGUUACCUACUAUGUGUUAUGAUCCGGCAACCCCGGAGUGACAAUAACCGGAACCACUCCCGGUGAUGACCAUAGUUUGAGGAGUUCAUGUGUUCACCAAGUGCUAAUGUGUUGUUCCGGUUCUUUAUUAAAAGGAGAACCUUAAUAUCCCGUAGUAUCCUUUUGGNNNNNNNNNNACAUAGUUUGAGGAGUCCAUGUGUUCCCCAAGUGCUAAUGCGUUGGUCCGGUUCUUUAUUAAAAGGAGAACCUUAAUAUCCCGUAGUUUCCUUUUGGACCCCGCUGCCACGGGAGGGAUGGACAAUAGAUGUCAUGCAAGUUAUUUUCCCUAAGCACAUAUGACUACACACAAAAUGCAUGCCUACAUCACAUUGACGAACGGGAGCUAGCCACAUAUUUCUCUGUGUUAUAACUGUUGCAUGAUGAAUAUCAUCCAAACGAAUCACCGACCCAUUGCCUACGAGUUCGUCCCACUGCUGUUGUUACUUGUUUUGCUCUGCUGCUGUUACUGUUGUCGCUUGCUCUGCUGCUACUUGCUACUGUUGCUACUUGCUACCACUGUCACUACUGUUGUUCCUUGCCACUGAUGUUACUCGUUACACUGCUGCUACCUGCUACAAUUCUGGUUCGCUCGGCGUUUACGGGAAAAGACAAUUUCUGUCAACGGGCAACUUCUGGCGCCAUUGAUACGACCGUUAGAAAUAGUCUGCCGUGUCAACACAUCGUUUCUGACACCGUUGUUAUCAUCCUACUUUGCUGCUGAUACUUUGCUUGCAGAUACUAAUCUUUCAGGUGUGGUUGAAUCUGACACAUUCAGCUGCUAAUACUCGAGAGUAUUCUCUCACCUCCUGACUGGCGUACCAACAAAUUUGGGUCGAAUACUCUACCCUCGAAAACUGCAGCGAAGCCACGCGCUGGUGGGCCAUUGCAAGACAAUUGCUAAUUGUUGAGCAACUGGGAGUAGUUCUGGCUCUGUUGUCGCGAAGGCAUCAAGUCAGGGAAUCGUCAGCAACAUUCUUCUAGUGUAGUUGCCGGGGACUGUUAAGCAAGGGCCAACAGGGGGCCCACAAGACCCCUAGGCGCGGCCACGGGGUAGGCCGUGCCUAGCAGGCUUGUGGCCUCCUGGUGGCUCCCCUCUGGUACUUCUUCCACCCAGUAUUUUUUAUAAAAUCCAAAAUAAUUCCUCGUUGAUUUUCACGGCUUUUGGAGUUGCGCAGAAUAGGUAUCUCAAACUUGCUCCCUUUUCAGACCAGAAUUCCAGCUGCCGGCAUUCUCCCUCUUCAUGUAAACCUUGUAAAAUAAGAGAGAAAAGGCAUAACUAUUGUACUGUGAAGUGUAAUAAAAGCCCAUAAAGCGAUAAAUAUCAACAUAAAAGCAUGAUGCAAAAUGGACGUAUCAACUCCCCCAAGCUUAGACUUCGCUUGUCCUCAAGCGGAAACCGAGAUCAAUAACAAUGCCCACAUGUUUAAAGAUAGAGGUGUCGACAAAACAAAAUACGGACAUGCACGCAUCAUGAUCAUAAUUAGAACAACAAUAACGUCAUAUAAUCUCUUAUGCUAAAGUGAUAGUUCCAUCACAAAGUAAAGUAUGGAUCAAGAACCUUAUUGAGAAUUAACAACCAAUAGCCUUUAGUCAUUGAAGCAAUUGCAAUUUAUCAUAACAUCGGAAAGAGUCAAAUAAGAGCUUGUAAAGCAAAUCCACAUACUCAAUCAUCAUUUCGUCUUCUACAAUUGCCACAACUCACAUGGUACUCGUGAGAUCAAAGUUUCAGUCGGACACACAGAAAGAUAGGGGCUUAUAGUUUCGCCUCCCAACUAUUUACCUCAAGGGUAAUGUCAACAAUAAUAAUUCAUGAAUACUUACUUCCAAGUUAACAUAUGAAUAUAGAUCUUUCCCUAGCAUAUGACGUUAGCCAAGAUAAAGGUGUAAUAAGGAAUUGGUGUCAAUCACCAUGACACUUUUAAGGGCAAAAAGUAAAGGUACAAGAUGGGCCCUUCGCAGAGGGAAGCAGAGGUUGUCAUGCACUUUUGAAGUUUGGAUGUGUGACCUCUUAGUGUGAGGGAACGUCACUUUAUAUUGCCUCCUAUGAUAAAGAACUUUAUUAUGCAGUCUGUCGCUUUUAUGUCUUCCUCAUCACAGGUUCGUACAAAGCUUAUUUUCCACACACUAGUAGAUCAUACAUAUUUAGGGAGCAAUUUUUAUUGCUUGCACGGUUGCACCGAUGAGAACUUACUUGAGGGAUCUUCUUCAAUCCAUAGGUAGGUAUGGUGGACUCUCAUGGCAAAAAUGGGUUGAAGGUUUAUGGAUGCACAAGUAGUAUCUCUACUUAGUGCGGAAGUUUUGGCUGAGAUGAGGUGGAAGCAAGCGUCACAUGCUAACGGAUCUCUAGUCGUAUAACAUUGUUCGGAACCAAGCAAACAUAAUUCAUUAUGUUGUCUUCCUUGUCCAACAUCUACUUCUAAAACAUGUAAUAGUUUAGUGAGUGUUCACAAUUAUAGAUGGUGCCCAAGAUGAUAUAUUUAUAUGUGAACCUCUCUUUCUUUAUUACUUCCUAUUAGUUGCAAUAAUGACCAAGGUCUACGUUUGUCCACCCACAACAAGUUUCAAUCAACAUUCUUUUUAUAUCUGAAGUCAUCACUUCCCAUAAGAUCAUUACAUGAUCUUUCAUGCUUUUGUUCUUUUAUUAUUCUUUUCUUUCAGAUCAUGGCAUGAGGCAAGGCCCUUAACUAAAACACCCUUUAUUAUAUGACUCACGAGCUCGAAUACAUUGGGGGUGACACAAAGCAAAACUCAAUCCUAAAUCACUAAGAACUUUAUUCUACUAGAGAAAGAUAAAACCAAAAAGGAUCAAACUAAGAAAAAGGUAAAGGAAAAAGAUGUGAUGGUGAUACAAUAUCGGGGCAACUCCCCCAAGCUUGGCACAAGCCAAGGGGAUUUCCCAUACCCGUGCUUAAUUGUCUUCCUUUGAAGGUGAUGGUGGUGGAGUUGUCCUGUCUUUUGAUUCCAAGAGGGCCAUCAAUCUUUGAUUUAUACCUUGGAGUUCUGUGAUAUGUUUCUCCAGCAAAACAACUUCACGGGUGAGAUAAGUAUUACGAACACGAGUUAUUUCACAUAACCUCAAGAGUUCGAUCAAGGAUGGAGGUAAACGGUGAAGAUAGGGUUGAAGAAAAUCCUCUUCCUCAGCUCCUUCCUUGUUGAGCACAGAUUGCCCUUCGUCCAAUGCCGGAUUAUCCUCCUUAAUUUUGCCCUUAGUUUCUUCAAGCAGCCUUUCCUUGGCCUCCAUGACCUCCAUUCUUUUCAGAUCAGCAUUUACUUCUUCAUAGACUUGAGGGAGAUCGUUCUCCCCGACAGAUUCCUGAGACGACAUCCUUGCCCUAAAUCUGCGGCAGAAACAGGCUCAAAACGAAAACAGAGGAUAUUUGCGUGAUACGAGGGUCAGACCUUUCGGGAGAAUAUAUAAUGAAUUUUCCCGACCAAAAGGAGUACUCCGCAAUAAAAAGGAGUUUGGGAGGCACACGAGGUGCCCACAAGCCACCCAGGCACGGUCAGGGGGUAGGUCGCGCCUAGCAGACUUGUCGCCUCCUCGUGCGCUUUCCGGACUACUUUAAAUUUUCCUUUUUUUCUAAAAAUUCUAAAACGGAGAAAAAUUCCUACUGGAAAAGUUUUGGAGUCGGUUUACUUACCGAAUCACAUACCUCUUCGUUUUUGGAGUCUGAAACAGGGUGAUAAAUAUCCCUUAUGUACUCCUACGGAGUUAUGGUAUCAAUAAUAUUGCUUUCAACAUUUAUGGGAGUACCUGAGAUAUAAUGUUUGAUUCUUUGCCCAUUUACCACUCCCGGAAAAUUACCUUCCGUGUUGUUGAUCUUGAUGGCACCGGAAUGAUAUACUUCCUCAACAAUGUAAGGACCUUCCCAUUUAGAGAGAAGCUUGCCUGCAAAAAAUCUUAAACGAGAAUUGUAUAGCAAGACAUAAUCACCUACAUUGAACUCACGUUUUUGUAUCCUUUUAUCAUGCCACCUCUUAACCUUUUUUUGGAUAACUUGGCAUUUUCAUAUGCCUGAGUUCUCCAUUCAUCAAGUGAGCUAAUAUCAAAUAACCUCUUCUCACCAGCAAGUUUGAAAUCAAAGUUGAGCUCUUUGAUUGCCCAGUAAGCCUUAUGCUCUAGCUCAAAAGGUAAAUGACAUGCUUUACCGUAAACCAUUUUGUAUGGAGACAUGCCCAUGGGAUUCUUAUAAGCAGUUCUAUAAGCCCACGGUGCAUCAUCAAGCUUCUUAGACCAAUUCUUUCUAGACCUAUUAACAGUCUUUUGCAUAAUUAGUUUAAUCUCUCUAUUACUUAGCUCUACUUGACCACUGGACUGAGGAUGAUAGGGAGAUGCAACUCUAUGAUUGACAUCAUACUUAGCAAGCGUUUUACGGAAAGCACCAUGAAUGAAAUGUGAACCACCAUUGGUCAUUAGAUAUCUAGGGACUCCAAAUAUAGGGAAAAUAACUUCUUUAAGCAUCCUGAUAGAGGUGUUGUGAUCAGCACUACUAGUUGGGAUAGCUUCUACCCACUUAGUAACGUAAUCAACAGCAACUAGUAUAGGAUAUGCGUAUACCCAUUGGAUUUUGGAAAAGGUCCCAUAUAAUCAAAACCCCAAACACCAAAUGGUUCAAUGACAAGUGAAUAAGUCAUAGGCAUCUGCUGACGUUUACUGAUAUUACCUAUUCUUUGACAUUCAUCGUAAGACAAGACAAACUUACGGGCUUCCUUGAAGAGAGUAGGCCAAUAGAAACUUGAUUGCAAUACCUUGUGUGCAGUUCUAUCUCCCGCAUGGUGUCCUCCGUAAGCCUCGGAGUGACACUUGUGUAGGAUCUGUCCCUUUUCAUGUUCAGGUACACAACGUCUAAUAACACCAUCUACUCCUUCUUUAUAAAGGUGGGGAUCAUCCCAAAAGUAAUGUCUCAAAUCAACGAAGAAUUUCUUCUUUUGCUAGUAAGUGAAACUAGGUGGUAUAUAUUUGGCAAUGAUAUAAUUUGCAUAAUCAGCAUACCACGGUGCACUACGUGAAGCAUUGAUGACAUUCAGUUGCUAAUCAGGAAAGCUAUCAUCAAUAGGUUGUGGGUCAUCAAAAACAUUCUCCAACCUAGACAAGUUAUCUGCUACGGGGUUCUCAGCACCCUUCCUAUCAACAACAUGCAAAUCAAAUUCUUGUAGAAAGAGAACCCAUCUGAUAAGUCUAGGUUUAGCAUCUUUAUUUUCCAUGAGAUACUUAAUAGCAGCAUGAUCAGUGUGAAUAGUGACUUUGGAAUCAACUAUGUAAGAUAUGAACUUUUCACAUGCAAACACGACUGCUAAAAAUUCCUUUUCAGUAGUAGCAUAGUUUCUUUGGGCACUGUCUAGAGUUUUACUAGCAUAAUGAAUAACAUUCAACUUCUUAUCAACUAUUUGUCCUAGAACAUCACCAACAGCAUAAUCACUAGCAUCACACAUAAUUUCAAAAGGUAAGUUCCAAUCAGGUGGUUGAACAAUAGGUGCAGUUAUCAAGGCCUUAUUAAGUAUUUCAAAGGCUUCCUCACAAUCAUCAUCAAAAACAAAAGGAAUAUCCUUUUGCAAGAGAUUGGUAAGAGGCCUAGAAAUCUUAGAAAAGUCCUUAAUGAACCUUCUAUAGAAACCAACAUGACCAAGGAAACUUCUUAUACCUUUGAUAUCUGUAGGGCAUGGCAUUUUCUCGAUCGCAUCAACCUUAGCCUUAUCGACUUCAAUACCUCUUUCAGAAAUUUUAUGUCCUAAGACGAUGCCUUCAUUGACCAUAAAGUGGCACUUCUCCCAAUUCAAGACAAGGUUGGUAUCUUUACAUCUCUGCAAAACUCGAUCAAGGGUUGUUGAGGCAAUCAUCAAAAGAAGACCCGUAAAUGGAGAAGUCAUCCAUGAAAACCUCAACAAUCUUUUCACAAAAGUCAGAGAAUAUAGCCAUCAUACAUCUUUGAAAGAUGGCAUGUGCAUUACAUAGGCCAAAAGGCAUACGUCUGUAAGCAAAGGUACCGAAGGGGCAGGUAAAAGUGGUUUUCUCCUGAUCAGAUUGUGCAACAUGUAUUUGGGAGAAACCAGAAUAACCAUCUAGAAAGCAGAAGUGUGUGUGUUUAGACAAUCUUUCUAGCAUUUGGUCGAUAAAAGGCAAAGGGUGAUGAUCUUUCCUAGUGGCUUUAUUCAAUUUCCUAAAAUCAAUCACCAUUCUAUAGCCAGUAAUAAUCCUCUGUGAGAUCAAUUCAUCUUUGUCCUUAGGGACAACGGUAAUACCUCCCUUCUUAGGGACGCAAUGCACCGGACUCACCCAAUCACUAUGAGAAACAUGAUAGAUAAUACUUGCUUCCAGGAGCUUUAGUAUUUCUUUUCUUAGUACCUCUUUCAUCUUAGGAUUUAAUCUCCUUUGAUGAUCAGCAACUGGUUUGGAAUCAAGACCAGUUUUAAUUUUGUGGUGGCAUAGAGUGGGACUAAUGCCCUUAAGAUCGUCAAGAGUAUAUGCAAUAGCAGCACGGUGCUUCCUCAGAGUUUUUAAUAAUUUGUUUUCUUCAUACUCUGAAAGGCUAGCACUAAUAAUAACAGGAUAUAUCUCUUUUUCAUCAAGAUAAGCAUACUUAAGAGUAUCAGGUAACUAUUUAAGCUCGAACACAGGAUCACCCUUUGGGGGGUGGAUAACCAAGUAGCUCAAUAGGCAAAUUAUUCUUAAGGAUAGGAUGUUGUUCAAAGAUAACUCUAACUAUCUCAUUCCUUUCAUCCAUAUGCAUAUCAUUUUCAUGCUCAAGCAAGUAUUGCUCUAAAGGAUCACUAGGAGGCACAACAAUAGAAGCUAGAGCAAUAAUUUCAUCCUUACUAAACAACUCUUUUUCAUGAGGUUAUCUACCAAACUUCGAGAAAUUGAACUCAUGUGACACUCCUUCAAAGCCAACAGUGACAAUUUGCUUCUCACAGUCAAUAUGAGCAUUGACAGUAUUGAGGAAAGGUCUGCCAAAUAUGAUGGGUCAAAAGCUAUCUUGUGUGGUAGCAAGAACGAGAAAAUCAGCAGGAUACUUAGUUUUACCACACAAGACUUCAACAUCUCUAACAAUUCCCAAAGGGUAGAUAGUAUCUCUAUUGGCAAGCUGAAUAGUGACAUCAAUAGGUUCCAUCUUGACAGGUGCAAUCUCGUCUUUAAUUUCAUCAUAUAAAGAUUGUGGUAUUGCACUAACACUAGCACCCACGUCACAUAAACAAUGAUAACAAUGAUCUCCUAUCUUAACAGAAACAACAGGCGUGCCAACAACAUGCCUAUGUUUGUCUCUAGCAUGGGGUUUAGCAAUUCUAGCAGCAUCUUCACAGAAGUGAAUAUCAUGGCCAUCAACAUUGUCGGAUAGGAGAUCUUUGAUAAUAGCAAUUUAGGUUAAACUCUAAGUUUCUCAGGGGGUGUAGGUGUUCUAAUGUAGCCCCUACGUAUCACAGUUGAAGCUUUAGAAUGAUCCUUUAUCCUAACAAGGAAAGGUGGUUUCUCUAUGUAAGCACUAGGAACAAUAGGAUCAUUAUAAGCGAUGACUUUCUCUUCAACUGGAUUGGGUUUAACUACAUUGACUUCUAAGGUAGGAUGAUAUUUAAACCACUUCUCUUUAGGGAGAUCAAUAUGAGCAGCAAAUGAUUCACACAAUGAAGCUACUAUCUUAGAGUCAAGUCCAUAUUUAGCGCUAAAAUCACAAAAAGUAUUUGUUUCGACAAAGGAUUUAACGCAAUCAAACUUGAGAUUCAUACUUGACUCCUUACCUUCAUCAAACUCCCAAUAUUCAGAGUUGCGUUUAAUUCUUUCCAAUAAAUUAUAUUUGAAGUCAAUAUCUCUCUUCAUAAAAGAACCGGUACAAGAAGUGUCAAGCAUGGUGCGAUUAUCAUGAGAAAGCCGAGCGUAGAAGUUCUGAAUGAUAAUUUCUCUCGAGAGCUCAUGGUUGGGGCAUGAAUAUAACAUUGAUUUAAGCCUCCCCCAAGCUUGAGCGAUACUUUCUCUAUCACGCGGCCAAAAAUUAUAAAUAUAAUUCCGAUCACGAUGUACCAAAUGCAUAGGAUAAAACUUGUGAUGGAAUUCCAAUCUCAAUCGGUUGUAGUUCCAUGAUCCAGUAUCAUCACAUAGCCUAUACCAUGUCAAUGCUUUAUCCCUCAAAGAUAAGGGGAACACCUUCUUCUUGACCUCAUCCUCGGGCAAACCUGCAAGCUUAAAUAAACCACAAACUUCAUCUACAUAGAUUAGAUGCAAGUCGGGAUGUGAUGUUCCAUCUCCUGUAAAAGGAUUAGCCAACAGUUUCUCUAGCAUACCCGAAGGAAUUUCAUAACAAAUAUUUUCAGUAGGUGCAGCAGGUUGAGGAGAAACUCCUUGUGCUUCCGUUCCAGGUGAAGAUACCCCGAACAAGUUCCUCAAAGGAUUAGUUUCCAUAGCGACAAGUGACAAUAAAUUUCAGCACACUAUAUGAAUGUUUCCUUACCAAAGGCGCUUCACUCCCCGGCAACGGCGCCAGAAAAGAGUCUCGAUGACCCACAAGUGUAGGGGAUCUAUCGUAGUCCUUUCGUAAGUAAGAGUGUUGAACCCAACGAGGAGCAGAAGGAUCUGACAAGUGGUUUUCAGCAAGGUAUUCUCUGCAAGCACUGAAAUUAUCGGNNNNNNNNNNNNNNNNNNNNNNNNNNNNNNNNNNNNNNNNNNNNNNNNNNNNNNNNNNNNNNNNNNNNNNNNNNNNNNNNNNNNNNNNNNNNNNNNNNNNNNNNNNNNNNNNNNNNNNNNNNNNNNNNNNNNNNNNNNNNNAGUGCAGCAAAGUGGCCCAAUACCUUUUUAGCAAGGGACAAGCCUGGACGAACUCUUAUAGGAGGUGAAGUGCUCCCGAGGACACAUGGGAAUUUCUGUCAAGCUAGUUUUCAUCAUGUUCAUAUGAUUCGCGUUCGCUACUUCGAUAAUUUGAUAUGUGGGUGGACCGGUGCUUGGGUGCUGCCCUUACUUGGACAAACAUCCCACUUAUGAUUAACCCCUCUCGCAAGCAUCCGCAACUACGAAAGAAGAAUUAAGACAAAAUCUAACCAUAGCAUUAAACUAGUGGAUCCAAAUCAGCCCCUUACGUAGCAACGCAUAAACUAGGGUUUAAGCUUCUGUCACUCUAGCAACCCAUCAUCUACUUAUUACUUCCCAAUGCCUUCCUCUAGGCCCAAAAAAUGGUGAAGUGUUAUGUAUUCGACGUUCACAUAACACCACUAGAGGAGAGACAACAUACAACACAUCAAAAUAUCGAACGAAUACCAAAUUCACAUGACUACUUAUAGCAAGACUUAUCCCAUGUCCUCAGGAACAAAAGUGACUACUCACAAAGCAUAAUUAUGUUCAUGACCAGANNNNNNNNNNNNNNNNNNNNNNNNNNNNNNNNNNNNNNNNNNNNNNNNNNNNNNNNNNNNNNNNNNNNNNNNNNNNNNNNNNNNNNUUACAAGUACCAAUCGGAGUCGUGAGACGGAGAUUGGUUACAAGAGAUGAACUAGGGUUUGGAGAUGAGAUGGUGCUGAUGAAGAUGUUGAUGGUGACGAGUCCCCUCCGAUGAGAGGAGUGUUGGUGAUGACGAUGGCGACGAUUUCCCCCUCCGGGAGGGAAGUUUCCCCGGCAGGACGGCCCUGCCGGAGCUCUAGAUUGGUUCUGCUCAAGUUCCGCCUCGUGAUGGCGGCGAUUCCUCCCGAAAUCCUCCUCUUGAUUUUUUCUGGAACGAAACCCUCCUUAUAGCAAAAGAUGGGAGCCAGAGGGCCAACAGGGGGCCCACAAGCCCCCUAGGCGCGGCCAGGGGGGUAGGCUACGCCUAGCAGGCUUGUGGCCUCCUGGUGGCUCCCCUCUGGUACUUCUUCNNNNNNNNNNUCGGAGCUCUAGAUUGGUUCUGCUCAAGUUCCGCCUCGUGGCGGCGGCGAUUCCUCCCGAAAGCCUCCUCUUGAUUUUUCUGGAACGAAACCCUCCUUAUAGCAAAAGAUGGGAGCCAGAGGGCUGAUACGUCUCCGUCGUAUCUACUUUUUCAAAUUCUUUUGCCCUUGUUUUGGACUCUAAUUUGCAUGAUUUGAAUGGAACUNNNNNNNNNNNNNNNNNNNNNNNNNNNNNNNNNNNNNNNNNNNNNNNNNNNNNNNNNNNNNNNNNNNNNNNNNNNNNNNNNNNNNNNNNNNNNNNNNNNNNNNNNNNNNNNNNNNNNNNNNNNNNNNNNNNNNNNNNNNNUUCCUGGAAAUUUACGGAGAAUUUUUAUGGAAAAUAUGAAAAAUACCUACGCAAAGAUCCACCGGAGGGGAUGGGCUAGUGGGCCACAAGCCCUGUUUCCGCGGCCACCCCCCUGGCCGCGGCAACCAAGCUUGUGGGGCCCACGUGGCUCUGCCGCCCCCAAUCUCAGCUCUAUAAAUUCACUUUCGCCCAGAAAAAAAUCAGAAGAGAAGNNNNNNNNNNAAUACGGAGGCGCCGCCACAUCCUGUUCUUCAUCUAGAGGACAGAUCUGGAGUCCGUUUUGGGCUCCGGAGAUGGGAAAUCGUCGCCAUCCUCAUCAACAACCUUCUUCCCUCUCCAGUUCCAUGAAGCUCUUCAUCGUUCGAAAGUAAUCUAUUUGUAGGCUCGUUGGGCGGUGAUUAGUAGGAUGAGAUCUAUCAUGUAAUCGAGUUAGUUUUGAUGGGGAUUGNNNNNNNNNNGAGAGGGGAAAUCGUUGCCAGCGUCAUCAACAACCUUCUUCCCUCUCCAAUUCCAUGAAGCUUUUCAUCGUUCGUGAGUAAUCUAUUCGUAGGCUCGCUGGGCGGUGAUGANNNNNNNNNNCGCCAUGCUUAAUGCUUGUCACUAGGGCCCGAGUGCCAUGAUUUCAGAUCUGAAAUUAUUAUGUUGUCACCAAUAUAUGUGUGUUUUAGGUCCGAUCUUGCAAGUUGUAGUUACCUACUAUGUGUUAUGAUCCGGCAAUCCCGGAGUGACAAUAACCGGAACCGCUCCCGGCGAUAACCAUAGUUUGAGGAGUUCAUGUGUUCACCAAGUGCUAAUGCGUUGUUCUGGUUCUUUAUUAAAAGGAGAACCUUAAUAUCCCGUAGUAUCCUUUUGGNNNNNNNNNNNNNNNNNNNNNNNNNNNNNNNNNNNNNNNNNNNNNNNNNNNNNNNNNNNNNNNNNNNNNNNNNNNNNNNNNNNNNNNNNNNNNNNNNNNNNNNNNNNNNNNNNNNNNNNNNNNNCUUUUCCCUAAGCACGUAUGACGACACACGGAAUGCAUGCCUACAUCACAUUGACGAACGGGAGCUAGCCACAUAUCUCUCCGUGUUAUAACUGUUGCAUGAUGAAUAUCAUCCAAACAAAUCACCGACCCGUUGCCUACGAGUUUGUCCUACUGCUGUUGUUACUUGUCUUGCUCUGCUGCCGUUACUUGUCUUGCUCUGCUGCUACUGUUGCUACUACUGUCGCUUGCUACUGUUGCUACUUGCUACUGCUGUCACUAUUGUUGUUCCUUGCCACUGUUGUUACUCGUUUCUUUCCUGCUACUACUUUUCUUGUAGAUACUAAUCUUUCAGGUGCGGUUGAAUCAGACAAAUUCAGCUGCUAAUACUCGAGAGUAUUCUCUCACCUCCUGCCUGGCGAAUCAACAAAUUUGGGUCGAAUACUCUACCCUCGAAAACUGCUGCGAACCCACGCGCUAGUGGGCGAUCAACAACAUUCUUCUAGUUUCAUUGCCAGGGAGUGCUAGCAGCAUUCUUCUGGUGCCGUUGCAGGGGAAGGUCUGUUGACACAGAGUCAGCAUUCGUCUAGCUAUUGCCAGAGAGUGCCAGUCAUGUCUCUCGCUCUAUGGUUGGUGAGUGUGUGGUGUUGUUCGACUGUGGAAUGAUCGGCCCCCGUGCAUGGAGGGCGACCGGGGGGUUUUAUAGACGAACCCGCUGGCCUACAAUAUGGAUAAAGGGUACCAGUGUGGGACUCGGCUGGCAGCCUCGCCGGUUAGUCAGGGGCCACUAGAGUCUUGUCUUGUCGCUUGAGGGGCCUGCCGGCUCCAUGGUCUCGAUUGGCAGUGGGACCCGCCGGCUGGCCAAUGAAGCUCUCGCGUAAGGUUGACACCGAGCACGCGUUGUACGUCAAGCGUCGUCCAGCGAGAUUCGUCAUGGGAAGGUAGUACGGCCGCCUUCACUGUUCCCCACGCCGAGUGCAGUAAUGGAGUGGGAGUGCAACGGUCCGACACUAUGCUAGGUGAUGGAUCAGAGCCGGGGUAGGUCAGCGGCGUGGCCGUCGACGCUCGUACCUGUCGGGCGCCUCGAUCCAGUACCUUUGCUGACGCGUAGCUACCUUUAAUCGUAAGGUCUGAUCCUGACCUACGAUCUGAUGUGACUUGUGAUCCUUGGCCGGCUAGCCUGCUUGGCCAACCGGCUUGGGUGCGGCCGCCUCAUUCCUAGCCGACUCAUUGGAUCAGGCCGGCUCAGAAGAGGUAACCGCCUCGACUCUAGCCGGCAGGGGUUGCCUGGCUAGCCAGAGGGAUGGCCGCCUCGUCCUUUAGCCGGUAGGCGCUGCCUAGCCGGCCGAAAGACUUGGGCCUUAGGAGACUGUAUAUGUUCAUGUCCUUUGGGCAGAAAUGAAGGAGCAGGCUUGAUGAGCCUACCCCGGGGUUAUCCUCCCGACAGUAGUCCCCGAAGCUGGAGAGGCCUGCCGCCUGCGGGCGGGCGGCCUCACCUGCUUGAUGAUUUGCCUUGGUAUUUUUGGUGCUAUUCGUGAUGAGGAGCGCCGGCUUCGAAACGGGCUGGCUUCGAAACGACGCCUCGGCUUCGUCGCAAGUCGCUCAGAGAGCGCCACGUGCCAGGCCCCACCUGGCAUAAUAAUGGUGAUUACUGGUGACGGGACCGGGCCUAGGCCCUAGGUCCCGCCACGACGCCCCCUCGGCCUCCGCACGAGAGAUCUUCUGCGGAUUUACUCCGCGACGGUUGGGCUUAGGGAAGCGUUACCGCCCGUAAUACACGGGGUUAGUGGUGGCCCAGUGCGCACCGUAUCCCCUCCCCACGAUGCUUCGUGGGGGUUUAAAUGGGAUGCGGGGGUUCCGAGGAGGCCAUUCACCCCCUUCUUGCCCCGCAUCCACGCCCUCUUCCUCCCUGCGCCCAGAGAGAAAGAGCUUGUGUCCUUCGUCUUCCUCGUCUUCGUCGCCGCGAAGCUGCCAACCCCUUCGAGUUCCCGUCGCCCGCAGCCAUGGCCGGCGGUUCUUCCUCGAAAAGGCCCUCGGCGCUGAAGGCAUCGUCGCAGGGAACCUGGCUGGGGAGCAAAGUUGGUGAGGAGCACAUCGAGGCGCUUUGUCACCACCGACUGCUGCCCCCGGCCUCCCAAGUGCUGGUGCGACUCCCUGGCGCCGAGACCGCUCCCACACCCACCGUGGGAGAGGUCGUGGUCUUCACCGAGCAUUUCUACUGGGGCUUCGGGCUUCAGGCCAGCGCCUUGUUCUCCGAAUGGCUCUGCUUCUUUGGCCUGCAGCCGCAUCACCUGGCGCCGAACGCCAUUCUGAAGUUGUCGGCCUUCGUCGUCCUGUGCGAGGGUUUUUGUGGGAAUCGAGCCCCGCGUCGACCUGUGACGCAGCUUGUUCUUCUUCAAGCAGCAAUCCAUCGCCAUGGAGAAAUCCGAGGUGGAGAAGCUCAAGGGGCCGCGCCCGAUGACGUCGUGCGGAUCCGCGUUGGUGCACCACCGCUCGAAGUCGGGCUUCCCCCAGAUGCCACUGCAGGAAUCCGUCAAGCAGUGGCAGAAGGGUUUCUUCUAUGUGAAGAACGCCGACCCCGCCCUGGACGCCCUCAACAUGCCCCCAUUCAACAUCGACCCGCCGACGAGGUUGAACUGGGCGGCGAAGACCCCCAAGCCGAUUUCCGAGGUGGCGCUGAUCUGCACCCACCUCGACAUUUUGGAGAAGGGCGGCCUCCUUGGCCGCAACCUGCUCACCACCAUGGUGGCCCGCCAGAUCCUGCCCUUGCAGAGGCGGCUGCAUCUGGUCUGCCAGAUGAGCGGCCGACACGAUCCUUGCCAUCUAUCCACCAAGAGGUUCACUCCUGGCGCUGUAGCGCGAAGGGUGAAUCUGAUCUCCACCGCCCGCAUGGAUGAGGGCGGGCAAUGGACGUGAGGGAUGACCCCCUUCAACAGGUCCCGUCCGCCUCUGAUGGUAGGUGGCCUCUUUAUUCUUUGUUGUUUGCCUUGUAGCCGGCCGUGUUGCUGAGCCGACGAUCGAAUCCCUUUUCGCAGUUGUACGAGAAUCUGCAGGGGUCCCUCCGUUCGCCCGCUCCCGACAUGGAUGUGUCUGAUGCUUCGGAGAUUGAGGACGAGGGCAUGAUUGAAUCCCGCUCGGACUCCUCCGCCGGCUCAGAGAAUCCCCUAGAGUCGGAAGGACAGAGCCGUCUGCUGAGUACCCCCGGCCUUCCGUCGCGGACUGGACGGAUGACGACGAGAUUCCCUCAUUCUUCUCUGGUGCAGCCUUUGAGGAGGACUCCGAUGGGGUGGCGGAGGUCACCAGCCUGCCAUUGACGCGCGGCAGGCAUCAAAGGGGCGGAGCGACCGCCACCGACGAGGCGGCCGGGAGGAAGGGCAAGGGUGCCACAGCAUCCCGGCCGGCUCUUAAGCGGUCGGCGCCGAGUCCUCCAGUCGGACAGCGAGCAGGCGGCGCCAAGAAACACCGUGGCGCUGGCCGGAGGCAGGUCCCUGAUACGUCUCCGUCGUAUCUACUUUUCCAAACUCUUUUGCCCUUGUUUUGGACUCUAUUUUGCAUGAUUUGAAUGGAACUAACCCAGACUAACGCUGUUUUCAGCAGAAUUGCUAUGGUGUUGUUUUUGUGCAGAAAUGAAAGUUCUCGGAACUUCCUGAAAAUUUACGGAGAAUUUUUAUGGAAAAUAUGAAAAAUACCUGCGCAAAGAUCCACCGGAGGGGAUGGGCCAGUGGGCCACAUGUUGGAAUUAUGCCCUAGAGGCAAUAAUAAAUAUAGUUAUUAUUAUAAUUCCUGUAUCAAGAUAAUCACUUAUUAUCCAUGCUAUAAUUGUAUUGAAUGAAGACUUAUAUACAUGUGUGGAUAUAUAGACAAAACACUGCCCCUAGCAAGCCUCUAGUUGGCUAGCAAGUUGAUCAAAGAUAGUCAGGGUCUUCUGAUUAUGUACAAGGUGUUGUUGCUUGAUAACUGGAUCACGUCAUUAGGAGAAUCACGCGAUGGAGUAGACCCAAACUAAUAGACGUAGCAUGUUGAUCGUGUCAUUUUAUUGCUACUGUUUUCUGCGUGUCAAGUAUUUGUUCCUAUGACCAUGAGAUCAUAUAACUCACUAACACCGGAGGAAUACUUUGUGUGUAUCAAACGUCGCAACGUAACUGGGUGACUAUAAAGAUGCUCUACAGGUAUAUCCGAAGGUGUUCGUUGAGUUAGUAUGGAUCGAGACUGGGAUUUGUCACUCCGUGUGACGGAGAGGUAUCUCGGGGCCCACUCGGUAAUACAACAUCNNNNNNNNNNCUCCGAAGGUGUUCGUUGAGUUAGUAUGGAUCAAGACUAGGAUUUGUCACUCUGUGUGACGGAGAGGUAUCUCGGGGCCCACUCGGUAAUACAACAUCGUACACAAGCCUUGCAAGCAAUGUGACUUAGUGUAAGUUGCGGGAUCUUGUAUUACGGAACGAGUAAAGAGACUUGUCGGUAAACGAGAUUGAAAUAGGUAUACGGAUACUGACGAUCGAAUCUCGGGCAAGUAACAUACCGAAGGACAAAGGGAAUGACAUACGGGAUUAUAUGAAUCCUUGGCACUGAGGUUCAAACGAUAAGAUCUUNNNNNNNNNNGCGGAUAGUGACGAUCGAAUCUUGGGCAAGUAACAUAUCGAAGGACAAAGGGAAUGACAUACGGGAUUAUAGAAUCCUUGGCACUGAGGUUCAAACGAUAAGAUCUUCGUAGAAUAUGUGGAUCCAAUAUGGGCAUCCAAGUCCCGCUAUUGGAUAUUGACCGAGGAGUCACUCGGGUCAUGUCUGCAUAGUUCUCGAUCCCGCAGGGUCUGCACACUUAAGGUUCGACGUUGUUUUAUGCGUAUUUNNNNNNNNNNGAUCCAAUAUGGGCAUCUAGGUCCCGCUAUUGGAUAUUGACCGAGGAGUCAAUCGGGUCAUGUCUGCAUAGUUCUCGAACCCGCAGGGUCUGCACACUUAAGGUUCGACGUUGUUUUAUGCGUAUUUGAGUUAUAUGGUUGGUUACCGAAUGUUGUUCGGAGUCCCGAAUGAGAUCACGGACGUCACGAGGGUUUCCGGAAUGGUCCGGAAACGAAGAUUGAUAUAUAGGAUGACCUCAUUUGAUUACCGGAAGGUUNNNNNNNNNNGAUGAGAUCACGGACGUCACGAGGGCUUCCGGAAUGGUCCGGAAACGAAGAUUGAUAUAAUAGGAUGACCUCAUUUGAUUACCAGAAGGUUUUCGGAGUUACCGGGAAUGUACCGGGAAUGACGAAUGGGUUCCGGGUGUUCACCGGGGGGGGCAACCCACCCCGGGGAAGCCCAUAGGCCUUGGGGGUGGCGCACCAGCCCUUGGUGGGCUGGUGGGACAGCCCAAGAAGGCUCUAUGCGCCAAGGAUAGAAAAUCAAAGAGAAAGAAAAAAAAGGAGGUGGGAAAGGAGAGAAGGACUCCACUUUCCAAUCCUAGUUGGACUAGGAUUGGAGGAGGACUCCUCCUCCCUUGGUGGCGCAGCCCUUGGGGCUCCUUGAGCCUCAAGGCAAGCCUCCCCUCCCUCGUCCUAUAUAUAUGGAGCAAUUAGGGCUGAUUUGAGACAACUUUUCAAAGGCAGCCCGACCACAUACCUCCACGGUUUUACCUCUAGAUCGCGUUUCUACGGAGCUCGGGCGGAGCCNNNNNNNNNNGGACUGACGCUGUUUUCAGUAGAAUUGCCAUGGUGUUGUUUUUGUGCAGAAAUGAAAGUUCUCGGAACGUCCUGAAAAUUUACAGAGAAUUUUUCUGGAAAAUAUGAAAAAUACCUGCGCAAAGAUCCACCGGAGGGGAUGGGCCAGUGAGCCACAAGCCCUGUUGCCGCGGCCACCCCCCUGGUCGCGGUAACCAAGCUUGUGGGGCCCACGUGGCUCUGCCGCCCCCAAACUCAGCUCUAUAAAUUCACUUUCGCCCAGAAAAAAAUCAGAAGAGAAGNNNNNNNNNNNNNNNNNNNNNNNNNNNNNNNNNNNNNNNNNNNNNNNNNNNNNNNNNNNNNNNNNNNNNNNNNNNNNNNNNNNNNNNNGAUACGGAGGCGUCGCCACAUCCUGUUCUUCAUCUGGAGGACAGAUCUGGAGUCCGUUUUGGGCUCCGAAGAGGGGAAAUCGUCGCCAUCGUCAUCAUCAACCUUCUUCCCUCUCCAAUUCCAUGAAGCUCUUCAUCGUUCGUGAGUAAUCUAUUCGUAGGCUCGUUGGGCGGUGAUGAGUAGGAUGAGAUCUAUCAUGUAAUCGAGUUAGUUUUGAUGGGAAUUGAUCCCUAGUAUCCACUAUGUUCUGAGAUUGAUGUUGCCACUACUUCUCAGCCGACUUGGACCGCCUCGCUUAGAUUCAUCUCAAGGAGAUGAACCUCAAGGACGCCGCCUUGAAGGAGAAGGAGGAGGCCCUUGUCGAGAAGCAAUCACAGCUGGCCAAGGCCUUGGAGUCUGCGGUGGCUCUCCACGAGGAGGUUGCCCGCCUUACUCACGCGAGUAAGGUGCGGGAGCUCGAGGUCCUCGAGAGCUCCCAUGAGACCGAUGGCGCCUUCCAUCGUGAGUCUCUCUUCUUUGUCUUGUUUUUGGCUUUUUGGCCGUCCCCUCUUCUUACUGUCCUCUUGUGUCCCGACUGUUGCUAUUCCAGGUCUCUUUCCUGCGACCCAGAUCGCGGCCGACACUGCCGUUGAGGUGAGCCGCGAGGAGCGCCGCGCGGCUGGGGAGGAGGUCGACACUACCUCCGGUUGGAGCGUGGAGGAUAUCGGGGUGGGCCUUCGGGCCCGCUUGCGCGCCCUGGGCGAGUCUAUGGCUCAACUCCAGGUUGCAGGUUCGUCGAUGGUGGCGGCCUUGUGGCCGGAGGGCGUGGAGCCGGCGUCAAUGAGCCGGCUCACCCGCUGGCUCGCAGCAGGCGGAGAACGCCUGGAUGCUUGGCGUGCCUCUGUCGCGCGGGCCGGGGCUUACAUGGCCCUGCGCUUGGCCAAGUCCUGGUAUCGGAACCUAGACUUGGGCAAGCUCGCCGCCCAGCGUGACGGCUCGGAGGCGGAGCUGCACGACGUGGAGGAGGCGCUGCGUGUGAGGGCCAGCGGCAUCGCCGAGUACGCCGCUUGGGACGAUUUUGUUUUGGAGCGGGGUGAAGAUGGCGGUGUGAUCGCUGAAGAUCUGCACGGCCUUCAGCCCUAUGACCCCGAUGGCAGCUCCGACGAGGCGGCCCGUGCUAUGGAAUCUGCUGCCGCCUCUAGCGACGUGGCGUACGCCGACUCCGGUGCGGAUGAAGCCGGGAGCCCUCGCGAAGGAGACGGUGCAACCGCCUCGGGAGCAGCUGGGGAUGGUGAUGCUACCACUUUAGGAGCAGCGGCCGGGGCGACCGAUGAGGCCGCAACCCCGUAGCCGGUGUCCUUUGUGUUUUGUUCUACCCCUAGAGGGAUGUAAUGAACGUGGGCCAUGGGCCAAUGCUUUUUUGAAUGUAUGUAUUCAACAUUAUAUUCGUAUUGCCAUGCGUGUUGUCUUUGUCUUUUGAUUCUUGGUUGACUCCUUUUUCUCCAAUCCUCGUAUUCCUAAUCUUCCAUCCCGCCAACCCGACAGCCGGGAGCCGGUCUGUGGCUGGGUCGAGGUUUCUGAUUUUAGAAUACGAGACUUAGAUUUUUCGAAGCCCUCGAGACUUAAAGAACAAGACAUAAACCAAUAGAGGCCGACUUGAAUGAGAUCGUAUAUAUGAUCGAGCCAGCCCGAGCCGACGACCCUUUGUAGCCAAACUUUGCAUGUAUCCAGCCUGACCUGGCGUCACCUCGCAAGCCUGACGGCUGGAGCCAGUCUGCAUGCUCGCACGAGGUGACCAGGGAUCAGCUGGUUACACUAUGUGUUCGUUUACAAUAGGGAAGGCGUCCGAGCGGCUAGCAAGCCCCCGAGCUUGUUAAAGCCAGCAAGGGGCAUGCGCUGCGUAGCCUCCGAGCUUGAUUAAGCGAGCAAGAGGUGUACGCUGUGUAGCCCCCGAGCUUAUUGAAGUCGGCAAGGGGCGUCCACUGAGUGAAAACUCUCAAUAAAAAGAAACAUGAGGCAUGCUCUUUUUAUUGCAUUUGUUUUUGAUCCCCGAAGAGGGAUAAAGAUACAUACGCAUGCUCUUUCCCUUGUUUGAUUCUUGCCUUCUAGCAAUAGAACGGGCGAAGCAAUGCCGCGCUCCAUGGACAUUCCGUUUCUUGGCCGGAGUCGUCCCUCUUGCGCUUCCUUGGCUUUUGGGCAUCGACCAAGUAGUAAGCGUUGUUGUGCAAUGCCCUACUGAUGAUGAAGGGUCCCUCCCAUGGGGAUGAGAGCUUGUGUUGGCUGGCAGUGCGCUGGAUUCUUCUGAGGACCAAGUCUCCCUCCCUGAAAGAGAGAUGCUUGAUCUUUUUGCUGUGGUAGUAUCUCAGCUUCUGUUGAUAGAUGGCCGUCCAGCUCAAGGCCAAGUCCCUUGCUUCUUCGAGGAGAUCCACACCAUCUUCUCUUGCCUCCUUCGCCUCCGUUUCUGUGUAUAGGGCGACCCGAGGUGAGUCGAACUCGAUAUCCGUGGGAAUAAUAGCCUCGGACCCGUAUACAAGAAAGAACAGAGUGAAGCCGGUCGACCGGUUGGGCGUGGUGUGGAGGCUCCAUAACACAGCCGGCAAUUCUUCAAUCCAGCAGCCGGCUGAUGUGACCAGUGGUGCCACCAGUCUUGGCUUGAUGCCGGCCAGAAUCAGGCCGUUGGCCCUCUCCGCCUGGCCAUUCGACUGGGGAUGUGCCACUGAUGCCAAAUCGAGUCGGAUGCCUACCUUGGAACAGUAGAGCGCCAGAGCGCCUUUGGCGAAGUUGGUGUCGUUGCCGGUGAUGAUGUUGUGGGGAACGCCAUAUCGGACAGAGAUGUCUGUGAUGAACUUGACAACAGUGGGGCCAUUAAGCUUCUUGAUAGGUCUGGCUUCAAUACACUUGGUGAACUUGUCGAGGGCUACCAAGAGAUGCGUCAUCCCACCACAAGCCGUCUUGAAGGGCCCUACCAUGUCCAGUCCCCAGACGGCGAAUGGCCAUGACAGGGGGAUGGUUUUGAGGGCCGAAGGCGGCAUAUGGCUCUUUGCGCUGAAGAAUUGGCAGCCUUCGCAUUUGUCGACCAGAUCCACGGCCUCGUCGAGAGCCGUGGGCCAGUAGAAUCCGUGGCGGAACGCUUUGGCCACCAUGGUCCUGGAGGCGGCGUGAUGCCCACACUCCCCCUGGUGAAUGUCUCUGAGGAUCUCCUGUCCCUUUUCUGAUUCGACACAGCGUUGGAACACGCCGGUCAUGUUGCGCCCUACCAGCUCGCGAUUGAUGAUGGCGUAGGCUGCAGACCUACGCUGGAUCUGCCUCGCAUCUGCCUCGUUCUGAUGAAGUUUGCCGCGAAGAAGGAAGGCCAGGACAGUCUGUGCCCAUGACGGAGCCGACACAAGGGCUGCCUCCGCCUCGACUCGACUGUUGGGGGCUUCUGCAUCCCCCGAGUUUGAUGGAGCCGCGGUUGUCGACUUGAGACAAGGUGUCUCUGGUGCUGCUCUGGUAGCUGGCUCACCAUCUACCUGCAUGACGUCCACCCACUGGGUGUCGAGACGACAGGAUUUGAGGCCAGGCAGAGUCGGGGUUGUUGUUGUACCCGGUGCCGCCAUUGGAGUCGAUCUGGCCAACUGAGCUGGCACGGGAACUGUAGCCGAGGUAGUUGGUGGAGCCGACGGCGCUUGCACCGUGGAUUCACGGGUGCCGCUAUUGGAGUCGGCGUAGUCAGCGUAGCCGGCGUGGGAGCCGCAGCCGGCGUAGCUGGUGGAGCCGACGGCGCUUGCACCGCAGAGUCAGCCGGCACAAAGAUUGAUGCCGACUCGGGAGACGGCCUGAUAGACGGCUUAUGGAGUUGCUCGAGGGAGACGCCAGCUGGAAUGGCCUGUCUCGUGGAGCCGAUCUUCGCCAGUGUAUCGGUCGCCUCAUUUUCUGCCCUGGGAACGUGGUGAAACUCACAGCCCUCGAAGGGGCCGCUGAGCUGCUGAAUGAGGAAGCGGUAGCUUGCCAUGUUGGCGUCCCUGGCGUCCCAUUCGCCAGAGACCUCCUGCACCACCAAGUCUGAAUCGCCGAAGCAUAUGAGCCGCCGGAUGCCAAUCUCCUUGGCAAGCCAGAGGCCAUGAGCAAGUGCUUCGUACUCGGCGAUGUUGUUGGAGGCGACGAAGUGGAUCUGGAGAGCAUACUUGAGCUAGUCCCCUUGCGGAGACGUCAAGACGAUGCCGGCUCCCAAUCCUAUCUGCAUCUUCGAGCCGUCUAAGUGCAUCCGCCAAUGCGUGGAGUCUAGAGGCGGUGGCUCAAACUGGGUCUCGGCCCAGUCGACUAAGAAGUCGGCCACCACCUGAGAUUUGAUGGCGGUGCGGGGCUCGUACCGGAUAUCGUGAUCCGCCAUAGCGAUGGACCAUUUGGCAAUCCUGCCCAUGGCAUCACGGUUGCCCAUGAUCUCUGAAAGUGGAGUAGUGCUUACCAUUGUGAUGGCAUGCUCUUGGAAGUAUUGCUUCAACUUCUUUGCAGCAAGGUAAACACCAUAACACAUUUUUUGAUAAUGCGGAUAGUUCUGCUUGGAGGUGGACAAGACCUCGCUAAGGUACUAGACAGGGCACUGCACUGGCAGUGUUGUGCCCUCCUCCUUACGCUGAACUACCAACACUACACUAACCAUGCGAGUGGUCGCUGCAAUGUAUAUGAGUAUGGGUUCCCUUUCAGACGGUGCUGCCAAGAUUGGCAUGCUCGAGAUUACCCGCUUGAGGUCGUGGAAGGCUUCGUCCGCCUGGUCGUUCCACUCGAACUUCGUUGUCUUCUUCAUGAGCUGGUAGAGUGGAAGGGCCUUCUCGCCAAGCCGGCUAACGAACCAGCUAAGGGACGCCAAGCAGCCGGCGAACUUCUGGACGUCGAGGAUUCGAGCCGUCCGCACCAUCCGCUCGAUGGUGCCGUUCUUUUCGGGGUUCGCCUCGAUGCCGUGGGCGGACAUGAAGAACCCCAAGAGUUUGCCGCCUGGAACCCCAAAGACGCACUUCUCUGGGUUGAGCCGAAUCUUGUACUCGCGUAGGUUGGCGAAUGUCUCCCGCAAGUCGUCGAGGAGCCUGAAGUGCUGCUUCAUCUUGACGAUGAUGUCAUCCACAUAGACGUGGAUGUUUCUGCCGAUCUGUGGCAGUAGGCACUGCUGCAUGCAGCGUUGGAACGUCGCACCUGCAUUCUUCAGACCGAACGUCAUGGUGGUGUAGCAGUAGGCCCCGAAGGGCGUGAUGAAGGAGGUCUUCAGGCGAUCAGUUGGAUCCAGCUUGCUUUGAUGGUAGCCCGAAUAAGCAUCCAGAAACGACAGCAGUUCGCAGCCUGCAGUGGAGUCGAUCACUUGAUCUAUCCUAGGCAACGCGAAAGGGUCUUUUGGACAGGCCUUAUUCAGGCUAGUGUAGUCAAUACACAUUCGCCAGGUGUUGUUGUUCUUCAGCACCAGGACUGGAUUAGCCAGCCAGUCCGGGUGGAAAACCUCCAUGAUGAAGCCGGUUGCAAGGAGCCGGGUGAUCUCUUCUCUGAUCGUGCGUCGCUUCCCCUCGGCGAAGCGGCGCAAGGGUUGUUUCACCGGCUUUGCAUCCGGUCGCACGUGAAGUUUGUGCUCGGCGUACUUCCUCGGAACACCCGACAUGUCCUUGGGGGACCAUGCAAAGAUGUCCCGAUUCUCACGGAGGAAGUCGACAAGCUCGCCUUCCUAUUUGGGGCUGAGGCCAGCACCAAUGGUGACGCACUACUUUGGAUUGGCGGGGUCGAGUGGGACCUGCUUGGUCUCUUUAGCCGGCUUGAAAGAGCCCUCGCCGGCCGAUUGGGACGGAGGAGAAGGAAUCGUCGGCUGCUCAGUAGCCUGGGCCACGAGUCGGUCGAUCUGCCGCUUCUCCUCAGCAAUCACCAAGGCGUCGGCGAUGCGUUUGCUAUCUUGGGCACACUCGAGCGACUUCUUGUAGUCGCCAACAACAGUGAUGAUGCCCUUGGGACCCGGCAUCUUCAUCUUCAGGUAGGCGUAGUGCGGAAUAGCCAUAAACUUGGCCAGAGCCGGUCUUCCCAGCAGCGCGUGAUACGGGCUGCUGAGGUCCACUACCUCGAACCAUAUGGACUCUCGGCGAAAGUGGGCUUUGUCGCCGAAGAGGACGUCCAGCUAGAUCUUACCAAUGGGCGAGCAGGACUGCCCACACACGAUACCAUGGAAGACAGUACUGGUCGGUAGGACGUCCAUCUCCUUGAGUCCGAUCUUGAGGAGAGUGUCGAGGUAGAGGAUGUUGAUGCUGCCGCCGCCGUCGACCAACACCCGGGAGAAUCGGCAGGUGAGCCUCUUGGAGGCGAAGGUGGGGUCGAGGACGAGCGCGUAUGACCCUGGGUUGGGCAUCACCGCAGGAUGGUCCACCCGGCUCCAUAUAAUUGGUUUGUCCGACCAAUGCAUGUACUGGGGAACCGGGGGCACCGUGGCAUUCACCUCGCGCCGCCUCUGGCGCAAGCUGUGCUUGUCGUUGCCUUCACUCGUGAAGACGACGAACGCUCCGUCUUGAUGAGGGUAGUCGUCUUGGUGGUGGCCGUCGUCGCGAGGCGGCGCCGGCGGAGCCGGAGCGUGGCCGGGAGCUGGUGCACGAGGUGCCGCCUGCGCACCUGGAGGAGCCGGCAGGCCAUCCCCUUGCGACAGCCAGCGUGCAAAGUUGCACUGUCGAAGGGUAUGGGUGGACGGCUGCGCCCCAGAAUGUAUCUUGCAGGGGGCGUCGAGCAGCUGCUCGAAGGACUGCUUGGGCAGCCAGUUGGUGUUGUUUCGGUUGGGAUGCUUUCGCGGAGGGCCGGUUUGAGGAGCCGAUGUUUCGCCCUCCACGCUGGCCACCAACUUGCUGUUGGAGCGGGAGUCCAUCUGAUACGCCUUGCGCUUGUUGUUGUUUUGGCCGCCUCGGUUGUCCCCUGCUGCCUUAGGAGUAGCCGGCGUAGGGAAAGCCUUGUCCGAGGCGGUCACCUUGACGCGCAUCGCCGAGUCGGCCGUGGCGUAUUUGUCCGCCUUGGCCAUGAGCACCGCCAGAGAGGUGGGCUUGGAGCACAUAAGCUUGUGCUUGAGGAGGGUGCCGUCUCGGCAACCGUCGAUGAAGUACUGGAUGGCUUGUACCUCAUGCACCCCCUCGCAGGAGUUACGGAGCUCCGUCCACCGGGUCACGUAGUCGCGAAGGGGUUCGUCGGGCUUCUGGAUGCACAUGGCCAGCUCCCGGGGCCGGCCAGGGCGCUUGUAGGUGUCAGUGAAAUUGCGGACGAACGCCUCCUCGAAGUCCACCCAGGAGUUGACACUGCGGGCCGGAAGGCUGUUAAGCCAAGUCCGGGCCGAGCCGGUCAACAUGAGUGGCACGUAGCGGACCGCUACACGCUUGUUGCCCCUGGCAAUGCCGACUGAUACGCAUAUAUUUAUAGGUGCAAUUAAAAAAAAUAUAUAGAUAUGAAAUUCGAUAUGCAUUUUAUUUAUAGAGAUAAUUAUGGAAAAAGAUAAAAGGCCUGUGGCAACGCACGGGCAUUCUGCUAGUAUAUAUACAAUGCACUAGACAACACUACUCAUGGGCUUGUGCUAAAACCUUUGUUCUCAAGAAAGCUAUGUCGCACUCGAAAGUACUCGUAUGAUCAUGAUCUCAGAGCUCGGGGUGAACAGUAAAAUUCAAAAAAAAGCUAGAAAAAAUGCUACCCACAGUGACAAGCGAAGCGGGGCCCUAGUAGUAGCGUGGUCACCCAUGCUACCACUAUGCUUUUCUUUAAUAGUGAUCGUGAAUAAGUAUUGCAUUACUAUGCACUUUUAUAUCAAUUGCUCAAUAGUAAUUUGUUUACCCAUCAUAUGGCUUCUUUGAGAGAGAUGCCACUAGAAAACAUUAUGCCCCGGGUCUAUUCACUUAUAUAUAUUUACAAAUGCUAUUAUUUCCUUGCUAUUCUUAAUUACUUUUUUAUUUAUUUUCCACUUUAUAUUUAUCCAACUAUCAUCUACACUACUCAUUUGCAUGCAAGUGACGAGUCCAAGGGGAUUGACAAACCUGUUGCCUACGUUGGGUGCAAGUGUUUGCUCUUUUGUGUAUAGGCGAUGAAGACGGGGUUGCGUGAUACUCAUAUUGAUUCGAUAACCUUGAUUCCCAUUGAGAAAAAUAUUUAUCUAAACUGUGCUGCAUCAUCCUCUUCUCUUCGAAAAAAAACUCAACGCAAAUCGUAAAUAUCACGCGUCUGUGACCUAUUUCGUCUUUAUUUGCACGAAAUAGGUAAAACAACAACAUGUACUAUGCAAGAAAAUGAAAGGAAAAGAAGAACAUGAAUUCUAUCUGCAUCCCAUGAUAUGUGUAGACACGCAACAAACAUUAAAUGAAUUAACAAAUUAAGUAAACCUGCUGGCUUAUUACUAUUUUUUUCUUAUGCACAUAUUUUCCAUAUGAUGGGUGCGGUAGCAAUAUAUAUUUUGAUUCACUAGCAAAUAUGCCCGUGCAUUGCAACGGGAGAAAUAUAUACAUUAUACACUAGCCAAAUAAGUGUAACAUUUUUUUAAGGAUUGAUUCAAUACUCUUACAUAUGAGCAUCCUUUGUUUUUAACAUGAUGACUCAUCAUGUUGUCACUUAACUUUCUUUCCCACCCUCGUUGAUGAUGGUCGCGAUGUUCACGUGAUGACAAUGCAUUCAACGCGCUAAAUCCAAGGACUAUGAGCUUGCUACUGCAUGUCACAUUUGUCAUUAUGCUACGUAAGGGAAUAUUUAAUUUUUUCCAAACAAAUCUCACCGACCAUGAGCUACUUCCAAUGUCUAGACAUAUAAAGACUUUUGAAAAUCUAAUCAAAUCCUAGACAUCAAAGGCUUUGAAUCGGUGAACAGUUUUUGAAUUGACUUUUUUUUAAAUCACCAACAUUUGUUUUGUGUACGAGCAUUUUCUGAAAUGCAAGAAAAGUUUUUGAAUUCAUGAGCAUUUUUGACUCAACAAACAUGUUUUGGAUCGCUUAACUUUUUUAAAAAUUGGAGAACAAAUUUUAAAAUUUUUGUUUUUUAACUUUUUUGUGAACAUUUUCUAAAAUUUGAUGGACACUUUUUGUAGAUUCCCGAAUAUGUUUUGCGUACAUAUUCUGAAAUGUAUUUUCUGUACAAACAUUUUUUGACUUUUUGUUUUGUGACCGAACAUUUUGUGAAAUGCAUGAAUUUUUUCGAAUUCAUGAGCAUUUUUUGACUCAACAAACAUGUUUUGAAUCGCUUAAUUUUUUUGAAAAAGGGGGAACAAAUUUUAAAAUUUGUGUUUUUUUACUUUUUGUGAACAUUUUGUAAAAUUUGAUGGAAACUUUUUGUAGAUUUCCGAAUAUGUUUUGAACAAAUGAUCAUUUUUUUCAAAAUCAAGAACAUGAUUUUAUUUCCUGACUAUUUAUUUUUCAAAUUGUGAUUUUGUUUUGUAAUUUCAAACAGUUUUACAAAUACACCAAUAUAUUUUUAAUCCAUGAAAAUUUUAUAAUUUCCUUAAAAAUAAAUUCUCAUGCAUUUUAUAAUUUCUCAAACAUCUAUUUAAAACUCACCAUGUUUGAAAUUUGAAAACCCCGAAUUAAUAUAAAGAAGGAAGAUAACAGAAUAAGAAAAGAAAAAGAAAAAAAAUAAAAAAAAGACAACCAAGUCAUGUGCAACAUGGGGAUCGAUCCCUAGUUGUGUGGGUAGAAGUGUUAGACCUGAGCCACUAUAGCGCUAGUCUGUUGCUGCUUCUAUAGAAACAUCCCCCUCAAAUAAAGGAUUACGCCGCGACUUUUGGAAAAAAAUCAAAGCGUUUUUUUUACUUGUGGGUGGCACGGUGGGUAAUAUAAGUCAACUUUGGGGGUAAUAUUAAUGACGAACGACAGAAGCACUAAUUGCUUUAUUAGUAGGUGUCGUGGGUGUAAGCCUGACAGUAGAUGUGUAGGGUACGAAAAGGAUGGGCAGAGUCCCAGCUACGGCGAGGAUGUAUGAGUUCAGGCCCCUCUGCGGUGGAGGUAAUAACCCUAUAUCUCAGUGCUCAGGGAGCUUUGUUGUCGAGUGGAAUAUGGAAUACAAUGAGUUGCUAACCCCUCUACGAGUGGGGGAGGGUGGCUUAUAUAGAGUGCGCUGCCCUCCACAACGGUUCCGGUACACGGGUGGAGUAGUGGCGAUUGAAUGUGUACGUUACAGGUAACGUACACCCUAAAUGCUAAUAAAUGCACCCGAAAACGUACGACCAUUUCCCUCCAGGGGGGUUACGAUGUACCGAGUGGUAUACAGUCAGUUGACUCGAUAUGCUCCGAAUGUUAGUCGCCGACUGGAGGACCGAGGGUAUGUUACCUACUGGACGACAGGGAUUCCUUAAUUCAGUCGGAGUUGACUAAGGGUCUUGUCCUCUGCGANNNNNNNNNNNNNNNNNNNNNNNNNNNNNNNNNNNNNNNNNNNNNNNNNNNNNNNNNNNNNNNNNNNNNNNNNNNNNNNNNNNNNNNNNNNNNNNNNNNNNNNNNNNNNNNNNNNNNNNNNNNNNNNNNNNNNNNNNNNNNNNNAUUAGUCCCCGAAUGGAUUGGGGUUGGAACGACGAAGCAAUGUUUGAAGUUGGAUCCGACUGGAACAGAUUCGGCCUGGGCGUUGCUUUCCUCGGUCCAUUUCGACUUUUCUGAUCGACGAUCCGAGUGGAAGUACUCGCGAAACAGACUGUCGGGAGCCGAGUGCUUCGACGGCAUCUUCUGACGCGACCGGUCAACUGACAGCGGCGGAUUUUCCGGGAUCCUCAAAUUUCGGUUUCCGCGCGCUCAGCGGGGAUGACGCCAGCGCGCUCGAGUAGCGCCUGACGCCUCGAUUCUCGCGCCUUCAACCUCUCCACUAAUAUCACCGUGGUGGGUCGGGGGGAUAAGGUUUCGGGGCCACCUGCCAGCGACCCAGUCGGAACCCUAUUUAAAUCUCGGCGGCGAGGCUUCUCCGUUACGCUCGCCGAAUCCCUUGCUCUCGCCUGCUCCGCCCUUCUCGCCACCUCCAGCGCUCCUAUACUCCUCCCUUCUCCUUCCUCCCGAGGGUUCGCAGCUGCCGCCUUGACCAAGGGCCAGACCAGCAAGAUGGAGGCGAGGAAGAAGAAGGGGAAGACGGCGGCGCCUGCUCAGCGGCGGCAGCGGCCGCUGCCGGUGGGAUGGAUCCAGGGCGACUUCCUCCCCUCCACGGUGACGGAGGGGGAUCUGCUGCAGCUGGUGGAGCACGGGAUGAUCGUGCACAAGUCCUGGAGGCUGCCAGCGGAGAACGAGGUCGAGCCAGCGCCUCGGGAGGGGGAGCGCGUCCUGCUGCUCAGCCACGUCUACCGAGGUUUUUCUUUGCCCCCGCGUCCUUUCUUCAAGGGCAUCAUGAAUCACUUCGGGGCCCAACUUCACCAUUUUCCUCUGAAUGCCAUCGCCCAUCUUUCUGCCUUUAUAGUUUUGUGCGAGUGUUUCAUCGGCUGCCCUCCCCAUUGGGGUUUGUUCAAACACAUCUUUUCCGCCAGAUCCCAAACCAUCAAACGACUUAGCCAGUCGGAUGAUAAGACGCAUCUCCUCCAGCUCUGCGGGGGCUUAGGUUUCCAGAAAAAGAGUCGGAGUAGUUAUCCUGCUCUUCAGUUAAGUGAGUCGGUCAGGAACUGGCAGUCGACGUGGUUCUACUGCCAGGAUAUCGCCUGUCCGAAUGCGUCGACUGGGAUGCCUCCUUUUACUUUAGAUCGGCCCGCCCCGCCUAAGCAGCUCGCACUCUCGAAGGCGGAGAAGAACGACAUCCAGCCCUUGGUUGAGGCACUCGUGGACGUCGUCAGGAGGGGGGUCACCGGCAUAGACUUGCUGGAGGUCUUCCUUGGUCGGUGGAUCCAGCCUCUGCAGGCUCGCGACCAUGCCAUGUGGCAUUACACGGGGCCCGAAGACUCCACUCGGACUAACGUGGUGGGCGUGACUGAGGAGAGGGUGACCUCGUGGGUGCUCCAAAUCACGGGCCCCUGCGAGAAUCCCAAAGGAUCUCGGCGAGUGAAGCCUUACAGCGAGGAUCAUCCUCCAUCGAAUCAGGUGAGUGACACUUGUCGAGUGCGCUGAACUGUCUUAAUUCUUGUCGUUUGUCUAUAUCUCUGUGUGAUGUAUGAUGUCGCCGACUGAAAUUUAUGCAGGCGUGGACCAACUGGUUCUCCCCCGUCUCGAAUGGGAAUCCGGCGGAGGAAGAGGAGGAAGGCAGCCAGGAGGCCAGCAUGGAGAGCGCCGAGUAUGUCUCCGACAGUGGGGAAUCGGAGGAGGAGACCAGCGAGGAGGAGGGAGAAGACGAAGAGCAGGACUCGCCACCUCCGGAACCAGAGCAUCGGACCAAGCGCCGACACGAGCCCGCCGUCCCCUCGGCUCCUCCCGCGUCUUCGAGUGCUCCGCCUACUGCUCCGGUGGUCCCGAGUGUUCGAAGCACUAAGAGGACCAGGGAUGCCGCCGCUCAGCCUGCAGGUCAGUCUUCUAAGGCGGCCAAGCCGAGUGGGCCUAAGCCUCGGAAGGCUCUGCCGCGAAUGAGGGUUGCUGUCCCUGUCACCUCCACGUAAGUGUACCCAGCUUUCAAUUCUUUCUGAUAUCCGAGUGAACUUCUGUUUACUGGCCGAAUGGAUUUCACUCGACAGGGUCGCUACUUCUGCCACCUCUCCGGCGCGCCAGGAAGACGAUCCCAUGGACACGGACAAUGUCGUCUCGUCCCAGCUAGGUGCGUUGUAGGGACGUCGAGUGUUUUAUACUAUCGCGUCUCGAAUUCUAUCAUAGGUCUUGCUUCUUUCUUUUUCUGAGACCUCGUGUCAUUCGGCCUGUCAAGGGUGAUUUGCCUGGACGAGGGCAACCAAGGGAGGGUCGACCCAGCUGUGGAGCCUGUUCUUGAGGCUGCUCCUCCUGCUGCCGCUCUCGCCGCCGAUGUGCUGCCGACUGAGGCGCUGCCACAGACUGAACCAGUGCUGGUGGAUGAGGAGUCGACUGGGGCGGACCUUGGGAUGCCUCAGGAACCUCCGACGAUUCCAGGCUCGUCGAAUGCUGAAUUCAGCAUCCAGCGUCUUCCGGAGGAGCAGGUGGGAGCGGCCAAGGGGGCUAUGGUGCAGGCGGAGCUAAUGGUUGGAGAAGCCAAGAGGGCCUACGACUCCGUUGCGGCCUUGUACCAGCGGAGCUUGGAGCUGCGGGAUGAUAUCCGAGUAAGUGGUCUAGUAAGUAUUUACUUUUCUCCUGUAACCAACUGGGUGUUCUUGAAUAGCAGCUGUCGUUUGCAAUGGGUUCACUCGGAGUGAACCCAGUGGGUGUAGUCCCCGAGACUUCUGUUGAGUGCUUGCACCGACAGUUGUCUUUAUACAUAUUGUCUUUACUUUGGUUGUGUCUGUAAAUAGGAUGACCGAGUACGAGUAGUUGUUGCAGUCGGAGUGCACUUACUGUAAGAGUCCCCGAGAGUAAGUUGUACUCAGGUCGGGUAGUAUUGUCCUCGGAGGCGUAGGUUAUAACAUGCAUCUCAAUAGGGCGGGCCUGCUUGAGCUGCAUGCCAGUGGGGUCACUCUCAGUGAACCCACUGGGUGUAGUCCCCGAGACCGCUGUCGACUGCUUGCGUCGGCAGGGGUCUGAAGAACUUAGACUUUUAACUGUUGAACUUUCUGAUUGUCCCUCGGUGCUUGGUGGCAGAAAACUUGUGAAAUGGGGACGGCCUAUGAGGCUCUCAGAGCGGAGAGGAACCAGUUCGCUGGUGAGCUUGAUGCGGC
RNAcentral lists this long non-coding RNA (101688 nucleotides) under Hordeum vulgare. RNAcentral's name for it is "long non-coding RNA (HVUL_LNC013409)". Lineage: Eukaryota; Viridiplantae; Streptophyta; Magnoliopsida; Poales; Poaceae. The record is from RNAcentral.